This 169934-nucleotide long non-coding RNA is filed under the name Phaseolus vulgaris (common bean). RNAcentral describes it as "long non-coding RNA (PVUL_LNC004884)". The record is from RNAcentral. Lineage: Eukaryota; Viridiplantae; Streptophyta; Magnoliopsida; Fabales; Fabaceae.
UUCGUUGAUGAACUCAUUCCCCUCUCCCUCCGUACUGUUGAGGAUCUUCACAGCCACCGCAAUCUCACUCGAAAGUUUUCCUCUGAACACAGCCCCAUGAGCUCCUUCUCCUAGCUUUUCCUUGAAGCCAUUGGUGAUUCUUUUCAGGUCAGCAUAGGUGAAUCUUGCAGGCUUUUCUGCCCUGUAGUCCUCUAAAAACUUGCCCACUCUUGCUUGGUCUUCUUGCUUUUUCCUAAAAUAGAGGAUGGUCUUGAAGACAGUAAUGACCAGCAGCCCCAAAAGGAUCGUACCUAGAAUAGCAGUGGGAGACUUCAUUAGAAAAAGAAAGAUUUAUGUACUUGUUUCAGUCUUUACACUUAAACAUUACUUGUUUCAACUCCUAGUCUAUACUUUUUAACGCCAUUCAAUUGUUGACAUCCUAAAUUGUAGGAAUAAGGAAUUGAACUAAAUUAAAAGCGAAUGUGUAAGAGCCUCUGGUGUCACCUGUAGUAGCAAAAAUAAAAGAUAUAGGAACGUGAAUUCUCUUCGGUUUGCAUUUAAAACAUUCGGUGUCACCUGUGGUGGUGUUGGUCUUCCAUGUACAUCUCUUGCCUUUUCCUUUGCACUCAGCACAGUUUGGUUUGGACCAUAUCAAAACCAAAUCAUUCGAUUGGAUGAAUGGGAUUGGCGCAGAGAGGUCGAACAUCUUGGUACAGGAUGUUAGACCCAAUCGGAGGACACUAUCAAAAGAAUUAGAAAUGUAAAUCGGACAGGAGAUCAUGUCUUGUGUUGAAUCUGAGCCAUCGUCGUAGUAGUUUAUGAGGUGUGGAUGCUCAGCUGAAGUGCAGUUGAAGAAGCUCAAGUUAUAGUGUGGUCCAUCAUAUGGUGAUUCAAAUUGGUAAGUUCGAAUAAAAUUGAUGGUUUGGUUAAACUUGUUGGAAAAGCAGUUUUCGGGGUCAAUUAAGUCAAUUUCCUGACUUUCGUAGUCUAUGUAAGUGACUAGGAGUUUCAUCGUAGGAAGCGCAAGCAUGGUCUCAUUAUUUUCAGUGCAAGAAAGACAAAUACGGGGAUAACCGCAAGGCUCGUUCAUCUCCUCUGUGAGUUGGAAGGGAAAUCUGAUAGGGGGUUGGUUCGGCCCACAAGAGAAUUCCUCAUCGCACUCGUUAUGAGCGCUGCCAGUUCUGAUAAGAAGAAGCAUUAGCAGUAGCAUCAUCAAUGCAGAAUCACGUUGGAGGAGCAACACACUUGCCAUUUUGUUUUCUUACGGGAAAACAGCUGUUAACCGAGCUCAGUGCCUCUUUUAGUUUAUGCUAACACUUCUAAUUUGUUACUUUUGCAAUGAGUUGCAGAAACCAUAUAGAAAAGAUAAAAAAGACUUGUGAUUUCUCAUUAGUCAAAGUCCGCGUUAUGAAAAAAUGAAAUCCAGUCCAGUGUCAUAAUUUAGCGAUAACUAUUAUUAUCAUACAUUUAAUUCUAUGAAUGUCAAGGUAGAUGCAUAUUAAGUGCCAAGAAUUGACUCCCCCAAACAACAAUCAUGCAGUGAGAGUCACACUCGUAUACAAUAAUACCACCUUAUCUUCGAAAUUCACAGCCACACAAGUCCAAUUGUGUGAUGGAAGUUUGGGUAUAGUGUCUGAAAUUUCUUCUAUUCACAUUGUCCUGUAUCUUUCACGCGUAAUAAUAUCAACAUAUUAAUUAUUUCCUUUCGUGUAAAUAUAAGAAUUUUAAAAUCCAAAAAUUGACUUAUAGACUUGCAUGUAUUCCACCUACUUCUAAUCUUCCAAGAACCUCAAAGUUGGAAUAAAAAGCUUAGAGUAUGUGAGUAUCAUUUCAACAAUAAUGAAUUCCAUCAUGAUUUCAUGGAAAAGUUCAAUAGCAAUCAUCCUUAUGCUAAACUUAGCAAAACACCAAUAAACUCACCAAUUGAAUCUCUAAAAGAAAGACCUGAAGAGCCCCUAAUGAAGUUAUAAAAAGAUUUUAAUUUUAUUAAUUAUUUCUAUUUUAUAUAACUUGCUUCCUUCCUUUUCUCAUAAAUUUGCAUUUUUAUUUGUAAUUAAAUUUGUUCAUAUAAAAUUGCUUCCAAGGUUAUCACGAAGUGUAUUAUACUUUUACAAAUGAACGUUUAGUGGAUACUAAAGCAUGAGCAUCAAAUUAAGAAAAUUUUCAACACCAAAACACUCACAUAUAUAUGUAUAUAUUGUACAAGUUUAAAAGUUUUAUAAAUUAAUUAUAUAUUCAAAUUUAUUGUAGGAACAAAAGCUUGGACAAUUUGUGUUUGUUGACGUGGUCUUUCAACAAACUCACAUUCAAAAGUGUUGGAGAAAAUAUCAACGAAUAUAUCAUUAAUUUAAGUGAUUUUGAUUAAAUGCUAGGUAAAAAAAAAGAGUAUAAAACGUGAAGGUAUAUUUGUUUAUAAGUAUUAGAUUUUAAAAUAUUUGAGGAGUUUUUUCAUUUGAUUAAUCACAAACACAAAAUGGCUUGCAAUAUAUCUUCAUCUAAUAAGCUCGCUCUUAGACAAAUGAUAUGUAGUUGUUAGCAUUACAAAGUGAAACUUAAAGACUUAUAAAUGCUUUUACUUUGUUUUACCAAGAAUGUUCUCUUGUUUGACCACCAAGAGGAUUUCUCGAGAAAUGUCGAAUAUGUUGAAGAGUAUGUUUAAGCUACUUUUUGUCAAACUCCUCCUUAGGUUAAAGAUAAAAGACUAAAGAGAUUUAGGUAUGAUAUUUUUAUACUACUUCAUUUGAAACACCUAGACUACGCCCACUUCUUAAUUAACAUGUUCCACUAAUGUAAAUUAUUGCUACUAAAAUACAAGUUACUUAUUAUUUGAACCUAGUCACUUUUUGUUAAACUACAAAUAUAAUUUGGACACGACCACUUCUAAUUAAAAACACAAGUAUUCUUUGAACACAAUUACUUCUAGCUAAGUAUGAGUAGUGUUUGGACCCAACUACUCUUGACUAAAACACUUUGAUAAACAAAGUUUGUAAUUUAAACGAUCACGAAUAUUCGAUGUCCAAAAGAUAAUAGCGUCUUAGGACGAAAACAAGAUUGAGUACUCUUUUCUUGGUUGUUAUAAACAUAAAUAAUGUUCUUCCUAAAAAACAAAAAAGGCUAAAGAUUGCUUUAAAGUUGGAGAGUGAUAAGAGUUUCUUUAUAAGUGUCAUCGUUGUCAACAUUUCUUCUUUAUAGAGAUCUUCUUUACAUAGAGCUAAAAAUAAAAGAGUUAUUACAUGUCUUUUUUGGAGUCGUGACGAGACUCUACACCCUUAAUUUUUUUAAUCUUAUGUUUGACCACCUUCAAGUAGGUAGAUCCAUUAAAUGAUUCGUGCAACAUUAAAAGUAUUUGUCUACGUGAUACGACUUAUCAAGCCUAGACAAGUAGUUGACUUCACAAGACUGUCAUUCUAUUUUCAAAAAAAUUGUUUGCGUGGAGUAGCUUUAAGCAUGUUCUUUUAAGAGAUUUUGAAUUUAACACUUUAAAGAGAGAUCCUCUUAAGAGAAAUAAAUAGACCAACAUUCUUUGCAGACAGAAUAAUCAUUUAUAAGUUUUCGAUGUGUAUUAUGAAUGCUUAGACUUUGUAUCAACUUUUAUUUGUCCAAAUAAAAACUUAUUAGAAGAAGUGUACAACCGUGUUGGUGUCUUUUGGGUCAAACUAAGCAUGCAUAGUUGCAUAUUCAAUAAGACAAAACAGAUAACUAAAAAUGCUUGGAUAUUUCAAGAAUUAAUAUUAAUAAACUACAAAUAAAAACAAAUUUAAAAGAUAUCAACUUUGAUGUAUCAAAUAUUUAUUCUCAUCAUCACACUUUUUAUUAUUUAUUGAGUAACUUUUUCAUUAUGUAGUUCAAAUUAAAGAAAACAUAUUCAACACGAAAUAACUAAUAUUUUAUUACAUAAUUUAUUACACAUAACUAAUAUUUUAUUAAACAUAAUAAAUAUUGUAAAAAAAUAGAUAUAACCAUAGUUGAAGUUGAGAAAUAAAAAAAAUCUAAAAAAAAUAAAAUUUAAAUCUAAUUAAUCAAUAAAUAAACUGACUUGUCUAAAUAAAAUAAAAUAAAAACAUAUCUAAUUUUUAAAAAUAAAUACAAAUGAUAAAUUUUGUAAUAAAAAAAUUAAUGACUUUUUAAAAGGUUUAAAAUUAUAAUUAUAUAAAAUAUACUUUUAAAUAUAUAAAUUUUAUUUAUAUAAUAAAACUUGUUUAUUUAUUUAUUUUAUAUUAUACCGGUACGACCAUGGUGAAAAGGUCACAUGACGACACGUGACCGACCGACUCUUGGCGAUGAGUCAUGGGUUGACUAAGUCAGCAGGAUUAAUUCAUAGUUAAGUGUUGUUUAGCGCAACCCUAAACAUGAACCAACCUUCUAAUCCGGCCCACCAAUGAAGGUCCAUUAAGGUAAUAUAAAUAGCAUUCAUUCCAAGGAGAAAGGUACGGUGACACCCGAGUGUUACCACCCGACUGACUUGAGCGUUGGAGUGUCUUCUACACGUAUCACCCCUGCCGGUGGAGUUAGACGACCGAGAGAAGGAAGGUGAAGCAGGAAGCUUAGAGCAUCAGUGACCGACCAAAGGUAGAGGCAGGAGGAAUCGUUCUCUAGGCCCAAACCCAUUCGAGAACAUAUAUCAUUUUAUAAUUGACAAGGAUUUACUACAAGCAGUCAUGAAUUAGAACAAGUUGACUCUAGUAAAAACUUAUACUAUAGUUGUUGCAAAAAAUAAUAAUUAUAUCUCAAAUUUGGUUUUUUUGACUGGUUUAUUUACUGUUCUUGUGUACGUGAAAUUUGGCUUUAAAUGUCAGCUUGGAUUGUGUUGGCAGUAGAAGUUUAAACAGAAAAGUCUUUGGGCGUGAGCAUGUGGAGAGAGAGAGCUUUGAUAGUUUUGGUGUUUCUGCUCCACCUAAUUCAUGGAGAAAAUGCUUGCCCUCCUUCUUCCUGUGGGAAAAUCAGCAACAUAUCUUAUCCAUUCCGAUUGAAAGGAGACCAAGGGUGCGGUCGCAGCAUAUAUGAGCUAUCUUGUGAAAACAAUAUAACGCUCUUCUCUUUGGUCUCGGGAACAUUUCAUGUGCAGGCCAUCAACUACCAUAAUUUCACAAUCCGACUGGUGAAUCCUACACUUCAACAAUCAAAUCGCUCUUCUCUUCCUUGCUAUUUCUUCUCUCCAUCCAAUUUCACAACUUCUUACCGGUCGUAUCUCCUGUAUGAAACUCCCAAUCAUGGUUCUUACCUAACUAUUCCUUGGAUUUACGGCAGUGAUCAUUAUACCGAGCCACAGCAUAUAGUGCUUUUGAAUUGUAGCCAUCGAGUGACUGGGAAGCGCACGUAUGUGGAUACCGGUGGAUGCAUGAAUUGGGAGUGGAAAGGCUACAUAUAUGCUAUGGCUGGUGACCUAAUUGCAGAGGACUUUGAAGUAGGAUGUCAUGUGAAGCUGGUUGCUCUCACAUCGUGGUGGGGUUUGGACACAAAUACAUAUUCCUAUGACAUGAUGCACACAGCGCUACUCUAUGGAUUUGACCUUUCAUGGCUUUCUAUGAUCUGUGAGGAUCGUUGUGGACCUACUUACUGCUAUUUCAAUUCUUUCAGCCAGACCCUUGAAUGCGAAAAGGAAGGUAUAGGGCAGUGCAGGUUUUCUGUUUUUAAUGUUUCUGUUAAAUUGAGUUUGUUUAAUUUUUAUUUUUUUUAUAUUUACUAGCUGAACACUCCAUCGGUAUGAUUUGUUAUAUUAUAUCCUCUUAUAAUUUUUUAUAAAUACAUACAUAUAAUUUUUUAUUUUAUGUGAGCUUUUUAUUAUAUCAAAAUAAAAUAAUUAAAUAUAUUAUAUAUUAUAUUUAAUUGAUAUUAUAAUAAAAAAAUAUAAGGAAUCAAAUAUUUUAAAUAUUUAUGAUUUAUUUAUAUGUAAAAUGUUCAUAGUCAUUUUUUGUUACAAUUAGUUUUUUUUCACUGUAUUUUUUUUAUUUUGUAAAUUUGUAUCGUAGUUUAAAAAUAUUAUUAAAGAUAAAAUAGAAAAAAAAUUGUAUAUACAAAACGAUAAAAUAUUAUUAAUAUUAUUAUAAAUUAUAGAUAAAUAUAUCUAUAUAUUUUUAAAAAUCAAAUCAUACUAAAUCAUCAUUUUAUAAAAAUAGUUGGGUUUCAAUCCACCUAUUUUCUUAAAAAAUUUCAAAACCAUCUGAACCCUUUAAUUUAGUUUUUUCUUUAUAUAGUAAGUAAAUAAUGUAAACAUUAUUGAGUAAUUUCUGUGCAUAUUUGAUAUUGAUACUCUGUUCCUUUUUUGGGUGAAUAGGGAGGAGAUAUUGGUGGCAGCCGUAUAAUUUGGGUAAGGAUUCUAUCUCUUAUUGCCUACGUUUGAAUUAUAUAGUUUUUAAAUUAGUAUCUAAUUAGUUUUUAAAUUAGUUUCUAUUAGUUAAAUAGUUUCUAAAUUAGUAUCUAAUUAGUUACCAAAUUUAGCCACCAAAUAAAUUAUUUAGAUUUUAAAUUUGGUAGAAAAACCUUGGUAACUAACUAGAUACCAAUUUAGAAAUCAUUUGACAAUAAUAAAAACUAAUUUAUAAACCAAUUUUUUUUUUAUUUCUAAAAUAGUCUCUAAUUUAGUCACUAUAACAACUAAUUAUUAUUUUUAUCUAAAUUUAGUUUUUAUUUCAUUAUUUUCUUGUAGUGAAUUAUCAUGUUACUUAUUAUAUAUUUUUUUUUUCAAAUUUUCAUGUUUAAAUAUAGUUGUAAUCUCUUAAUUUAAAUUUGGAUUUCUUUUAUAUUGGUUUGCUAAAUUAAAUUUUUUUCCUUCAUUUUGAAAAUGGUUUUCUUAUCUCUAUGCGUACAGUAUCAAAUAUGAUGUGAUUAAUAUUGUGUUUUCUAACUAUUUAUAAAAUAUGAAUUUUAAUGAUUUUUGUUAAAAUAAUUAAAGUCGUAUUAUAGUUAAAAAAUCAUGAGAAAUGAAGUUUCUAAUAUGUGAUGAUGUCUAAAGAUUCACGUCAUAAAACGACAAAAAUAUAAAUAUGAAAUUUAGAGACUAAACUAUCCUUAUUCUUAUAAUCUUCUGAGACCGAAUGUACCUAUAGAAUAUAUUCUGCCUUUUCUUCUUCUACUUGCCGUCAAGUAUGUCUCAUAGGUGGGGUGGUUUAUAUUAUUAUUAUUAUUAAUAAUUUUAUAUUAUUAUUAUUAUUAAUAAUAUAAUUUAUAUUAUUAUUAUCAUUAAUAUAUUUUAUAUUAUUAUUAUCAUUAAUAUAAUUUAUAUUAUUAUUAAUAUAAUUUUUAUUAUUAUUAAUAUAAUUUUUAUAAUUAUUAAUAUAAUUUUUUUAUUAUUAAUAUAAUUUUUAUUAUUAUUAUUAUUGUUAAUAUAAUUAUUGUUAUUAUUAAUAUAAUUUAUAUUAUUAUUAAUAUAAUUUAUAUUAUUAUUAUUAAUAUAAUAUUAUUAUUAUUAAUAUAAUAAUAAUUAUUAAUAAUAAUAAUAAGUAUAAUAAAAAUCGUGAUAUGACCAAAGAACUUGUCUAGGCGAGUGGUUAAUGUUUCCAUUGGUCACUAAAAGGACUAGUGUGGAAGGGGUUGUCGAAGACAUUCGUCUCUCAAUUGACCCUGUUGGUGGUACUGCCGAGUUGGAUACACCCCGCCCUUGGACUUCUAGCUACAAAUGGGUUGACUCAAAUGUUUUUGGGUAUCCUUCUCAGUUUGGAAUUACUGCUUCCCUGAAAGCUUUUAGUGCAAGUAUCGACAUGGUGGACCCGACUUCACCGGAUGGGGUCGUUUCCCUUCGAAGGUGCUCGCCAUCCGACUCAAUUUGUUUGGUCCCUGAGUCUUCCAAUUAUUUUUUUCUUUUACUCUUGCCUAUUAACUGACGCUCAUGUUGGUUUCUCCUUGAUGAUUUUUCCAUUGGUGAAUGUGGCGCCAUCACAGCUCCACCCGAAUAGCUGGGUGUAUGUCCAAGCUUUCCAGCUUCUUUGUUUAUUUCUUAAUGUAAAACAAACUCCGAGGUCUUCCUGCAAAUGUAUAGUAUGAGGCCGGGUAACCGAGUAGGGUGGUUAUCCUUAAUAAGUCAGCUAAGUUUUUGUUUGCUAGCCCCCUUUACUUCUUCUCAUAAGAAUUUUAAAGGGAGGUUUUUUAAGGUUGUGAUCAGGGAAGAGGGUCGUCCCUUUUUUUAUGACGACAACUUUCCACGUUUUCCCUUUUGCUGGACUCGUAACCCCGCGCAUUUUUGUGUAUGGGCAAGGCCAUCUCUGACCUGGGAAGACUUCGAUACUUUGUCUAUUUUAGACAAACUCCCUCGAAAACUCCCUACCCGAUAGUUGUUGCGAGUUUUCCUUUCGGCUACUCGACUUCAAGACAUCGAGGGUACGCUUUGUUUUUGUGAUUUGUGUUUUGAUUUUGUCUUUUGAUGUUUUUUUACUUUCUUCUUUUUCAUCUAUCAUGGUUGCCACCACGUCGGGAGACGGGAAACUCUUCUAUAAAGAAUUGUUGAAACAAAGGCAAGCCGGGACCCUUUAUGAACCAUUCCUGUUGCCAAGAAACUUCCUCCUAAAGAUCCCAGCUCGAAGAAAGCUUGUCGGGAGCACAAGAAGACUUUACAACGACAUUCUGACAAGUCAUCUUCGAGUUGGUCUUAUAAGAGGCCUCAUGUUGAAGUUGGGCUCGAGCUCAACUCCAGAUUUUCUUGGCCGAGAUAUGUAUCUUAGCGAAAAAGUUUCUAUUUCUCUUAGCUUGUCGAGAAGGAGGAAUUCAUUGUUGCUUCCCCUUCAGAAAUGGCCGUGUAAUUCUUUGAACUGGGUACCUGUACUCUCAUCCUCGGGAAACGCAUGGGCUCAGUUCUAAAGGAGCAAGAUAGCACCAAAGUAGAGGGCCUAAAAACCGAACUAGCCGAGUCUGCUGCUUCCCUCCAAAGUGCACAUGAUUCCAACAGCGUUCUACUUGGUAAAAACAAAGACCUCGCUGCCGAGCUAGCUCGGUUGAAGUUGGAAAAUGAUAGGCUCUUGGCACGCUGCUUAUCGGCCAAAGAGAAGGAGAAGGAAGUGUUGGUCGAGCAGGAGAAGCUGGUUGUGUCUUCUUCGGCCAAGAGGGAGAGGGCUGACCAAUUCCAGCCGGCUCCGCACAAGGUGGGUGAGGAUCUCCAACGCACUCAAGACUUCGUCCUCCACCCACACGAGUCACGUUUCAACAAGGGGCUGGAACAAGCUGCGUUCUUUUAUGGCAUCCCCCUUGAUGAAGGGAAGAUUUUACGUAAAUAAGGAUUUUUACAAGGGGGAGUUGGUGCCUAUUACCGAUAUCCUAGAUGAGGGUGGUGAAGAGGAGUAUGGAUGACUUGCCACUUCCGAUCUUGAUGAUGAUGCCGGCAAGUCUUGAUGGUUUUUCGUUUUGAACUUUACUUUUGUUUGGUCGAGAUGAGCUCGUGCUUAUUUUGACAUCACUAAUGUAAACGAUUGGUCACCGUUGGUAGUUUUCUAUCUUGGACAUUGUAUUGAUUUACUAUAUUUAAUUACGAACAAUUUUCUCGUUUUUACAGCUUGCUCCUUUAUUCGUUUUUUUUAUUAUUCGCCUUUUCGUUUAUUUUUUCGUGCUUGUUUACUUGGUUGUUGUGUUUUUCGACGUUUCGACUUUCUUUUACAAAUCCAUUUUUGGAUUCUUCUUUGGUUUUUCUUUUACUUUGUCGGUAGUGAUCCAUUUUUAGGAUUCUUCCUUAACCGAGAUGGUUGUGUGGAGGAAACUGAUUGCAUUCUCAUGCCUUGUACAACAUUUCCAGUUGGCCGUGCAAUAUGCUUUCGGGACGAGAGUGCAUUACAUUCUUAACUAAAAUAAAAUUUAAGGUGGCUAACAUUUCACGUUCUUGGUAUUGGUUGUCAAUCGAGGCAUUCUAGGCGGUAUGCUCCGUUGUAAAAAGCUUUCGUUUACAUGGAACGGGCCUUCCCAGUUUGAUGCUAACUUUUCUUCGGUUUUGUCCUUCUGAUCAUCGCCCUUCAUUCUUCACACUAGAUCUUCGGGAUUAAAAUCUUUGGGUUUCGUCUUCGCAUUAUAUCUUCGAGUUGCUCGUAUUUUGCAGGCUUCCUCUUGUAUUUUUUCUUUGUCUCAGAGCUCUUGCAGUAGAUCUAGCUCCGUUAUAAUUCAUUCUUCAUUGACUGUUAAGUCAGCCAGUUGUCUUUGAAUUGUUAGCUCCCCAACCUCGACUCGUAACAAGUGUCAUAUGUUAAGUUAUAUAGUGUUUCACCGGUUGAGGAUUGAGGGGUGCACCGAUAUGCCCAUAGUACCUUUAGUAGCUCUUCAGCCCAACGCCCUUUCACUACUCCUAGCCUUUUCUUCAAUUCGUUUAAGAUAACCUUGUUAGCCGCCUCGGCUUGUCCAUUCGUCUGAGGGUGUUUGACUGACAUUACUCUGUGUGUUAUGGCGAAGUCUUCGAAGUACUUUUUUCAGCUUUUUGUCAGUAAAUUUUUGGUAACCAUCGUAUGGGGUAUGCUGAAACGACAUAUAACGUUUUUCCAUACGAAUUGUUGUACUUGUGUCGUUGUUAUCGAAGCUAGCGGCUCGGCCUCGAUCCAUUUAGUGAAGUAAUUGAUUGCCACAAGGAGGAAUUUCCUUUCCUCAAAUGUCUGGGAAAAGGGACCAAUGAUGUUCAUUCCCCACAUAGCGAACGACCACGGGGAGUUGAUACUCUAAAGGUUUUGGACGGGCAGAAGGAUACGAGGUCUGUGUUCCUGGAAACUUUUGCAUUUUUUGCUGAACUCGGUGCAAUCGGCCCUUAGUUCAGGCUAGUAAUAUCCUGCCUUGAGGACACGACUUGCCAUAUUACUUCCUCUCGAAUGAGUUCCACACACCCCGUUAUGUGUCUCAUUCAUUACAUACUCCGCUUCCGUUUUGCCUAAGCAUUUAAGCAAAGGUGUCGAAAAGCCUCGCUUAUAUAGAUCUUGUCUGAUUAAUAGGAAAUGUGAUGCCUUACAGUGUAAUGCAGAGUCAGCUAUCUCUUUGCAUGCAUCUCGGUCUUGGACUCCCUUUUCCAUGAUGGAUAACCAACCUUGGGGCCCGGAAUUCGUGUUUAGGCAUUCCUUUACUGACAUCGUCGGUCCGAGAAUACUUUGUUGAAUGAUUGUACUCAAUCCUUUCUUGUUUUUACCACUAGCGAGCUUGGACAGUACGUCAGCUCGAGUAUUUUCCUCCCUCCUUAUAUGAUUCACUUCCACCUCUUUGAAGUCGGUCAUCAGGGCGGAUACUCAGUGGAAGUAUUUAAGUAGCAAAGGAUCCUUGAAUUGGUAUUCCUUCUUUACUUGGUUGACCGUCAAUUGGGAGUUGCUACGACACGUCACCUUUCGUGCUCCCAUAUCCCUGGCUAGGAGCAGGUCUAGAAUUAGCGCUUCAUACUUGGCCCGGUUAUUUAAUGCUCUGAAUCCAAAAUGCAAGGACUGCUCGAUCCUGAUGUGUCACGGUACCUUUAGGACUAUCCUGGCUCUGCUUCCCAUUUUAUUUGACGAGUCAUCCACAUACAGUGUCCACCAUUUGUCACUCACUUGAUUGUCCUGUAGCUCUGAAACAAAAUACGCCAAACGCUCGGAUUUCAUAAGUCAUCGAGGUUCGUACUUGAUGCCAAACUCGGACAACUCCACAGACCAUGCUAUCAUUCUUCCCAUCAAUUCUACUUUUUAGAGUACCUUGCUUAUCGGGAAGUCAGUUUUAACAAUCAUUUGAUAACUUUGAAAAUAAUGCCCAAGACUCCAGGAGGUAUGCACCAACGCCACUUUUUCGAUCGUUUGGUAAUGGGUCUCUGGGCCUUGCAACACGCGACUGACAAAGUAUACAUGCUUUUGGUCAGUCGUUCCUUGGGCGAUAGUGGCGCUAAUGGCUUCAUUUGUCACAUCUAAGUACACUAGUAGUGGUUCUCCAUCUUUCAGUUUUCUGAGAACUAGCGGUGUAGUCAACCUUUUCUUGACCUCGGUGAAUGCGGCUUCACACAUGUCGUUCCAAUUGAAGAUGUUCGCCUUUCGCAUUAGUUUAAGAAUGGGCCUUAUUUUCUCGGCUAACUUUGGGAAAAACUUUAACAUUCAGGAUAUUCGGCCUACCAGUCUUUACCCUCUUGCCUAGGAAUUUUCCGCCUUCGACUCCGAACACACAUUUGGUCGGGUUAAGCCGCAUAUCAAACUUUCGAAGCUGGGAAAAUAUUUCUUCUAGAUCUUUAGCGUGUUGCUCCGAGUUCUUUGACUUUACAAUCUUAUCGGUCAUGAACACAGUCUUCGAUUUAUCUGCUUCAUGCAUGGGUAUUUGGUUAUACCCAGAGUAGGUGUCCAAAAAACUCAUCACGUUGUGCCCCGCGACACCAUCAACCAACUUGUAAAUGCUAGGAAGCAGGUAAGCGUCUUUCAGACAUGCUUUGUUCAGGUCCGUGUAGUCGGUGCACAUACGUCAUUGACCGUUGCUCUUUUUUACGAGUACAAUGUUGGCCAACCACAUAGAGUACUGGAUUUCUCGAAUGAACCUGGUCUCAAGUAACUUACCCACCCCCGCCUGCGCUAUUAACCUUCUCUCUUCUCCCAACCUCAUCUUUCUCUAACCUACCAGCCUAGCCUCUUGGCAAAUGGCUAACCUGUGGAACAUGAUUUUAGGGUCAAUGCCCGGGAUGUCGUCCGCUGUCUAGGCAAAAAGAUAUUUAUUGUCAGUUAAGAUCUAUACAAUCUUUCGUUUUUUCUUCUUCGUGCAGGUUCGAAUUGAUCUACAUGUCCUGCCCUAGGUUGCCAGUUUGCCAUGGAACAGUUUCGCAUCUCGGUUCUACCCUCAAUUCGUCGUGUGGCCUUGGGUCGAAGUCACCAUUUCCUACAAUGGUGUUUAUCUCCUCUUUUUUUGCAGUCUGUACCUUGGCAGAAUUUUCAAGCUGUUCGCGUAGCCUUCCUGGGCGAAAUUUUCAAGCUGGUCGCGUAGCCUUCCUGGGCAGUUUUCUAAUUUAUUCUUACCCUUGCAAUUUUCCACUUUCGGUCGAAAACUUCAUGGUUAAAUGUGGGGGUGAAACGAUGGCCCCAAUCCAUUUCAGAGAGGGUCUUCCCAACAACAUGUUGUAUGAGGUAUCAGUGUCGACGAUCACAUACUUAAUAUUGACAGUUUUUUGCCUCUUAUCCUCUCCAAACUUGGUAUACAUAUCGACAUACCCUAUUGUGUCCACCCAAUUCUUCAAAAAACCUACAAUUUGUUCGUUGAAAGGGACGAUGGGCGGUAGUCUCCACGACCUGUCCUCAGUUUGCGUCGGUCAAACCUUCUUUUCUUUUGCACGAAUUGCCUCAGUUGGUCGGUCGGUAUGAGCUCCUUUAUCUUCUCUUUUAGUGUGGCACAUUCUUCAGUAGUGUGAUCGAAGUUUCGGUGACAUCUGCAAUGCUUGAUCUAAUCGACAUUGGGUGGUGUAAGGGUCCUCUUUUGCGGCGGUAUCAGAUCCGCGUUCAGGGCCUUUUCUAGAAUCUGGGAUUGUUCGAUCGUGAAGGAGGUAUAGUGCAGGAAUCUAAACGGUUUGGGGAAUUCUUUGGGCCUCCUCAGCGCGCGCAUUCCCUUGGGUGCCUCUCUCUUCGCUCUUCGAUUCUCAGCUUCGUCUGUGAACUUUGUUUUAAAUUCUCACAUUUCUUCCAGUUGCAUGAAUUUUGCAGCCCUUUGCCUCAGCUCGUCUAGGUUGUUUGUCAGCUUUUUGCAUAGGCUGUCAAAGAAUGGUCCUAGUUUGAAGGCAGUCACCAGGUGGUGGAGCGCCAGCAUUAGACUCAAGUCUCUCAUGGAAAGGGCUACUCUUUUGUAUCUAUCCAUAAAGGACUUUAGUGUUUCAGUCCUUUCUUGUUGAAUGUUUAUGAGAGUGAGAGAGGUUAGGUGGUGGGGUGUGCUUGUAGCGAAUUGAGUCGAGAACUUGAAUACUAAGGUAUUGAAGCAGUCAAUCGAAUGUGAAGGUAGGCGGGUGAACCAAUUCAGUGCGGCUCCUUUUAACGAAAUGGGAAACACGCGACCUAAUAAGGCGUUGUCAACAGUGUACAAGCUUGUUUAUGUUAUGUAUGCAUCAACAUGUUCGUCCGGAUCGGUGCUCCCCUCGUAUUUAUCAAUGGACGGGCUCUUCCAUAUAGGUGGUAAUGAUACUUCCAUGAAGUUUUCUGUGAAGGGGUGCCGACGUGACGACAACCCUACAGUUGCUCUAGAAGCCGUAUAGCUAGUAUAAUAGGGUCAAUAACUAUUUUCUCCUUCAGGUGUGUCUGAGUUUUGUUUUCGGACAGGCUGUGUUCCUUUCUAUCAAUGGUGUUUGUCCAAUCUCUAAACUUUUCUUCAUUAAUAAGUUCUCGACCUUCAAAGCCUUUAUCUCUCUCACGUUCUUUUGCUUCAUAUUUUCAAACUCUCUCUUCAUUUCCAUCAUCAUGGCAAUUGGGUCCACUGAUGUUCCUUCGUGCUGUCGGUCGUUUCUUGUCAUAUUUCUCAUUGCUACCAUGUGGCUACUCGAUAUGUUUUUCUUUCGGCCCCACGGUGGGCGCCAAAAUGUUCUUACAAUCUGAGACUGAAUGUGCCCUACCAAAUUUCUUUUGCCUUUUCUCCUUCUGCUUGCCAUCAAGUUUGUCUAAUGGGUGGGGUAGCUGCAAAGACACUCUAACGCUCAAGUCAGUUUGGGUACAUGAGUGUUUAGUGAGUUUGGAACUAGAAAAGUCAUUACCUUUUAUCAUGUGAGUCUUGUCUUAUUUAUAGCCUUAUAUUGGGCCUUCUGUCUUAAUUACGUUGGCUUAGGCCCAAUAAUUCUUAAUAGUGUUUAGUUAUCCAUUAAUCCCAAGUUAUUCUAAUUAAUCAACUAGGCUACUUCUUACGAGACCCACCAAACCCUCCACAACCACCAAAAAACGAAAAGGAGUUAUAAGGUCGCCUUGUCUUAGACCCCUUGUUGGUUUAAAUUCCUGAGUAGGACUACCAAUGAUUAGCACAAAACCCUAAUCUAUUUAGCAUGUAAUACAAAAAAUCUCACCUAAUGGAGUCAUAAACUUUUUCAUAGUCAACUUUUAUGGUUACUACUAGCUUAUUGCCCUUCCUUAACUCCUCCACCACUUCAUUUGUUACAACAAUGUUUUCCACUAGACACCUAUCUCUCAAGAAAGUAGAUUGUUAGUUGUCUAUAAUUUUAGAAAGGAUAUUUUUCAAUCUAUUGGCUAGAAUUUUAUAUAUAAUCUUAUAUAUUGCACCCAAAAAAGAGAUAAAUCUGUAUUAAGUAAUAUAUAUAUUAUAACAUUUUUCUUAAAUUCUCAAAUGUUUAUCUGUAAAACAUGAAAAUGCUUAACGAAGUGGGGUUUUAUAAAUAAAUGAACAAUAUGCAUAAAUGAAAAGCCAUGGUUGGUUGAAGUUGAUAAAAAGUAACAUAGUUAAUUUCAUAAUGUUUUGUGUGAUGAUGAAAGACUUAAUUUUAAGCAAUUUGAAUAACAAAAGUCAUAAUACAUAUGAGUUGGUCUAGAAAGAUAAAAACUAGGAAUGAGACUAAUGCAACCAAACUAUUUUAAUAAUAAUUAAAAUCAUAUCAGGAUAUUCAACUUUAACCGGAUGAGGUAGAAACUGUUUCUUCCUUUUUCAUAGAUAAGAGAAUCUCCUAGAAAAAAUAAAAUAAAAAAUUAGAAUUUUUAAUUGGACAAGUGUUUGUUAUAGUAAGAAACAUACAUACCCUAUUAAAUUUAUGUAAAUCUUCUUUAUGAGUUGUGCUUACUCUUUUCCUUUUUUUGGGGGGCGAAUAGUUGAAUAUGCACGUUUGAGGCCUCGGUGGAUGAAGUAUGUUUUUGGUAAGAAUUAUACCUCUUUGGAUUACCUAGGUUUGAAUGGUAACGUAAUACCAACAACUAAUUUUGAUUCUACAUAACUAUCAUAUUACCUAUUAUACAUUCUUUUUUUCCCUUUUUUUUCAUGUUUAAAUAUAGUUUUUUAAUCUCCUAAUUUAAAUUUGAAUUUUUUUUAUGUUGUUCUUCUAAAUUAAAACUUCUUUCCCUUCCAUUUUAAAUUUCUAAAAUAUGAGUUUUAACAUUUUUUAAUUGAAAAUUUAAAUUAGUGAUAUAAUAUUAUUUAUAGAUAUUUUUAGCAGUCAUAACUAAGAACAUAUGAAAAAGAAGAGUAAUAGAAUUUUUAAUAUUAAUUUUAAGAAGUUUUUAAGACAUAAAAAUCACAUAAAUAUAUAAAUAUUACAAUAGAUAAAGUAAAUUUCUUUAAUUAAUAUAUAUAAUAUAACAUCUCUCUUAAAAUCAGCAUGCAUUAGUAUGAAACAUAAAAAGUUGUCAUUCAAAAAUUGAAAACGUUUGAUAAAGUGAGAUUUUGUAAAUAUUUUAACAAUCUACCUAGAUGAAGAAAUGAAAUAAAAUGUAAUGGUUUUAUGUUGAAGUUGAUGAAGAGUAAAAUGACAAUCAAUUUAAAAAAAAAUUAUACUCGUGAAAGACUGAGUUAUGAGUAAUUUGAAUAACAUUUUUCUUGUUGUCAUUAUACAUAGGAGUUGAUCUAUAAAGAGAAACAUCCAUGUUAGAAAGAAGUCAAUGCAACCAAACUAUCUCAGUAAUGGCUAGAGUCAUGACACCAUAUUCAACUUCAUUAGAGGAACCAUAAACAUUAUCUUGUUUCUUGCUCUUUCAAAACAUAAGGGAAUCUUUUUAGAAAAAUGCAAAAAAACAUGUAGUAGACUUAUGAUGAGUAAGGUCAUGAAUCCAAUCAACAUUAGAAUAAGCACACAACUUCAAGGAAGAUGAUGAGGGAAAAAGAAAGCUCUGAAAUUAAGUACUACGAAGAUAUCUAAGAAUGCAGAAAACAACUAUGCAAAGCACUAGUAGGAAAAACAAGAAACUAACUCACAACAUGAACAACAUAAGCAAUAUCAAGAUGAGUAAUGGGUGGAUAUAAUAGAAUAUCAACAAUAGUAUGAUACAUGGUGAGAUCAUAAGAGAAACACCAUCAGAAGAAGUAUAUUUCACAUUAAGUUCAAUAGAGGUAUCAAUUGUAUGCGUAUCAGAAAGACGAGCAUGUGCUAAAGUGACAAUAUACUUAGAUUGAGAGAGAAGAUAACAUUUAGGAGAAUAUGUACCUUCAAUAUCCAACAAAUAAUGAAAAGAACACAAAUCCUUUCAUUUUAAACUAUUUUUUCAACUACAAUUUCAACUAUAAUCCGAUCUACAUCAUCUCUGAUGAUUAUCAUGUCGUCAACAUAUAAAGAGAUAAUAAUACGGUCAUGAGAAGAAGUAUUUCAAAACAAACCAGAUUCACAAUCACUAGAACAAAAUCCAAGAGAUGCAAUAACUAUGGAGAACUUUUCAAACCAAGUUUAAGAGCUUGUUUGAGAAACACCUAGAGGAGGUAUCGUGUAUACCUCAUUUUAUAUAUCUUCAUUUAAGAAAUCAUUUUUAAUAUCCAACUAAAAAUAUCCUAUUGACGAAUAGAGACAACAAUAAUAAGAGUACAACUAUACAAAUGGUAGUCAUCUUAGAAACCGGGACAAAGAUUUAUGCAUGAUCUAUAACAUAUUCCUAAGAGAAUCCUUUAGCAACUAAACUAGUUUUGUAAUGCUCAACAAACCCAUCCAACUUUGUUUUAAUUUUACAAAAAGCCAUUUUUUCUUGGAGGAUAUCAAGUCUCAAGUAGCAGUCUCAUAUAAAGUAGAAAGUUUCUCUUACAUAGCCUAUUGCCAAAGUGAAUCAAGGACAAUUUUUUUAUAAGAAGAGGACUCAUAAAUUUAUGAAUUAUGGUUAAGAGGAAAGCAAAGGAAGAAGAAUAAAAAGAAUAAACAAAAUUUGGUGAUUGGGUGGACUUAUGAACACAUGGAGGAUACCAAGGACGUGAAGGAUCAAUAAUCACAAGAGAUUUCAGGGAGUUUUGGGAGUUAAAAGAAAAUUAAUAUAAUGGAAUGUGUUCAAGGAAGACAACUUAACAAGAAAUAUAGAGUUUGUGGUUGGUAGGAUCAUGGCGAUGAUAAUUCUUUUGACAAUCCCAUAACUAAGAAAAGUGCAUAUUACAAAACUAGAGGACAAUUUAUUAUGUUCUUGUGGAUGAAGAAAAAAAUGUAGAACCAAAACCUUUCAAGGAAGAUUAAUUAGAAACACAACCAUACAACUUUUGAAAUGGAGACAUGAUUCAAUCUAAGCUUGCAUCUUCUUUUGUGGAUCUUUUUCUUCAUUGUUUUGAUUUGAAUAUCUUCUACGAAUGAUGAAAACUAUUGCAGAAGCAUGAAGAAUUGUAAAAUUUUUGGAAGAAAUGAAAAUUAUGUUAGUGAAUCUAAGUGGGGUUAGGUGAACACUUAGUUUCUAUAGUGAGGUUAAGCCAAGACUACUAGGAGGAGUCUAGAAAUUUGUAUAACAAGAAGACAACUCUAGAGAGAAUUUUGAACAAGUAAAAGUGUCUUAAUUGGACAACAUUUCAUUACUCAAAUUAGAGUUAAAAAUCAUGUACAAGAGACUCCUAUUUAUAGGAGAAAGUCUCGCAAAACCUCUCAAAUGAGAGUGUGACAAGUGUCACACCUUAUUGGUGCAAAUCCUCUCCAUUGAGGAGAAGGCAUGUGGAGCCUCAUGCCUUCCUUGCCUACAUUUCUAUUUACACCUCUCUUUUACUAUUAUACAUUCAACUUUCUUUUCUAUUUACAUCCUUCUCUACUUUGGCCCAAAAUACAAGACCCAAACCUUCCUAACUACUUUAUACAAUUUUUACAAGGCUAAGAAGAAGAAAAACACUUUACAAUAUCUUCAAUAAGUCUCAAUCUUUUUCUAUCUUCUCAGCUGAAAGUUUCGAGGUCGGAUGGUUUUCAUUAAGACAUACCUGAGAUAACAGAAGAUGAAAUUUGAAUAAUAACAUGAACAAAAUAAGACAUACCUAAAUCAUACAAUAAAAGAAAUUGGUAUAUUCAAGAUUUCUUUCAGCAACUCCCUUCUGUUGAGGAGUAUCAAUACAAGUUUGAUGAAGAGUUCCACUGAUGAUAAGUAAUUCACAAAAAAUUAUUAGAAGUGUAUUCACCACCCAAAUCCCAUUGAAAACAUUUAAUAAAAACAUUAUAUUUGGUUUUAAUCAUAAUAUGAAACAUAAGAUAUACAUAAAAACAAAAAAAAAAACUCAAAACAAUGUUUCAUAAGAUAAACCUAAUAAUAACAAAUAUGUUCAUCAAUAUAAGGAUACAUAAUAGUGAGAUUCACCUUUGUUAGGAACCAAAGAUGGACCCUGUGCAUGAUAAUGAGCCAAUUCAAAAAGGUGUAUGAGACCUAAAAACACACUUGAUAAAAGGUAAAGUAGUAAAUUUGACAAGUUUACAACCACAAUAAUUAGAGAUAUCAUUGGUCUGUAGCUUGCCUAAAACUCCAGUGGAGACCAAGUAAUUUAACUUAGUGAAAGAAACAUGUCCAAUACAUAAAAAUGAUAAAUCAAAAUGGAGGUUUCAAUAAUUGGAUUCUUUAGCUCAUCUAUUAUAUAAAAUCCCCAUAUCUACAACUUGUCCGAAUCAACCUCCUGAAUUGAGGAUCCUUCACAUAAAAAUUAGUAAAAGAAAAAAGAAAGCGAGUAAGUAAAGUCACAUAGUUGAGCGACACAAACAAGAUUUAAAGUGAGAAAAUAAAUGUGGAGACAAAUCCAAUAUCUGCUAAUGGCAUUGAGGAACCACGAGUAGUCCAAAUAGAUAUAGGUGAAACGAAAAUUGAGGACUAAAAAACAUAAGAUCAUAUGACAUGUGAUGUGAGACAUCAAAAUCAAGGAUCCAUAAGAAAUGAGACAUAUUUGAUGAAUUAGAAUAAAAAUUUUAAGAAUUAUGACUUGUGACGAAGUAGUAAGAAACUUUUGAAAUUCUUCUGCAAUAUCAAAUACACUGAUGAAAUUCAAAGAACCCUCAUUUUCACCUACAAUAUUUAAUUAAACAAUAAAAUAUUUAAGAAUAAUAAAGAAAAAAAUAACAAAACAAAGAUGACACAGGACACAAAUUAGAUUGCAAAUAGGACCUUGAACCCCUUAAAACUCCAUUGUCCUACAAUAGUUCAAACAAUAUGAAAGGAGAUGUGGAAAUCUCACAUUAUUUAUCGAACCAGAUGAGUUUAAUAGUAAAUGAUUAUCAAACCAGCUAUGACCUUUAAUACUAUAUUAUAUUUUAACUUAAAACCAAUUGACAUUAUGUGAAGUUGUUUAUACAUAUAUAAACUGCACUCCCAUACUUGAUGCAGGCCAUGUAAGACUUCCCAACACCCCUUUUAGACAGUUAAAAAUCGCAGUAAAUUGGAAAUCCAAAACCACCUUACGUGUCUAGAAGAAGAUAAAAAUAACAUUUUCUAAGUUAUGUAACUACAAAAUAUUUUUUUAAUGUAAUGCAUAAAAAAGUGAGUUAGAUUUGAGGGAAAAACAUAUUUAAACUUUUUUAUUAAGUUUAAAAUAUAAGUAAAUUCAAAUUCAGCAGUCAUGUAGUACAACAGUUCCUCGAGUGGCAUCAUGCAUGUUCCUCCUUAAAGAUAUUAGUUAAUUCAGACAAGCGUGGAUUACUCACGUAACAAAUUUAAACAAAGAUUUCACAAUAAGAUAUAACAUAAUGCAACAAAUGAGUAUUUAAAACACCAACUUGUUCCCUAGAUUUUACAUUACUUUUUAUUUUGACCCUUUACAUAAAAGAAUAUUUUACUUUUAAUUGUGUCAGAUUAUUUAUUAACUCAAAGAUUGUUUUUUUAUUUUACAGGGACUAUUUAUAGUAUCAAAGAAGGUGAGUUCCUCUAUUUGUAUAUUUUUUUUUAGGUAAAAAUUUAUUCCUCUAUUUAUAUAUGUUAUAAGUAAUAAGUUGAUGGAACAAGUUUCUUUAUAAAUAUAUUUAUUUGAAUAAAAAUAUAAAAACAUUAAAUAAAUUAUUUAAAAGUUAAAACUAAUUUAUAUUUAAACUAUUUUUUACACAUUCUUUAAUAUAACCUUUUCAAUUUCCAAUUUAUAAACAAUUUGAUUUAAUUUUUAAAUUUUUAUUUUUCUUUUAUAAAAAUACUUAUAAAAAAUUGUACAAAUAUAACUAAUAUUAUUUAUAAACUAUUUUUGCCAAAACAGUCCUAUAAUAAUUUUUUAUUAUGAUGAGAUCUAUCACUUUGAUUUUUAACUCUUCCAAUGACAUACUUUUAAAGAUAAGAAUUUGUGUACAGGUUCUAGGAGAGUAAUUGUUUUCAUUUUUAUUGACUAUUAUAUGUUAACUGAACAGCAUCCUUUAUUAAUACUAAGAAAACUCAUAUCCACAUUUUUAUUUCAUUAAAAUAAUAUAAUUUUGCAAACAAAAUAUUAAAAAUAUAUUAAAAUUAUAAAAUUUAUAUUUAUAUAAUUUUGUAAAAGUAAGAUUAAAAUAAUAUAUAUGGUUAUACAACUAUAUAUAGAGGAUCCUCAAUGUCAUCUUUUAAAAAUAAAACUAAUGUUACACAACACAUGUUAUUAUAUGAAAGAGAGACUAUAUUAGACUGACGUAAAAAAACAAAAAAAACACUUAAGAGUAACUUAAGCAUUUACAUUGAGAGUUUAAACCAAAAAAUAAAAAAAUUAAAUAAAGAUAAAAAGAAAAAUAAAAGAAGAUUUUCUAAUAUGUAGCUCCCAUAAAGAUAGCACGGAUAAACAAUUGAAUUCCAAAAUCCUAUGAUAUUAAUGCACAUCCAGACCAUUACUUUUGUUGGGUUGACUUGCUUUGGAGGUUUUAUUAUUGGCUUUCACUCCGACUUUAUAGGACGUCCCAAUCUCCUGAAAGUUUGAACUGGUUCAUUGUCUUCACUUAAUGAUUUCUCCUUAUCCAUCUUUUCAGCUCCGAACUUAGAAACCAAAUUGACUUCUUCUAAGAAAAUGUCAGCCAACGUAGAUUCAACUAUACUCAUUACCAAGAUGGUCGAACAUGUCUCUGAGUCUCUUAUUCACCAUCUAAACGAGAUUCAAAACAAUUUGCAAGGCCAAAUUUUGAGAAAUAAAUUUAAAAGUAACUCAUUUGGCAACUGCAAAUUUAGGACUUUUGCAUUAGUUGUAGAUUCGAGAUGAAAAAAUCCUUCAAAAAGACUAAAUUUUUCAAGAGGCAAGGAGUCUUUUUUUUUUGUAGCAAAUCACUUGAUUCGUGGACAUUCUCCAAAGAGAGUAUAUCAACAAAAAUAUCAUCCUGAGAUCGUGAACCAGACCUUAUAUCAACAAUUAAAACAAAGAAACAUUAUCAACAACAAAUAAUUCUUUUGUAGAUUUCUUAAACUUUUGACCAACAAGAGAUCCAACCUCCACUUGGCCAACAACAACUUCAACUAAGCGUAUCAAGAUCAAUAGCAACUCCCUCAACUUCCACCACCCCUGUCUUAUGAACAAGUACAUCAUAUUUCUAUAUCUCUACUGCAAAAUUUUGAUUCUCUAUGACACUAACCACUUCCUUGUGAGGGGCAUCUUUAAUUUCUUUUGGUAUGGAUAGUCACAGGUUUAUACUCUGCAACAAGUUUGGAUAAAAUAGUAGACGGUUUGAUUAUGUCAUUAAGGUUAUUAGGAUUGUUAGAAUAUAGGGCUGAAACAAGAGGGGGUGAAAUGUUUUCGCAAGAUUUUCAAAAAGGCUGGAAGUAGAUUAGUAGAUUGAAAAGAUCAGUUAAAUCAAUCAAUUGAUUUAUUUUUUCAACUGGUUACUCAAUAGAUUACAGUUAUGUGAAAAAUAUAAACCUAUUGUUUUUUACAAAUCAACUAAUUGUUUAAUGCAGAACACACAGAGAAGUAUUUAAAAUAGUUUAUCAGAGUAGGGAAGAGAGAUUCACACAAAGAAGUUUAUAUUGGUUCACUAUAAACAAAGAGCUACAUCCAAUCCCCCGCAAACCACUUGGAAUUCACUAAGUAAUCAAAAAAUAGAUUACACCACAACCAAGAGUGUUGAUCUUGAAUCCUUCAAGAACACACAACACUUAACAAAAACACAGUUUCUAGAAACACAAUAUGAAAUUGUUUUACACACAAUACAAAUUAAAAGAAUGAAUUAGAAUACACCUAAGCUUUAUACAGUUGAAAAACAAUAGAACAUAAAACUCAUAAUCAUAUUUCACACAAAAGCAAUGAUCCAAGACUUCAAGAAUGAUUAAAAGCUCUUUAGUCUUCUCUCUUGAAAAACAUGUUCAAUAAACUCUCUUUUUCUUUUUGAAAUGAUGAGAAAACAGUCUUUAUAUAGACUUUAAAAGAUGGGUAAAACAGUUUGAUCAUUAAAUGAAAUCUAUUACAAACAUUUAAAAACAUUUGAAAAUCAUAACAAAAUUUUGUUAAAAUCACUUAAUUGAUUUUUAAAACAAACUGAUUGUUUUCACUUUCGGUUAGAAACUCAACAUAAAAAGUUUGUUCAUUUAUCGAAAUAACUAACUAUUUUUUCUUUACAAAAAAGACAAAAGAAAACAAAUCAUUUUUAAAUCCUUUUAAAAACCGUAAGUGUAAUUCAAUUGGUUGUCGCGAUAAAUUAACCAUUUGAAAAACUUGUUGUAGUCACCAAAUUAGAACAAAAGCUUUUUCAACGAUUUAAAACACGAAACAACUAACUAAAAUUAACACAAAUUUGAAAAACAAAACUUUCAAAAAAGAUUUCAAAUCAUACGAACUUGGAUCAUAACUAAGUGCAAAUUAACAACUCAAAAUCUACCUAACUACACACAACAGCAAAUUCUUCAAGCUGGAUUUGGAAAUCAUCAAAGCAACCUUGUUCAAUAAGGAUGUCGUCUACAUUUAGAAAUAUCAUACCCUGUCAUUUUACACAAAGAGAAAAAUGGAGACAACUUCUCAAAUUCAAUAUCUGCAAAAAAGCAAAACCAGGUAUUUCCACCAAAAUUUGAUUAGGGAAAGCAUAUAACAUAUCAAAUAAGCAAAAAAACCUCUAAAUUUAUUCAGGUGCGGUCAUCAAGGGAAAAAGGAGUACUAAUCCAUUUCUCUAUAGAGAAAAUUGUUUUUGGUUUCCAAUAUUCCAUAGGAAGACUGGAUUUUCACUCAACAUGGAGCUUUGGUGAGUUUCAUUUAAGAUGGCACAAAGUCUGGUUCAAGCAAAGACUAUCAAGAUACCCAAAUUGAGAUUCCAUAACCUCAUUGCUAGGACUCUUCUAAUGUCUUCAAGAGAAGAAAAAACAAAUUCAUAAAACCCUUUUCCCAAAGGAAUAACUUUCCAAAAUCCUUGAGACUUUCAUGUAAGAUCCAACUUUUUGCUCAUGUUCAUAUGAGUAAGAGGUUUGUCACCUUUGGAUAGUACUAUUCUUCCAUGAAGGUGAUUUUACCUUCUUCAAGACUUACGAGAUACACAUCUACAUCAAUUUGAAUAGAUAUCAAAUCUCCAUUCACUAGUGCAGAAACAUAAAACAAAUGCGGUUGUUUUGAAUUUAUAAAUGCGGCUUUAUAACCGCAUUUGAUCAACACGCACUUGUAAAUCAAGAAAUAUAAAUGCGGCUAUAUAGCCGCAUUUAUAAAUACCAUUUACAAGUGCGGUUAUUUGCUUAACCGCACUUGUAUAUGCCGAAUCAUUAAAAAUUUUAAAACAUCGUCAAUCUUGUGUGAAGCCAAGAUUGAUGAAGAGUCACGGGAGCGAACAACGGUGGCGGCAGCAGAAGGGACGACGGACAGGGAAGCAGCAACGAAGCAAACCAAAAAAUCCACAAGAAACCACGAAGACAAUGAAAGAGUGCUUCGAGACCACUAAUGCAAGGAAAAAAACAUAUAUAAGAAAAACGAAAAACAUUUAUGCAUAUAUUUGUGAAGAUGAAGAGGAAAAAAGAGAGUUCAAGAAACUUACAUUGCACAAAUGGAAUGCAAAUGUAGUAGAAGGAGACGAACUCAGAGUGCAAACGCGAAACGAAGGCAAAGACGAGAAAUAAAGUUUGAAAUUGUGUGUGGCGCGCUUCAAAAUUUAAGGUAAAAAAGGAUUUACGAAUGCGGUUAAAGGUAAAACCGCAUUCGUAAAUCAAAGAAUUUUGAUUUACGAAUGCGGUUAUUCAAAUAACCGCAUUUGUAAAUCAAGCGCUUUGAUUUACAAGUGCGGUUAUUCAAAUAACCGCAUUCGUAAAUCAAGCGCUUUGAUUUACGAAUGCGGUUAUUCAAAUAACCGCAUUCGUAAAUCAAAAUAAUUUCAAAAAUGCCACCGCGUUUUUAUUGAAAGCGGGUAGCGCAAAAGCCGCACUAAAUAAAGCGUAUCCUUUUCUUCUUUUUGCACUAGUGAUUAAUGCAAGAAGAAGAUAACAGUGAAAGAGGGAUAUCACCAACAUUAUUCAAGGUUUUGCAAAAUUCAUCUUUUGUGUUUAAGUCCUAUAAGAUAACUUGAUUUGCGAAGAACAACCUUAGUCCUUGAGACACCCCUAAAAAAUUUAAAAAUUACAAGAAUUUGUCCCAAUCCCACAACAUUAGAGAGAAAAAUAACCUAACCGCUUAGAAGAGAAGCGCCGACAAACCUUUGCUUAACCACCGAACUCUAAUUUUCAAGGAUAUAGUUUUGUCAUCUCAAUAAAAAAUUUAUCUUUAAUUUCAUCUUUUUAAUUGAUAAUUUUAUCAUUUUAUAAUUUUAUUCUUUAGUAAAAAGAGGAAUCCUGUUGUUGUAAUGGUCUAACUUUCCCAUUUAAAAUAACAUAAAUAUACAUUUUCUUUUAACUUUUAAAUCAUUCUUUUAGAAAUACUUUUUAAAAUUUUAUUAUCUGCAAUAACAUUAAUAAAGAUAAUAUUCUCUUUGGUACAUAAAUUCUCACUGUCUUAUCCUUUGAUAUUUUUUAAAACUAAAAUAACUACUUAUAUAACACAUUACCUACAAAAUAAGAAAUUAUUGUUUACAAAAUUAUAAAAAUUAUUUUUAAUUGGACAAUUUUAUCCUUUAUUAAUAAAAAUAAUUUAUUUAUUUAUUUAAUAAAAUAAAUAAUAAAAUAAAUUUAUUUAUUUAUUUUAAAAUAACUAAAGAACUUAUCUAUUAAAAAAUAAUGUUUAUAUAAUUUUUUAAUCCUAUUUUUAUCCUUUGAGUAGCGAUUUUUUAAAGCCAAAAUAACUAUGUAUAUAAAUAAACUACCUAUGAAAUCAGAAAAUAAUUUAUCUAAAAACUUAUAAAAGUUGGUUUUUUUUACUAUGAUGGGGUUAUUGUUUUUUGGUUUUUACCAAAAUGGGGUCCGUUUAAAAAAAAUUACAAAUUUAGGCAAGUCGUGCCUAAUUGGGACGACUUCAUAUGCAGAAGUUGUCCCAAUUAGGCACGACUUCUGCCCUGUCAUACUGAAGUCGUGCCAAGUUGGCACGACUUCUGCCCUGUCAUAUUGAAGUCGUGCCAACUUAGCACGACUUCUGCCACCUCAUAAUUUUUUAUUUUAUUUUAAUUUUAUUGUUUAUAUAUUGGAUAGUAAGUUAUGUAAUGUUACAAAUUAAUUUCUUCUCAUCAUUACGUGUUUUGUAAAAUCAUUACUUCUCAAACUAUUUAUUUUGCAAAUUCACAACAAUAAUUCUCUAUUUAUUUUCCAAAUAUAAUAAUUUUUCAUUUAUCUAUUUAUUUCCAAAUUCAAUAACAAUUUUCUUCAUUUUUUAAUUAAUCAAGUUAUUGUAUUACAUUACCGUCAAACAUGAUCCAUACACGAUUAUCCAAUUUUUGUUCCUUAAAACUAACACUCUUAGAAAAUUAUGUAUCAAAUUAAUUUUUAACAUUACAUAACUUACUAUCCAAUAUAUAAACAAUAAAAUUAAAAAAAAAUGACGUGGCAGAAGUCGUGCUAAGUUGGCACGGCUUCAAUAUGACGGGGCAGAAGUCGUGCCAAGUUGGCACGACUUCAUUAUGACAUGGCAGAAGUCGUGUCUAAUUGGAACGAUUUCUACAUAUGAAGUCGUGCCGAAUUGGCACGACUUGCCUAAAUUUGUAAUGUUUUUUUCAACGGACCCAUUUUGGUAAAAAUAAAAAAAAAUAACCCCAUCAUGGUCAAAAAACCAUAAAAGUUAUUUAUAUUUAUUUUUAAUUGGACAGUUUACCUUUUAAUAAAUAAAAUUUAUAUUUUUUAUUUAUUUAAUAAAAUAAAUAAUUGGAUAAAUCUUCUUUAUUUUAACAAAAUUAAAGAACUUCUUUUUUAAAAAAUAACAGCUAUAUAAUUUUACAAUACUAUUUUUACAAAAUAAUAUAUAUUAAUUUAUAUUUUUUAAUUAAAUAUUCAUAAAAAUAAAAUAAAAGACUAUAAAAGUAUUAAAAUUAUAAUUUUAUCUAUUUGAAUAUAAUAAAGAUGUGAAUACACAUGUGAGAAAAAUGUGUUUUCGUUAGUUUGAACAUAAGCGCGAGAACUACUGGAUUCUACUACUUUUUAAGUAAAAAAAGUUAUUGUUUUGGUAGAAAUAUAUUAUUUAAUUAUUGUUUUAUUAAUUAAAUAAAUAAAAAAUUAUUAAAAGAUAAAAUUAUCUAAUUAAAAAUGACGUUAAAGAUAGUUAUCAAAAUAUCUAUUCUUUUUAUUUAAUGAUAUAUAUUAUUUUUAGUAGAAGUAAAUUAUUCAAUUACUUGUUUUAUUAAAUAAAAUAUAUAUUUUUAUCUAUUAAAGAAUAAUUAUUUUUAAUUAAAACAUAACAUAAAAAAUAAUUAUAAAAAAUGUAUUGGCACUAUAUAAUACCAUAAAUGAUGAAAAUAAUAAUAAGUAUAAAUAACUUUAAAAGUUUAAGGAUUUUAUUAUUAUUAUAUUAAUAAAAAGAAGUUGAUAAGUGAUUUUUAUUUCAUUUUAAGGAAGUGUGAUUUUUUUUUCUUUAUUAUAACAUGAUGACAUUUGCGAUUUUAAUUCACAGGCUUGGUUAGAACAAUAAAUGGACAAAACAAAAAUAUUGAAUAUUACGGUGCAAAUCAAUUAGUAUUAAUUAAGUUGGGACAGUAUGUUAUACCAUACUUCAUAGUUAGAUAUGUUGUUGGCACCAUAUUGUUUAUUGCUCUUUUGACGUAUAAGUGGAGAAGAAGGCAUUCGUCCGAAUACGAAAAUAUUGAAAGUUAUUUAGAGCAAAAUAGCUUGAUGUCUAUUCGAUACACAUACAAGGAGAUUAAGAAGAUGGCCACAGGUUUCAAUGAAAAAUUAGGUGAAGGAGGUUAUGGCUCUGUAUUCAAGGGAAAGUUGCGUAGUGGACCUUCUGUUGCUAUAAAAGUGUUACGAAAAUCAAAAGGUAAUGGACAAGACUUUAUCAAUGAAGUUGCAACCAUUGGAAGAAUACAUCAUCAAAAUGUAGUGCAGUUAAUUGGAUAUUGUGCUGAAAGCUCAAAACGUGCCCUUGUUUGUGAGUUCAUGCCCAAUGGAUCUCUUGACAAAUUUAUAUUUUCAAGUGAAGGAAAUAUGCAUUUAACUUAUGACACAAUAUAUAAUAUAGCAAUGGGAGUAGCACAUGGGAUUACAUAUUUACACCAUGGUUGUGAGAUGCAGAUUUUGCAUUUUGACAUCAAACCCCACAACAUCCUACUUGAUGAAAAAUUCACCCCAAAAAUCUCUGACUUUGGAUUGGCAAAACUAUAUCCAAUAGACAAGAGUGUUGUGACUAUGACAGCAGCAAGAGGGACAAUUGGAUACAUGGCUCCAGAAUUGUUUUAUACAAAUAUUGGAAAAAUAUCAGAUAAGUCUGAUGUUUAUAGUUUUGGAAUGCUUCUGAUGGAGUUAGCAAGCAAGAGGAAAAACUUAAACCCCCAUGCAGAGCGUUCAAGCCAACUUUAUUUUCCCUUUUGGAUUUAUGAUCAACUUGACAAAGAGAAAGAUAUAGAAAUGGAAGAUGUCAUAGAGGAUGAGAAGAAAAUUGCAAAAAAAAUUAUGAUAGUUUCACUUUGGUGCAUACAAUUAAAACCAAAUGAUCGUCCUUCCAUGAAUAAAGUAGUCGAAAUGCUUGAAGGAGAUAUUGAGAACCUUAAAAUACCUCCCAAGCCUUCUCUGUAUCCACGUGAAACUUUGGAAAGAAUCUGCUUUGACCAAACAACAAUGUCUGAGUUCAUUAGUUCUUCAAGCUAUUCCAUGGGGAUUGUCACUAAUGAUCCACUAGAUGAAAGUAUUUAAUAAUGCAUAUUAGUUGUUUAUUUACCUCAAACUUAGUGACGACUUAAACAUUAUUCAUCUAUAAUAUUUACAUUGUCUAAGUUAUUUCCUAUUGUUUUAUACUUCAAAGUUUAAAAUGAUGGUUUACCAAAUUUAAACAUUUGUUUAAAGAUUUUCGAUAUGUUAAUUAUACUAAAGUAGUUGUAGCAUCCUAAGUUUUUUUUAAUUGUUAUUUAAAACUUAAUCAAAUAUACAAGUAAAUUUAGUUAAAAUAAUAAAUUAAAUAGGUAUAUUUUCUGAUAAGUGCAUGUACUAAAUUCUACAAUAAUUGGGAUUUUGUAAGCUAGAUAAUAGUACUUUAUUGUAAGCUAGAUUAUUGGCAUAGAAAGACUGGAGGAAAGAACUUUGAAGGAUCAACCUCACAAGAUUCUAUUGCAAGUACUUUAUAAGACAAACAUAUUUUGACGAGAGUAACAAUAAUUAGCUCUAGUGGUGGAAAACAAUGUUAUGUGGAUAAUGGAUUUAAGUGCAACUUGGCACCUUACCCUGCACCAAAAUUGGUUUUACACUUAUGCACCUAUUGUUGGAGUCGAAGAUUGAGCCAAAUUAUAUUUCAUGAAUUCAACCCUCAUGACGAUCGAAGACUUUGUUUAAUGAAGAAAACUUUAUUUCAUAUAACAUUUGUGUGUAUGUGUGUAUUUUAGUCUAUUUCAUUGUAUGGUUCGUAUGCUUAUAACUAUCAACAUAAAUGAAUCAUAAGAAAUGAUCCAAGGAUAAUGAUUCAAAUUUUUUUAAAUUGUUUAAAACUUAGGUAUUAAGGCAAUUUCAAUUAAUUGAAAUUAUGUUUUAAUAUGUUAAAAUUACUUACAACCUCAAAAAGUUCUAUACAGAUAUUUAAUUUGUUAAAAACAGUUGUUUGACAUAUUCAAAACUCUUGGUUUUAAGGAUAUUAUUAUUUUAUAUGUUUAACAAAUUUAAAUCUUUUAAAAUUUUAGGAUGUCUUAUCUAUUUUGUUUUAAUAGAUUGAAAACUCAAAUUAAAAAUCAACAAAUUGAUUGGAAUUUUUAAUCCAUUAAACUUUACAAAUCAAUUUUUGAAAAGUAUUUUUUUUUUAAAAAACAUCUUUUGAAAAACUUUGAAGAUAGAGAACUUAGGUUUUUAAGAGAGGAUUUUACUCUGAGCAAAAGUUUUUAUUCUUGGCUGAAUUUUUAGAACUUAGCUGGUCCUACUUGUAUUAAUGUGUAGUUCUUCCUUGAUUCUUUUUUUUAUGUGUAGGUGAAUUGAAAUUAGAUAGUAUUUCUAAUUUUUAUAAUAACAACAAGGUGUUGUUUCACUACAAGAAAAAAAUGAUUUUAACAGGGGUUUAUUUUUACAUCACCAAGGGUUAAAACCUUCAUUAAGUCACUUACCCAAGAUUGUAGUUUCCCAACCAUCCCUGAGGAAGGUGUUCCCCGACGUUUUUUAAAACCCCAAGAAAAGUCUUUCAAAACUCCUGUUAAAUACCAUGGGUUUAAGAACCUCCGUAAAAUACCAUGGGUUUUAGGACCUCCAUAAAAUCCCACAAGUUUUGAAACAUUCGUAAAAUACCAUGUGUUUUAGAACCCCCCGUAAAAUAACAUGGAUUUUAAUACAUCCAUAAAAUACCAUGGGUUUCAAAACCUCUAUAAAAUACCAUAGAUUUUUAAACCUCUGUAAAAUACCAUGGUUUUCAAAAUUCCUGUAAAAUAUCAUGGGUUUUAAAACCCACAAAAAAUACCAGAGGUUUUGAAACUAAAAACAUUUGUUUUUUUACUCAUUUUAUCGUUAAAACAUUCAUGUGCUUCUUCAAACACAACUAUAAGAAAUGAAUAUAAGAAAUAAAUUACAAACUUUCACUUUAUAUAUAUAUAUAUAUAUAUAUUAUUCACUGGUACUAUUUACGAUAAAAGUUACUAAUAAAAUUUUUUUAUCCACAUAUCCAAACAACAAAAGAGUUCAAGAGUUAAAACCCUUUUUUCUUGUAGUUCUUGUUGGGUAUAACACUCUUGUAGGGUUCAAGAGUUCUGUUUUUGGUAUUCUUUGUGUUGUAAAGAUUUUUUCCAUAGUGAAAUCUCAAAUAGUAUGGUUGGAAAACUAGAUGUAACUCUAAUAAAAGAGUGAAACUAGUAUAAAAGUUCUUUUGUGAUCCUUUUUCUCUCUCUAUUUACGUUUUUGCAUUUAGUUCUUGAAUUGAUUCUUAUGUUUUAGAAAAAAUUAACAAAUUGAUAUUCUGAUUAGAUCUAAUUUAACCGAUUGAAUUUUAAAUUUUUUACCAGUGAACUAAAAUUUUAAUUUGUUAUCUGCAAAUAAUUUAAUCUGUUGAUUUUUUAAGAACUCCAUUCUAAACUAUAUUUUCAAGAAAUUGUUUUUAAGUUCAAUUCACAUAGCCCCCCCGAACUCGACCUAUCAUUCUAACAAUUUCAAAGCUAGUUAUUUAAAUUUAUUAAAGUUUCAGUCCUUGUUUUAUGAAAAUGGUUGAGAAUAAAUUUCUUAUGCUGAGGGUGUCUCUAUUAACAAGUCAUCCAAGUUUGGAGUUGUUAAUUAUCAAUUUCGGAAAGUUAAAAUGAAGAUCUUUAUACAAUCAAUUGAUCAGGGUAUUUGGGAUGCAGUUGUUGUUGGAUCUAUUAGUGUCUAAGUUCAAGAGGGGAGGGGUGAAUUGAGCUUAUAAAAUUUUCGCAAGAACACACAAUUUUCAGUAUAUCAGAGGCAAAAGAACAGAUUGUUUUUACAUGAAACAGAUUGAUUCUUCAGAGCAGUCUAGCACAAUUUGAAUUUGUUCAAAUUAAAAUUGUGAUCAACAGAGGGUUAUAACAGAAUCAGAUUAGUUGGAUAUUAUGAGUAUGAAGAAUACAGCUAUGCUCAUAAAUCAAUCAAAUUCAUUCAACACAAGGUUUUAAGGAGAAUGACUCUUUCUCUGAUUUUAAUGAAUAGACUAUUUGUUCACAGAUCAAUUAAAACAUCAUAUACAACUGCCUUGUUUGUGAUCAGAGAGCUUUAACAAAUCAGGAAGAACAGUUUUUAUUAAACCCAGAAUUAACAGAUUCAAUUUCAAAAGAACAGAUUUAGUUCUUGACAGAAUUAAGCAAAACCAGAAACGAGUGCAGGGAUGAGAGGAAAAAGGCAAGCAGGUUUUUAUACUGGUUCACUCAUACAGAGCUACAUCCAGUUUCACCUUACCCCAAGGUGGAAUCCACUAAAAAUAGUANNNNNNNNNNNNNNNNNNNNNNNNNNNNNNNNNNNNNNNNNNNNNNNNNNNNNNNNNNNNNNNNNNNNNNNNNNNNNNNNNNNNNNNNNNNNNNNNNNNNNNNNNNNNNNNNNNNNNNNNNNNNNNNNNNNNNNNNNNNNNNNNNNNNNNNNNNNNNNNNNNNNNNNNNNNNNNNNNNNNNNNNNNNNNNNNNNNNNNNNNNNNNNNNNNNNNNNNNNNNNNNNNNNNNNNNNNNNNNNNNNNNNNNNNNNNNNNNNNNNNNNNNNNNNNNNNNNNNNNNNNNNNNNNNNNNNNNNNNNNNNNNNNNNNNNNNNNNNNNNNNNNNNNNNNNNNNNNNNNNNNNNNNNNNNNNNNNNNNNNNNNNNNNNNNNNNNNNNNNNNNNNNNNNNNNNNNNNNNNNNNNNNNNNNNNNNNNNNNNNNNNNNNNNNNNNNNNNNNNNNNNNNNNNNNNNNNNNNNNNNNNNNNNNNNNNNNNNNNNNNNNNNNNNNNNNNNNNNNNNNNNNNNNNNNNNNNNNNNNNNNNNNNNNNNNNNNNNNNNNNNNNNNNNNNNNNNNNNNNNNNNNNNNNNNNNNNNNNNNNNNNNNNACAGAGAAACAGAUUCAUUUUUGUGCAGUAUCCUGAUUUUAGGAGAAAACUCCAAAAAGCUUUUAACCACUUCAUGUGCUUAUUCUAGGCUUGGUUAGGCAUCUAGAAUAGAUCAUGUAGCAAAAGGCAACCUUACACAUACACCAGCCUACAUACAAGAUCAUCUAAACCUAUUACAAACUUUACAACAAACUAGCUAUUUUCUACAUCAAACACAAACUAACACUAGGUAGAGAAGAGACUUCAUCCAUCUUCAACAGUUGCUAAUGGUUAUUUUGUGCCUAAGCAUGUCAUAGAUGAUGAAACAAUUGCUAAUGGUUAUUUUGUGCCUAAGCAUGUCAUAGAUGAUGAACUUCUUGAAAAUCCAUGGGUUGACUGGUUUGAAAUCGAAAAUAAAGAAAUCUCAAUAUGAGUGCACUCCAAAGAAUAUUAUAACCUCUACGUUGAAUAUGAAUUAAGUUUUUAGGGUAUCACAAUCUUCUCCGGCUAAGGAAAUGUGGGAGAUUUUGGAAGUAACUCAUAAAGGAACUUCAAAUAUAAAGAGAGCCGAAAAACAUGCUCUGAUACACAAGUAUGAACUCUUCAAAAUGUAAUAGGGAGAGGGAAUUACAUAUGUGUAGAAAUGGUUUACAUAUGUUGUAAAUCAUCUCAUUUGUUUAGGAAAGAUCUUUGAUAGAGAAUAGUUGAAUAUCAAGGUUCUGAAGUGCUUAGAUAGAAUAUGGCAACCCAAGGUCACGACUAUUUCAGAAUUAAGAGAUUUGACCACCCAAACAAUAGCUUCCUAUUUGUAAAAAUGAGAAAGCAUGAGAUUGAAAUGAACAAACUGAAUGAGCAGAAAAGUGAAGUUAAGAAGACCAAAGGAAUUACUCGAAAAUCUUGUCUUCACAAAAGUGAGGAAGAAUCCAAUGAAUGUAGUGAUACAAAAACACUUAACAUGUUGACUAGAAAGUUCAGUAAAUUCUCAAAAAAGAAAGGCAAGAAUAAGGUGCAGUGAACAAAAAGGUAUAAAUUUAGAAAAUCCUAUUGAAUUUGGUUCAUCUAACUACACCUGUUUUGGUUGUGGCAAUACAAUGUCCAAAUGUUUCAAUCAAAGAAAAAGGUUAUGAAAGGAAACAUGAAAAAGGAGGAAAGUCCAAAAGAGCAUACAUAGCUUGGUAAGACAAUGAUGAGUCAUCAUCCAACUCCACAUUUAGAUAAGAAGAAGUUAACAUAUGCUUGAUGGUUGGAUAUGAAUCUUGAACUAGUAAUGUAAGAUUGAACUCUUCUUAAAAUGAUGAAAACUAUAGUCAAUUGUUAGAUUCAUUUAAGGAAACUAAUGAGGAAGGAAAUAAAUUGGCUCUUUCAAUGAAUAGAUUAAAAGGCCUAAACAACUAUUUCAAAAACAAGGUCAACACUUUGGAAGAAAAGUUAAAGAAUACCAAGUAUGAUUUUAAAAAUUUAGAGAUCAUGUACAAAAACUCUUCUUGUAAAUGUGUUGAAUCUAGUAAAUCAGUGAAGAACUGUGAAAAUUGUGAAGUUUAAAAAAAAAAGUUCAUUAUCUUAUAAAAAAUUUAAGUAUUUUUUUAUAGGAAAAGGAAAUUUGGAAGCUCUACUAGGUUCUCAAUUUUUUAUUUUUUUUAUAAAGCUAGUUUAAGGUAUAAACCUGAAUUUCAAAAUAAGACAAAAUAAUAGAAUUUUUUUUAAAAAUUUAGUAAAACACAAUCCUCACCUCUUGUCACCUGUUUAGGUUAUUUAAGAGGUCAUACCACUAGAAACUACAACAUAAGAAAAUUUGAAAUUCCAAAUGGCUUAAUUAGGUGGGUACCAAAAAGUAAAAUUAAUAGUUCUAGACCUAAGUUAAUAAGAGGCCAAAACCUGUUCCUUCAAUCUAUUUUGCAGGAUUCAUUGACAACCAAAAACCAUCUAUGGUAUCUUGAUAGUGACUACUCAAAGAACAUGUCUUGAGACACUUCAUAAUUGAUUGAUUUGCAACUAAAACAUGAGGAAUAUGUCACUUGUGGUGACAAUAAUGAUAGAAGGAUUCUUGGCAGAGGUGAUAUUGGUGAUCAUAAUUGAAUACUUAUCAAAGAUGUGUUGUAUGUAAAAGAACAUAAGCACAACUUGUUGAGCAUUAGCCAACUUUGUGGAAAGGUUACCAAGUCAUCUUUAAGCCACAUUCGUGCCUAAUUUUCGAAGUAGGUUCAAGAAAAGUCUUUCUAGUAGGUAAAAAUUCAUAAUGUUUACAAGUUGGAUAUUACAAACACUACAUCUAAAAUUUAAUGUUUACUUCUGAAGCCCAGUUGUCCAUACAACUGGGCUGGUACAACAUCUUAUAAAUAAUGUUAUAUCCUUUAAAGGGAAGAACAUGUGUGAGGCACAAAUAUAACAAAUGAAGGCUUUCCCAAUUUUUAUGUAUAAGGGUAGGAUGAGGUAUGGAUGAGUAUUAGUUUAUUUGUAUGGUAGAAAGGAUAUAGGACAAAAAAAGAUUGCCUCAAUGUGACUUUCUUCUACUUGUCCUUUUGGUUGAAAAAGAAAUGUCCCCCUCUUCUAAGGCAUUUCAAUCAUCAUAUCAUUUACACAGUUUUUCUCCCUUUAUCUUUUCCUUUUCAUUCAUUUUUAGCGACCAAUGUUGUUUCAAUAAUUUGAAAGAAUGCAUUACUAUAUUUUUUUUCCCAAAAAGGGUGAAAAAAAUAUUUUUUUUUUUGAUAAAGAAACAUGGUCACAAAUUAUUUCAAAUCCUAGUUAUUCCCUUUUUUUCAGAAAGAUUAACUCUAAAACAAUAAAGAUAAACCCCUUAGCCAGACGAGACAAAACUCAACAAAUCUGCCACAACAUAAGAUAUUCUUGUUUUUCUAAUUCAGACAAUGAUGGAACCUACCAUAGGAUUUCAAGUGACAUGCGUAUGAAUGCUUCAAAAGAAAAGGUUGGUUGGUUGUUAAAACAUUAUACCACGAAAAAGCAUGACACACAUUUGUCAUUAUUAUCCUUUUUAUUUAUUUUUUGUUUUUAGUCCUUAUUUGCUAUUUUUGGAACAUCACAAAUUUGAUGAUUUUGCCAAGAGAACAAAUGAAUCAAUUUCUUUCUGUUAUAUUUAUUUAUUUAUUUAUUUUUACUUGAAAUAAGUUUUAUUUAUACAAAUGAAAUUUACUAUUAACCAGAACUAAUAAACUAUUUUAACCAAAUGUGUUUAGCAUUCAACUGAUCUAUCAAACUACUGAACAACCUCUAUAGACAUUCAGAUUGUCUAUUAUAAUUGCAGUUUCACAAAACACUGUUAGAAUGUUCAUAUCACAAAUAAAACGUUUAGUUUAUUUCUAUUAUCAUCAAAACUCAAACUUCACAUACGAUGCAUUGAUAAUCAAACUAUCUAGUAGAGUACAGACCAUCCAGGUUCUCAGCAUUGUAUAUGUCAUAAGACUUUACCCUUUUUAAUGAGUUAAAAUUGUGAUAUAUUUAUCACUCAAACUUUGUGUUUGUAUAAGUCAAAAGUGGCUCAUAAAAAAAUACUUAUUUAAGCUAAAAUUGACUUGUUGAAAGUAUACUUGAACAGGGUCAGACAGAAGUAGUUAGGAGUCAAAAGUGGAUUGUGAGAAUACUUAGGUUAAUCCAUCAAUGAAUUUUUUAAAGAAUAGUUGAGCAUGCUUUGCAACAAUAGUCUGCUUACUAGAACUUGACUGGUCGAUCAAGAAUUGAAUGUAGUUUUUUGAGGUAGAUAAACUAGUAUAAAAUCACUUGUCUCCUUUGUCUCUCUGUAUAUUGCAUGUUAUCUAAAUAACUAACCUAAGGAGGGUGAAAUGUUUAAACUAAGGUUACAAAACUUAAAAGUUUUCAUCUGUUGGAAAACUAAAAUUAUCAUCUGACUAUCACACUAUACUUAUGAAAAACAAAGAAAUUUUAAAGACACAAUUCAAUUUUCCCUCGUAUUUUUAUUGUUUUAAAAAAAUAUUGAAAUAUUGUUUUCAAAACUAGAGUAAUUUAUCACUUGAUAAUUUAUCCAUAGAAGUUGUGAGCAGUAGCUCACAAUUGACAUGUACUCGACCUCUUUUUAUCCACAUAAUAUAGUUUGUGUGGUAGAAACCUUCUAAUAUGAAACUUACAUUUUUCUUAUAACACAAGCAUAAAUUAUUUGAUCCUAAAAGAUAAUAAAAGAUCCAUUUUACAUCCUUUAAGUAAGACUCUUUUAGAAAUUAUUGGAAUAUUGCAGAUAGAUAAAUGUUAUGCAUAAUACCACAUUCCAAAAAGGUUUUGAUUUUGUAAAGUCAUUUAAAAAAAUUUAGGAUCUCUGUUUUGAAUAUUUCUCAAAAAAUAGCUUUAAUGCCAAUUGUUAUAAAAGGAUAAAUGACUUGUUUUAACUCAAGAAGGGGUGAAUUGAGUUUCAAAUCUUUUUCAUUGGUUCAAUUUUAAAUUAAGUUCUUGUUCAUUGUUCCACCACCGUGCACCACUUUUCUUCCACUGUUGUCACUGUUGUCGUCGCUGUCCUUCACCGUUGCCCUCCACCGCUGCCAUCACCUUGAGGUUGGUGUUCUUUUUACUUUUUAUUUAAUAUUUUUUUAGUCUAUAUGUGGCUUAUAGAUGGCGGUUCUACCUCAAUAGAAUAGACUAUGUGUUGAUAGACAACAAUUUUGAAAUCGCUGUCUAAUUGCUAAAAGAACUACGUACUGUCUUUGACCUUUUAUGUGUUAGUGUAUGUCUUUAUUAAUUAACUUCAUUUUGAGUUUGUUCAUGUUUUUUAGGUUAUCUAUAGUUCCUCUACUUUAGAAUUACUUGUUUAAAAAUGUGAAUUUAUUUUCAUCAAGUAUACUUUUCUUUAUUCUAUUUUAUAUAAACAAAAAUGCAUUCACAAUGAAUGUGAUAUUCUAACGAAAUUGACAUCAACAUUAAUAGUUUACGAGAUGUUAAACCAAUAAAAAAACAAAUAUAAGAUAAUUAGGCCAAAUUUAUGAAAAAAAUUUAUAAAUAACUAUAUUUCAAAAAGUCAAAUCUAUUCGUUAAAAAAGAUGUCGAAUAUAAGAGAAUAAUUUCACCAAAGAAAACCAUAUUUGGUAUUAAUAGUCAAAUUAGCUUUUAAAAUCUAAAAUUUCACUUAUAAACUUGCAUUUACUCCAUCUACUUCUAGGGACCUCAAAGUUGGUAUAAAAAGCUUGAACCGCUUGCAUUUACUCCAUCUACUUCUAGGGACCUCAAAGUUUGUAUAAAAAGCUUGAACCGCAACAGUGAGUGACAUUCCAACCAUAAUGAAUUACAUUUUUUUAUAUAUAUAAAAGCUUUCAUGUUAGGCAUCACUAUGCAACUUGACAUCUCAGUUAGGUUAACACCUCAAGUAACAACAAUCAUAUGCCAUUACAUGAAAAAAAUAUUUUUAAAAAAAAGGAAAAAGAAAGAAAAUUUAAAAAUAAAAUAUGGGGAAACUAGACCAAAACUCAUAUGUUAACAAAAAUGAUAGGUAGACUAUACCUAUUCAUAAAGAAUUAUAAGAACAAACUAGAUGGAAGCCUAUUAUACAAAUGAAAUUAUUCUUUGUGAAUAAAUCCUAAAUUAGCCAACUUAUUAGCAUACGCAUUCCCUUCACGAAAAAUAUGAGUAAUCCUAAACCUAAUUUUCUCACAAUAAUUAAGACAAGUAUUCCAUUGAAUACGAAGCAUCCACAGGACAUCAGUUCUAGAAGUAAACGCAACACAAACCAAGGUAGAAUCACAUUCAAGUCAUACAUUAGUAAGCUCCAUCUUUUGAGCUUCCUCCAUAGCAUGUUUAACUCCAUAAAACUUAGCAACCAUAGCAGUUUGAACUUCAAGAAACCAGAGAAAGCACCAAUAAACUCCCCCAUACUCCCAUGGAAAAUUCCUCCACAAGUAGCAAGACCAGGAUAUCCCCUAGCAACCCCAUCAAUGUUAAUUUUAACCUAGCCUAGUGAAGGGAACUCCCAUCUAACAAGAAAAGGACAAAGAACUUUACCAGUACGAGUAUGUAUAUCCCAUGGGUUGUUUGAUGGAUCAAGAAGUGUUUCCUAUUAAGAAAGUGUUUUUUAUUCCAGGCCAAAGGAAGACUUUUGCUCAGGCUUUGGGAAAUACAUGUGACAUUCCUUUUUCCCAGUUACCAACUCCUUGUAUUAUGGGAGACAUGGUUGUUGUCCGGGUUGAUGAGGAAGAUUACUUCGCUGGUCUUGAGGAUUGCAAGACCCAUCUACAUGGUUGGAUUAUUCUAUCUAAGGGGGAUAAACAUCUCACACACCUUGAUUUUACUAAAAAGUUGCAACUUGUGUGGAAGGUUAUUAGAUCGUGGAAAGCAAUCUUUCUUGGGAAGGGUUUUUAUGAGUUUGAGUUCUCUUCUUUAGAAGACAUACGGUGGGCUCUCGAGAUGGGGUUGCUAGGGGAUUGUUUGCCUGAAGAAAAAAAAACUUUGUUCCAUCUACUAUGAAGAGUACUCAAAACCCAGACUUGGGUUAGAAUCUACCAUUUGCCUUUGAAAUAUUGGAGACCAAGGGCGAUAUUUUCCAUCACCAGAGGCAUUGGAAUUCCUUUGUCUUUGGAUGAUCAUACCAUGAGAAAGAAUAGGUGUUUGUUUGCUAGAGUGUUUGUGGAUAUUGAUCUGUUGUCCCCUUUUCCCGAUCAGCUCUUGGUUGAACGUUCAGACUUUUCUUUUGUAACCGAAGUGGAAUAUGAAUGGCUCCCUCCAUUGUGCUCUUACUCUAAGAUGAUUGGGCAUGAGCUUGCUCAGUGCCACGUGAUUCAUGAUCAGGGUCAUGUUUUUGGACCACAACAUAAACCUUCUCAGAAGACAACUCCUGAUGAACAGGAAUAGAGAAAGGUCGCAGUUCCUAAACAACAUAAAGAGUAUCGGAAGAAAGAUUCGCAGUCGAAGCUCUUGGAAGGCCCUAUUGGUAAUUUGACAACUGAUGCUCCUGGAGGGGCUAAUGCGGGGUCACUCUUGGGUCACCUUUCUUAUGAUAAAACAAAUGGAGGGGAGGAUGAUAUUGUAGAUAUGCCUCAUCUCGAGGAUGUCUCAGAUCAUGAUAGGUCCUCACCCAGGCACAGGUUGUUCACUCCACUUCUAAUACAGUUAAAGUUUCAAAACCGGGGAUGGUAAGGAAUUCACCGGUUGUUAUGCAAGUCAAGGGCUCAGAGUCACAACUUGUAGUAGAUUCAGUUACGAUUCCUAUUGAUGGUCAUCAUGAGGAGGUCUCAACUACUAUGGUUGUACCAUUUCCGUCACGUCAUAUCUUUCCUCAGAAGCCUAAAUCACUUGGGGAUGCUAAAGCACUAGUUACAACUUCUAUUAAUGGUCAUCAUGUGCAAGUCUCUACUAUUAUGGUUGUACCAUCUCCGUCGCGUCAUACCUCUCCUCGGAAGGCUAAAUCACUAGCGAAUGUUAAAGCACUACUCUCAGAUAACGAUAUGUUGGUCUUGCAAAAUCACUUUUCCUCUCUUGAUGGUUUGGAAACUACAGAUGCGGGAGGUGAUCCUCAUAAUGGUACGCCAAUUACUCCGACUGUCGUUAUUGAAUUUAAUUUUGAACAUAUAACUGUUGAAAAUCAGGUAGUCUCCAAAUUUUGGGCAAAUCCUAAUGAGAUGGAGGAGCAUGCUAGCGAUAUUGGGGAGGAAAUUGUUUGCACGAAAAGAAAACCAGGGAGACCACAUAAGGAGACUGGUAAAUCCAAAAAAAAACUGCUAAGGCAGUUCUCUCUAAAACGUCGCAAUAGAGGUCUUUUCAUUUCUUUGGAAUGUUAUAGGACUGAGAAACCACAAAAUUGUGAAGAUGUUGAUUAGCUUACAUAAACUCCUUCUUGUUUUUCUUGUUGGACCUAUGAUGUCAUACACUGAUGCUUUCGAUGUCCUUUUCAAAUCUGUUAAUAUGCAUUUGGUGACUACGUCUCCUAUUGUUAAUAAAGUUUUUAAGCUUUGGUGUUUGUCGGUUCCAAAUCUUGUCCAAAAUUUCUUGGUCAAUGAUCAAUUUAUUUUUGUAACUUGCCUUCUGUAUGAUAAAUGCUUUAGCUUUACAGGUGUUUAUGGUGCCAACACAUACUUAGUUAGAUGUUUUUUUUGGAGGGAUUUUAGUUUCUUCAUAGGGCCUUGGUGUAUUCUGGGAGAUUUUAAUGUUGUGCUCUCGGCGGAUGACUGCAAAGGGGGGUGGCUCCUAAUCAGAUUUCUCGUAAUGAAUUCCUUGAUCGGAUUAAUACUAAUGAUCUUUCUUGUAGACCUUUUACUAGACCUUGUUAUACUUGGUGUAAUGGAAGGAGAGUUUUGCAUAGAAGUUAUAGAAUACUGGAUAGGGCUUUAUGUAAUGGAGUGUGUCUAAAUGAAUAAGAUUCUUGUACUUAUUAGGUUCUUGUUAAAAAUUGUUUUAACCAUUCACAUGUUCUUGCUAGUCUUGCUAGUAAUUGUUUAAGGAAGGUUAGCAAUUUUUGUUUCUUUUUCUAUGUGACUUCAGGACACUUCAUGUAUGAAGCUUAUUCAUGAUUCUUAGGCUAAUAAGGUUGUUGGUUGUCAUAUGUUUAUUUUGCAACAUAAGUUAAAAAGGUUGAAAAUUGAGCUCUGAAACUGGAAUAAAAAUUCUUUUGGUAAUGUUCAAAAUGCAGUUCUUCUUAAGUAGGGUCUCUUCCUUGGUAUUCAACAAACAUUAGAGACUACUAGUUUGUCUGAUAUUGAUGGGUUUCUCUGUCAAGAAAAGAUUGCUAAGGAGGAACUUGAUCAUGCUUUUCACUAUCAAUAUUUGUUUUGGAAAGAAAGGGCCGAGAUGUUUUGGUUUAAAGAUGGGGAUAGAAAUACUGCUUUUUUCCAUGUUGUGGUCAAGAGGAGAAAUAAUUCUAGUGGGAUUCAUCGUCUACAGAUUGAUAAUGAGGUUAUUGAGGAACCUAAACUCAUUGAGGAUCAUAUUUUGAACUUUUAUACAAAUCUUUAUGCUGAGUUUAUUUCUAAUGUUCAAGAUACAAGAAAUUUGGAAGAUUUUAUUGGUACUUAUAUUCCCAAACUAGUUUCCUGUGAGGAGAAUAUGAUGUUGAUUAAAUGUCCUGAGUUUUUGGAAAUCAAAAAUGUUCUUUUUAAUCUUAAUGGUAAUAGUGCUCCUAGUCCUGAUGGUUUUGGUGGUGUUUUCUAUCAUUCUUGUUGGGAAAUUAUUGGGAUAGGUGUUUGCAAUGUUGUUCAACAGUUUUUAAACAAAAUUGGGUUCUCCCUGUAAUGAACAAAAAUGUGGUAUCUCUUAUUCCUAAGAUUCAGGGUGUUGAAUCCAUUAAAGAUUACAAGUCAAUUGUUGUUGCUAAUUUCAAAUUUAAGAUUAUUUCCAAGAUACUGGUGGAUAGGCUUGCACUUGUGGCUGCUAGAGUCAUUUCUCCUAAUCAAUAUGGGUUUGUGCAGGGUAGACAUAUUCAUAAUUGUAUUGAUAUUGCUUCUGAAGUUAUUAACAUGUUUUCUAAAAAGGUAAGAGGAGGUAAUGUGCCUUACAAAGUUGAUAUUCAUAAAGCCUUUACCACUAUGAGUUGGAAGUUCUUAUUAUUAGUUUUGACACGCUUUGGUUUUCACCCAUCGUUUGUCAGUUGGAUUAGUACAAUUCUUCGUUCAUCUAUGCUUUCUAUCAAAAUAAAUGGCAGUUUGGUGGGUUUUUUUCUUUAUAGUAGAGGUGUUAGACAAGGUGUUUCUUUGUCUCCUUUACAUUUUUGUCUUGCAGAGGAAGUUCUUAGUAGAGGUAUCUCUAAGCUUAUGAAUGAUAAGAAGAUUCUACACAUGACUAGUCCGUAAGGUUAUCUCACUCCCUCUCAUAUUUUAUAUGUUGAUGACAUAUUUGUUUUCUGUAAGGCAAAUAAUAAGUCUCUUAGAAAUUUGAGUAUUUUUCUUAAAAUAUAUGGUGAUUUUUUGGGUCAAUAAUAUAUGUUAAUAAUUCUAAGAGUAGUUUUUUCACCAUGGAUAUUCUGCAAGAUUUUGUCACCAUAAUUCAACGUAUUCUUUUUUGUAGUCAUGGUUGUUUUCAUUUCACUUAUUUAGGAGUGUCUAUCUUAGUUUGUGCUCCAAAGUGUCGAUUUCUUCAACCUUUGGCUGAUAAAGUCAAAUUGAAUCUAGAUUGGAAAGGUAAAUCUCUUAGCAUGAUGGGUCAGAUUCAGUUGGUCAAUAGGAUGAUUACUAGAUUUUUAUCUUAUAGCUUUAAUAUGUAUAAAUGACCUGUUUCACUUCUUAAGCAAGUUGAGCAGUGGUGUCGAAAUUUUAUUUAGACUGGUAAUAUUCUGAAAAAAGGCAUAGCUACCGUUAAUUGAGUGACGAUUUGUUCACCUCUUGAGAAUAGAGGUUUGAAGAUUUUUAGCCUUCAUCAUGAAAAUAAUGUGUAUCUUCUUAAGCUUGCUUCGAACUUUGCUUAUAGCAACAUGCCUUGGUCUUUUCUCCUGAAAGUCAGGGUUCUUAAAUACGAGUUUAGAAUGGUUUAUUGAUCCUCGUCUCCUUGACCUAGAAUUAAGCAGUUUUACUCUACUAUACUUGAUAAUAUUUCUUGGACUAUUGGUACAGGUAGUUUUAUUAAUUUCUGAAAUAUGAUAAAUGGUGUUCUACUACUUCUUUAACAAAUAUUCCAGGAUUAUUUGUUGGUGCUAGCAUUCCGAAUAUACAAUCUACUUUGAAAUGGACAAAUUCAAUAGCGAUCCUAAUCAUGCAAAACUUAGCAAAAAUUAAAUUAGAAAUAGUGUUAAAAAUAGUAAAAAUACCAGUAAACUUAUCAGUUGAACCUCUAAACGUACCAACUAGAAAAACCUCAACAACCCCUAAAGAAGUAACAAACUAGCUCUAGAAAGGAUUUCAAUUUUAUUAUGCUUUUCUAUUUUAUAUAACUAGCUUCCUUGGUUGUCUAAUAAAUUUGAACUUUUAUUUUGUAAUUAGAUUUGUUCCAUCUACUAGAAAUGUUUCCAAGCUAUCAUAUAAAGUGUAUUAAGUUACAAUUCCUUAAGUAUUGGAGAACAUGGGAAUGAUAACGAAAUCCAAUAAGGAUUCAAACAACAAUAUUGCAAUUAAAAUUAAAGAGAAAAUAAAAACAUUAUAAGAUGUCUACAACACCUUCAUCUUGGGUCAUCAUCAUCCAAACAUUUUCACUUGUGGCUUCAAGUUUUCUUCAUGACCAACAAGUUUUCUUGAUUACCAAAUGAACCUUGAAUCAGACGAAAAUACUUAACAAACUAAUUUAUUCAUUUAUUUCAUUAUUGUUUCUAACACUACAAAAUACGUUUAUAGACUAGAUGUUAUAGAUUUCGUCAUCAUAUUUCAUAAAAUAAUGGACCAUAAUUUUUCUAAAAGUUAAACAUUAAUUUUGUCCGGUGUAAAUAAUUCUUGAAUCACUUCCAACUGCAAAGGUCGUCUAGUAGAACUGAGUCCCUUAGCUAUAGUGGAAGUUGUUGAUUGAAAUGGAUUAGGAGGCAUAACAAACUGGUUUUCCUCUUCAGUUUCUAAGAUAAUUAGGCCAAAUUUAUGAAAAAAAUUAUAAAUAACUAUAUUUCAAAAAGUCAAAUCUAUUCGUUAAAAAAGUUGUCGAAUAUAAGAGAAUAAUUUCACCAAAGAAAACCAUACUUGGUAUUAAUAGCCAAAUUAGCUUUUAAAAUCUAAAAUUUUACUUAUAGACUUGUAUUUACUCCAUCUACUUCUAGGGACCUCAAAAUUGGUAUAAAAAGCUUGAACCACAGUAGUGAGUGGCAUUCCAACCAUAAUGAAUUACAUUUUUUUUUAUAAAAGCUUUCAUGUUAGGCAUCACUAUACAACUUGACAUCUCAGUUAGGCUGACACAUCAAGUAAUAACAAUCAUAUGCCAUUACAUGAAAAAAGUAUUAUUAAAAAAAAGAAAAAAGAAAGAAAAUAUAAAAAAAAUGGGGAAACUAGACCAAAACCCAUAUGUUACCAAAAAUAAUACAUUGGUAAACUAUAUCAAUUCAUAAAGAAUUCUAAGAACAGACUAGAUGGAAGGCUAUUAAACAAAUGAAAUGAUUCCCUAUGAAUAAAUCCUAAAUUAGCCAACUUAUCAGCACACACAUUCCCUUAACGAAAAAAUAUGAGUAAUUCUAAACCUGAUUUUCCCACAAUAAUUAAGACAAGUAUUCCAUCGAUUACGAAGCAUCCACACAACAUUAGUUCUAGUAGUAAAUGUAGCACAAACCAAGGUAGAAUCACAUUCAAGCCAUACAUUAGUAAGCCCGUCUUUUGAGCUUCCUCCAUAGCAUGUAUAAUUCCAUAAAACUUAGUAACCAUAACAGUCUGAACUUCAAGAAACCAGAGAAAGAACCAAUAAACUCCCCAUACUCCCAUGGAAAAAUCCUCCACAAGUAGCAAGACUAGAAUAUCCCCAUCAAUGUUAAUUUUAAUCCAUCUUGGUGAAGGGAACUCCCAUCUAACAAGAAGAGGACGAAGAACUUUACCAGUACGAGUAAAGGAGGCGCCUGAGGCCCAAGCCCAAGAAGCCCAAGCCCAAGUGGAAACCCAAGCCCAACCUAUGAGCUCAACAUCCUUCAUGCCUCAAAGGAUUACUAGGAGCAAGGCCAAGGCUUUGGGAGAAGAGCAUCAUUGGAUGUCUCUUUUUGUAAUUUCUUUUGAGUAGUUUUUUUGGUAGAACAUAAAAGGAAGGUGUAGAUAUAGAUAUAAGGGGUGCUAAUGUACAAAGGUAAGUCACACCUUCCAUGUGACAUAAAAGUAAGUGUAGAUAUAGUUUUAGGAGGUGCCAAAGUAAGAAAGCAAGUCACACCUCCCAUGUGGCUUGUUUUGGCGCCGAAUUUGAAUGGUUUGUGUUUGUAAUUUUGCCUCUUCAAAUUCAUCCCUCUCACACUAUAAAUAGAGGUGCCAUGCUCAUGUAAAUGCAGAUUGGAAAAUUGAAGUAAAGUUACUCUACUCAAAUUGAGAGAGAUUUGUGUGAGACUUUUUCUCCUUCAACUAGUCUUAUCUUGUGAGUUUUGGGAGCUCCAAGUGGCAGCAUCUUGCACUUAUCUUGGAUCAAUCACCAUCCAAGUGACAUGUUCUUCCUUUCCAUGGCUUCAACCACAUAAGUCUUUCUUAUUCCAUCUCCAUUUCCAUUUCUGAAUCAUGUUUUAGUAAUUCCAAUCAAUAGUUUUGUGUUCUUUGUCUUGUUCUUUCAUUUCAAUCGGUUAAUCUUGUUCAUCUUGUGUUUCCUUUCAAUUCUGCAUUUUAAUUCUCCAUUUCAAUCGGUUCAUUUGUUGUAUAAUGUGUUUUCUAUUCAUUUUAAUGACUUGUUCUUAUCUUCUUUAAGUUUCCGCAUCCUAAUCUUGUUCUAUUGUUGAUAGUUUGUGUUUUUGACUAUUCAUUUGUGGUAUAAGGAAAUGAAACUCAUGUUCAUGAGUUUGGUUCAUCAUUUGGAAGACAGUGAACUCCAUUGAUGUUUCCUUAAGCCUCCUUAAUGUAUUGCACCUUGUCUUUUUCCAAUUCAACUGACAUCAAUGAGCUUGCUCACUGUUGCGUGAUUCAUGAUCAGGGUCGUGUUCGACCACAACAUAAACCUUCUCAGAAGACAACCCUGAUGAAUAGGAAUAAAGGAAGGUCGCGGUUUCUAAACAACAUAAAGAGUAUCGGAAGAAAGAUUCGCAGUCGAAGCUCGUGGAGGGCCCUAUUGGUAAUUUGACUACCAAUGCUCCUGGCGAGGCUAAUGCAGGGUCACUCUUGGGUCACCUUUCUUAUGAUAAAACAAAUGGAGGGGAGGAUGAUUUUUCAUAUAUGCCUCCUCUCGAGGAUGUCUUGGAUCAUGAUAGGUCCUCACCCAGGCAGGGGUUGUUCACUCCAACUUCUGAUACAAUUAGGGUUUUAGAACCUGGGAUGGUAAGGAAUUCACCGGUUGUUAUGCAAGUCAAGGGCUCAGAGUCACAACUCGUAGUAGAUUCAGUUACGACUCCUAUUGAUGGUCAUCAUGUGGAGAUCUCUGUUACUAUGGUUGUACCAUCUUCAACGCGUCAUACCUUUCCUCAGAAGCCUAAAUCACUUGGGGAUGCUAAAGCACCAGUUACGACUUCUAUUGAUGGUCAUCAUGUGGAAGUAUCUACUAUUAUGGUUGUACCAUCUCCGUCAUGUCAUACCUCUCCUUGGAAGGCUAAAUCACUUGGGGAUGCUAAAACACUACUCUCAUAUAAUGAUACGUUGGUCUUGCAAAAUCACUUUUCCUCUCUUAUGGUUUGGAAACUACAAAUGCGGGAGAUGAUCCUUUUAUUGGUACACCAAUUAUUCUGACUGCCAUUAUUGAAUUUAAUUUUGAACAUAUAACUGUUGAAAAUCAGGUAGUCUCCAAAUUUUGGGCAGAUCCUAAUGAGAUGGAGGAGCAUGCCAGCGAUACUGGGGAGGAAAUUGUUUGCACUAAAAGAAAACCAGAGAGAUCACCUAAGGGGACUGGUAAAUCCAAAAAAAAAAACUGCUAAGGCAGUUCUCUCUAAAACGUCGCAAUGAAGGUCUCUUCAUUUCUCUGGAAUGUUAUAGGACUGAGAAACCACAAAACUGUGGAGAUGUUGAUUAGUUUACUUAAACUACAUAAACCCCUUCUUGUUUUUCUUGUUGAACCUAUGAUGCCAUACAUUGAUGCUUUCGAUGUCCUUUUCAAAUCUGUUAAUAUGCAUUUGGUGAAUACGUCUCCUAUUGUUAAUAAAGUUUCUAAGCUUUGGUGUUUGUUGAUUCCAAAUCUUGUCCAAAAUUUCUUGGUCAAUGAUCAAUUUAUUUCUGUAACUUUCCUUUUGUAUGAUAAAUGUUUUAGCUUUGCAGGUGUUUAUGGUGCCAACACAUACUUAGUUAGAUGGUUUUUGUGGAGGGAUUUUAGUUUCUUCACAGGGCCUUGGUGUAUUUUGGGAGAUUUUAAUGUUGUGCUCUCGACGAAUGACUGCAAAGAGGGGUGGCUCCUAACGAGGUUUAUCGCAACUAAUUCCUUGAUUGGAUUAAUACUAAUGAUAUUUCUUGUAGAUCUUUUACUAGACCUUGUUAUACUUGGUGUAAUGGAAGGAGAGGGUUGCAUAGAAGUUAUAGAAGACUGGAUAGGGCUUUAUGUAAUGGAGUGUGUCUGGAUGAAUGUGAUUCUUGUACUUAUCAGGUUCUUAUUAAAAAUUGUUUUGACCAUUCCCAUGUUCUUGCUAGUCUUGCUAGUCUUACUAGUAAUUGUUUAAUGAAGGUUAGCAAUUUUCGUUUCUUUUCUAUGUAACUUCAGGAAACUUCAUUAUGAAGCUUAUUCAUGAUUCUUGGGCUAAUAAGGUUGUUGGUUGUCCUAUGUUUAUUUUGCAACAUAAGUUUAAAAGGUUGAAAAUUGAGCUCUGAAACUGGAAUACAAAUUCUUUUGGUAAUGUUCAAAAUGCAGUUCUUCUUAAGCAGGGCCUCCUCCUUGGUAUUCAACAAACCUUAGAGACUGUUAGUUUGUCUGAUAUUGAUGGGUUUCUCUGUCAAGAAAAGAUUGCUAAGAGGAACUUGAUCAUGUUCUUCACUGUCAAUAUUUAUUUUGGAAAGAAAGGGCCAAGAUGCUUUGGUUUAAAGAUGGAGAUAGAAAUACUAGUUUUUUACAUGUUGUGGUCAGGAGGAGAAAUAAUUCUAGUGGGAUUCAUCGUCUACGGAUUGAUAAUGAAGUUAUUGAGGAUUCUAAACUCAUUGAGGAUCAUAUUUUGGACUUUUAUACAAAUCUUUAUGCUGAGUCUAUUUCUAAUGUUCAAGAUACAAGAAAUAUGAAAGAUUUUAUUAUUACUUAUAUUCUUGAACUAGUUUCCUCCGAUGAGAAUAUGAUAUUGAUUAAAUGUCCUGAAUUUUUAGAAAUCAAGAAUGUUGUUUUUAAUUUUUAUGAUAAUAGUGCUCCUGGUCCUGAUAGUUUUGGUGGUAUUUUCUAUCAUUCUUGCUGGAAAAUUAUUGGGACAGAUGUUCGCAAUGUUGUUCAACAAUUUUUUAAAUAAAACUGGGUUCUCCCUAUAAUAAUUUGUUUGUUUUUUAUUUUUGCAAUCAGUUGCAGGAACCACAUAGAAAAGAUAAAAAAAGGAUUUGUGAUUUUUCAUUAGUCAAAGUCUGCGUUAUGGAAAAAUGAAAUCCCUUAAUUAGGCCAGUGUCAUAAUUUAUCGAUAACUAUUAUCGUACAUUUAAUUCUAUUAAUGUCAAGGUAGGUGCAUAUUAAGUGCCAAGAAUUGACUCCCCAAAGCAAUAAUGUAGUGAGAGUCACAAUCGUAUACAAGACCACCUUAUCAAAUUCUUCGAAAUUCACAGGUAUAGUGUCUGAAAUUCCUUCUAUUCACAUUGUCCUAUAUCUUCCACGCCUAAUACUGCAGAAAAGUCAAGCCAAUGACUAAUGAAUAGUCCAUGUGACAAUAACAAAAGUUUCUUCCAAGAAAUAACUGGAGUUUGUUCCAAGAAACACAUAAAGAUUAAUAAGUACUCUCUCUUUACUUUCAAUCUUUUUUUUUAAAAAAAAACUAAGGAGCUUAAGUAUAAGCAAAUUUCAACAUCCUAAACUACAGUUAUCUUUAAAAGUAAGUACAUUUUUUUAAUAUAAAUUCUAAAAUUAAUAGUUAAAAUUUUGAUGACUAAUUUAAAGACUAAUUUAUAAAUUUAUUAACAACAAAAAUUACUUUAAAUAUUAAUAAUUUUUUAAUUUAUAAAAUAGUAUCUAAUUUAAUUAAUGAUUAAUUAUUUUUUAUUUUUGAAAAUAAUUUUUAUUUAAUAAUUUUUUUAUGUAGUAAUUGAAUUCGAUAUAUGAAGAAGUUAUAUAGUAGUUAAAACUACAAGUUUGAAAAAAAUCAUAAAAUAAAAUAAAAAGAAAAAUCUAAGUCAAUGAACGUGAUAUUCUAACUAAAUUGACAUAUCAACCCUCACAAAUAUUUUACACCACGUUAAAUCAAUAAAAAGAAGAAAAAAAAACAUUUAUAAGGGUACUAGGCAAAAAUCAUGAAACAAAUUACAAAAAAUAAUAUUUCAAAAAGUCAUAUAUUCUUAGAAAAACACCAAAACAAGAGUAAAUAAUUUCACCAAAAAUCAGAUUUGGUUUAGGCAGAGUAGCUAAAAUAUCAACAUAUUUAUUUCCUUUUCGUGUAAAUAUAAGAAUUUUUAAAAUCCAAAAAUUGACUUAUAGACUUGCAUGUAUUCCACCUACUUCUAAUUUUCCAAGGAACCUCAAAGUUAGAAUAAAAAGCUUGAACCAGAGUAUGUGAGUGUCAUUUCAACAAUAAUGAAUUACAUUAUGAUUUCAUGGAAAAUUUCAUUAGCGAUCAUAAUAAUGUUAAACUUAGCAAGGAACAUUAUUAAAAAUAGAAAAAGCAUCAAUAAACUCACCAAUUUCACCAAUUGAAUCUCUAAAAGAUGUAGAAAGACCUGAACCCCGUAAGUAACAAACUAGUUCUAGAAAGAAUUUCAAUUUUAUUAUUUUUAUUUUAUUUUAUAUAACUAGCUUCCUUCCUUUCCUCAUAAAUUUGCAUUUUUAUUUUGUAAUUAGAUUUGUUUCAAAAAUUUGUAAUUAUAUUUGUUCCAAAGUGUAUUAAUGAUGGACGAGAGCCCAAGCUCACCACACAAUGAAAGCCAAGCCUCCAAGACUAGACGGUCUAGCCUAUGAUGGGGAGCGUCUAGACUCAAAAAGGAGCGUCUAGCCCAUGAUGAGGAGCGGCUACAUAAGGAGCGUCUAGGCCAUGAUGAGGAUUCCUUCUAGACCGUCUAGCUUCACAUACACAUGGGUCAAAGCUACGGUUUUGGGAAGAGAAGACCUUUGUAAUUGUUACAUAAAGGCCUAUUGGGGGUGCUUAGUAAUUAGAGUAGUGUAGAAAGCAUAUUUGUGUGAACAUUCUAGAAAGACCAUGGAGGGGGUGAGCAUAAAAACUAGACACACCCCUCCCCAUGUGCUCAUUUGUGCACCCAUGUGCCAUGUGCACCCAUGUGCUUCACAUUUACAUUUCAUUUGGCUAGCAUUAGGGUUGCAUUAUGGUCCUCCUUAGCCUAUAAAAGGAUGAGCCUACACCUUGUAUUUGGCAAGUUUAUUGUGAGUAAAGUUAUGCUGCCAUUUUGUGCCAAGCUUUGCUUCUCCCUAGAAUCCUAGGCUCUAAACUUCAAUUCCUUCAUCUUUUCCCUUGGGCUGGCCGAACCACCCAAUACCCACACUUAACAUGCACCUACAAGAUCAACACCACUCUUAGGAGGAUCUUGCUCACCUCAUCCAUUGCUUUCGCCCCUUUGCUCUACUUUGAUUCAAGAAGAACUUCAUGAAAAUGCCAUCAUUUGGUACAAUUUCUUAAACCUUUAACAACAUGGAAAUGAUACUUAAAUCUCAUAAGGAGCAGUAUUGGUUACAUUUUAAGGUAACUUGUUGAUUUUGUUAACUUAAACCAUAUUUUAUGUUAAAUUUAUAAUGUUCUCUUGUUUGGCCACUAAGGGAUCUCUCGAGAAAUGUCAAAAUCAAAUAUCUUUUAAAUAGUUUGUCAAAACUACUUUAUACUACUUCAUUUGAAAUAUCUAGACUACACCCACUUCUUAAUCAACAUGUUCCACUAAUGUAAAUUAUCACUACAAAAAUACAAGGUACUUAUUAUUUAAACCUAGUCAUUUUUUGUUAAACUACAAAUAUAGUUUGGACACAACCACUUCUAGUUAAAAAAACACAAGUAUUUUUUAAACACAAUUACUUCUAGCUAAGUAUGAAUAGUGUUUGGACCCAACCACUUCUGACUAAAACACUUCGAUAAAAAAAAGUUUGUAAUUUAAACGAUCGCAGAUAUUCGCAAAUCAAAAGAGAAUAGCGUCUUAGGACGAAUACAAGAUUGAGUACUCUUUUCUAGAUUGUUAUAAACAUAAAUAAUGUUCGUCCACUACAAGAAAACAAGUUAUUAGCUUCCAAAUACUUGCGUGGGCCAACAACGGACGCUAAUAUCGUCGGACAAAAUGGCGCAAAACCCACACAAAAUAGCAUGACACAAAAUGGAUGCACUUAUGGAUUUAAUUUUUAUUUUUUUUAAAAAAUCCAGUUUGCAGUUGCGGCCCACGCAUAUGCGUCGGCUUGCGUGUCGGCUUGCGUCGGCCACGGCCCACUCAUGUUUAUAUUUUAAGAUUUUAAAAUUAUUUAUUUAAAUUUAUUUAAUGUAUAACAUUAUAAGAAAUAUUUUAAUAUUUAAUUCUUUAUUGUAUUUAUUUUAAAAUUAUUUCUUUAAUAUUAUAAUAAAUUAUUUAAUUUAUCAAUUUUUAAUAUAAAUUAGUUAAAUUAAAUUAUUAAAUUAAUUAAGUGUUUGAUUUAAAAUUAAUUGAGUAAAAGAAAAGAUGUAUUUAAAUUAUUUAAAUGUUAUAUAAAAUAUUUUAUUAUUUUAAAGAUUAUUUAUUUUAAAUUUAUUUUAUUUCUAUAUUGUCAUAUAUAAAUUAAACAAUAUAGAUUAUUAUUUGUUAUAUAUUUUAAAAUAAAUUUUGUUGUAUAAAUGAAAUGAAUUAUUUUUGUUGUAUAAAUUGAAUUUAAUUGUUUUGUAUUAAUUAAAGAAUUUUUUUUAUAAAUUAUAUACAGUUUUUUAUACAUUAAAUUUAUUUAUUUGUUGUAUAAAUUUAAAAUAAAAUGAAUUGAAUUUUUGAAAGUUUUAAUAUAAUUUUUAUUAAAUUAUAUUUAAUGUACAUAUUUAAGAAAAUUUUCAGGUGCCCCACAUUAAAAAUAUUAAUAAUAAGUAUAAUAAAAAUCAUUAUAUCACAAAAAAACUUGUCGGUGUAGUAGUUAAAACUUCUUUGUCAUUGAGAGGACUUGAGUUUGAGUCUUGCCCACUACAGUACAUAAGUGUCCGUUUUUGGCCGCGUAAUGCAUAGAACCUGAGACAAAUUACUAACUUCACAAGACUGUCAUUCAAUUUUUUCAAAAAAAUUGUUUGUAUGGAGUAGCUUUAAGCAUAUUCUUUAAGAGAUUUGAUUUUAACACUUUAAAAAAAAAUCCUCUUUCCAGAAAUAAAUAAACAAACAUUCUUUGCACACAAAUUAUAGUCAUUUAUAAGUUUUUGAUGUGUACUAUGAAUGCUUACACUUUGUAUCAACUUUAUUUGUCUAAAUAAGAAAUUAUCAUAGGGAAGUGUACAACCAAAGCCAUUGUGUCUUGGUUUAAAUGAAGCAUGCAUAGUUGUAUAUAUUCAAUAAGACAAACUAGAUAACCAAAAAAUGCGCGUAUGUAAAAAAUUAAUACUAAUAAACUACAAAUAAAAAAUACAUUUAAAGGAUAUGAACUUUGAUGUAUCAAAUAUUAUUCUAAUCAUUAUACUAUUUUUAUUUUUAUUAUUUAUUGAGUUACUUUUUCAUUUGUUAUGUAGUUCAAAUUAAAGAAAAAAUAUUCAACAUGAAAUAACUCAUAUUUUAUUACAUAAUUAAUUGAACAUAGUUAAUAUUUUAUUACCCAUAAUAAAAAUUGUAAAAGAAAUAGAUAUAACCCUAGUUGAAAUUGAGAAAUAAAAAAAAUAAAAAUUAAAUCUAAUUAAUCAACUAGCUUAAAUAAAAUGACUUGUCUAAGUAAAAUAAAAAACAUAUCUAAUUUUUAAAAAUAAAUACAAAUGAUAAAUUUUGUAAUAAAAAAUUAAUGACUUUUUAAAGGUUUAAAAUUAUAAUUAUAUAAAAUAUAAUUUUAAAUUAAAUAUAUAAAUGUUUUAUAUAAUAAAACUUGUUUAUUUAUUUAUUUUAUAAUUGACAAUUUGCUGGAUUUACUACAAGCAGUCAUGAAUCAGUACCAGUUGAUUCUAGUAAAAAAACUUAUUCGAUAGUUGUUGCAAAAAAAGAAUUAUAUCUCAAAUUUGGAUAUUUUUGUACUGGUUUACUUACUGUUCUUGUGUAUGUGAAAUUUGCCUUUAAAUAUAAGCUUGGAUUCAGUUGGCAGUAGAAGUUUAAACAGAAAAGAAUUUGGGCGUGAGCAUGUGGAGAGAGAGAGGUUUGAUAGUCUUGCUGUUUCUGCUCUUCCAAAUUCAUGGAGAAGAUGCUUGCCCCCCCUCUUCCUGUGGGAAAAUCAGCAACAUAUCUUAUCCAUUCCGAUUGAAAGGAGAUCCACAAGGAUGCGGUCUCACCAUGUAUGAGCUAUCUUGUGAAAACAAUAUAACGCGCUGGUCUCUUUGUACUUGGGAACAUUUCAUGUGCAGGCCAUCAACUACAAUAAUUUUACAAUCCGAGUGGUGGAUCCUGGACUUCAACAAUCAAACUGCUCUUCUCUUCCUCGCUAUUUCUUCUCUCCAUCCAAUUUCACUCAUUCUUAUCUAACAAUGAUUCCGUAUCCCCUAUAUAUUCACCCCAAACAUGGUUCUUCUGUGUGGAAUUAUCCCGAGCGGCUUGUUGACGAGCAUAUAGUGUUUUGGAAUUGUAGCCAUCCAGUGACUGGGAACCCUAAGUAUGUGGAUACCCGUGGAUGCCUGAACUGGAAGUGGAAAGGCUACAUAUACGCUGUGGCUGGUGACCUAAUUGCAGAGGACAUUGAAGUUGGUUGUGAAGUGAAGCUGGUUUCUCCCACAUCUUGGAGGGGUUUGGACACAAAUACAUAUUCCUAUGACAUGAUGCACACAGCGCUACUCUAUGGAUUUGAGCUUUCAUGGAUUCCUCUCGCCUGUGAGGAUCGUUGUUCAGAUAUUGACUGCUAUUUCAGUUCUUCCAGCCACACGCUUCAAUGCUACAACGAAAGUAGGGCAGUGAAGGCUUUCUUUAAUGUUUUUUUUUUUCAAGAAAAACUAAACCUACUUGUUCUGUUAAAUUUGUGUUUCUUUGACAAAAAUGUUUAUUUCACACUCAAAAAGAAAACCACAUAAUUACAUUUGAAAACCAAUUUAUAAUAAUAUAAUAAUAUUUUUUUAUUACUUUUUAUAUUUACUGGCUAAACACUCUAUGGAUACGAUUUUGUUAUUAUAUUCUCUUAUAAAAUUUUUAUAAAUACAUAUAUAUUAUUUUUUAUUUUAUGCGAGCUUUUUCUUUUAUGAAAAUAAAAUAAUAAAAUAUAUAAUUUAUUAUAUUGAAUUUAUAUUAUAAUAAAAAAAUUAUAAAGAAUAAAAUAUUUUAAGUAUUUAUAAUUUAAUUACAUGUAAAAUGCAAAUAGUUAUUUUUUCACAAUUAGUUUUUUUCCACUGUAUUUUUUAUUUUUGUAAAUUUGUAUUGUAAUUUAAAAAUAUUAUUAAAGAUAAAAUAGAAAAAAAUUGUAUAUACAAAAUCAUAAAUUCUUAUUAAAUAAUUUUAUAAAUUAUAGAUAAAUGUAUCUAGAUAUUUUAAAAAAUCAAACCAAACUAAAUCAUUUUAUAAAAAUAGUUUGGUUUCAAUCCAUCUAUUUCCAUAAAAAAUUUCAAAACCCUCUAAAACCGUUUAAUUAUUAAAUAAUUUCUAUAAUUAUCUAUUAUAAUAAUAAAAAUAGUAAUGAUAUAAUCUUUAAUGAUUAAUAAAUGAUUAUUUUGUACAUUUUUAUAUAUUUUAUUAUAAAUCUUACCUUAAUGUUUGGGAAACUAUUCUUUAUUAUUAAUUAUUAUAAUAACUAAAUUUUUAAAUGUGUAAGUUUUUAUUAUAUUAUAAGAAAUGUACAUACCCUAGCAAAUUUAACUAGAUAGUCUUCCUUGUUGCGUUGUGCUCCUCUGGUAUUGAUACUCUGUUUCUUCUUUGGGUGAACAGAGAGGAGGGGACAUUCAUCCAACCUCAACCUGUAUAUUUUUAGUAAGAAUUCUAUCUCUUUGGAUUGCCUAUGUUUGAAGUAGUGUGUACUACCAAAAGCUAAUUUCGAUUCUACGUACUUAUUAUAAUUUUUUUUCAUUUUUUCAUGUUCAAAUAUAGUUUUAAUCUCUUAAUUUAAAUUUGAAUUUUUUAUGUUGGUUUUCUAAAUUAAAAUUAUUUUCUCCUCCAUUUUGAAAAUGAAUUUUUUAAUCUCUCUAUGUACACCGUUAAAUACUGAUGUGAUUAAUGUUAUGUUUUCUAACUACUUAUAAAAUAUGAAUUUUAAUAAAAAAUUAAAAUCGUAUUAUAGUUAAAAAAAAAAAUUAUUUGUGAAGGGUUUUAACAGUAGUAAUUGAGAAGAAUUAAACAAAAGAUAAAAAUAUAUGAAAAGAAAGAGUAAUAAUGUUUCUAAUAUUGGUCACAUUAUGAAGUCUAAAGAUUCAAGUCAGAAAGAGACAAAAAUAUAUAAAUAUGAAAAUAACAUCAAGACUAAAUUAUUCUUAAUAAUAUAUAUAUAUAUAUAUAUAUAUAUAUUAUUUAGCAUUUUUUAAAAUUUAUGAUGCAUUGGUACGAAACAUUAAAAGUUUAUCAGUAAAAUAAGAAAACGUUUAACAAAGUGUGGUUUUGUAAAUAAAUCAACAAUAGGCAUAAACGAACAGAUGAAAGGCAACAUAAUAGUUUCAUGUUAAAGUUGAUAACGAGUAAAAUGAGAAUUAAUUUCAAUAUAUUUUAUGCACUGAAUAAAGGUUAAAUUACAAAGAAUUUUGAAUAAAAUAAUAUAUAUUGUUACAAUAUAUGAGUUGAUGUAGAAAAAGAAACAUAUAUGUCAAAGAGAAGCCAAGGCAAUCAAAUUACAUCACUGGUGGGUGACUAAAGCCAAGACACGAUAGUAGAUGAACGAGAAAAAGUAUCUUAUUUAUUGUUUUUCGAAAACAAUAAGAGAAUCUCCUAGAAAUACAAAAACUUCUAGAAAUUCUAACUAAAUUUUUAAUUACGUAAGUGUUUAUAUAGUAAGAAAUGUACAUACCGUAUCAAAUUUUUGUAAUAGAUUUUGGUAUAUACAAUUUUAUCUAUGUUAUAAUAACGUUUUGAUAACUAUUUUUUUUAUUCUGGUUAAGGUUAUGGUAAGUGUUUUGGAUAGUUAUAGUAACUGAUCUUUAGCAAUAUUUAAAUGAUUUAUUAAAUUCCUUUUAACAUGUCAAUAAUGCUAUAUAUUUAUUGAUAUAGUCAUGGUCAUUUCACUCGUUUGGAUUCAAAAUUUCAAACUUUAUAACAAUAAUCUUUUCCCAAUCCAUAAUUUUUGUAUCAACGAGUGUCUUUCUAAUUAAUUGUGUAUUUUAUCUUGAAAGAAAUUGAUAUUUUUCUUCAAUUAAUCACUGACUAAAGGGGACUUUUAUUUAUCUCCAUUGACUUCUUUAAUAAAUAUCAAUAUUUAUUCAAUUAACUCCAUAUAUAAAUUAGAUAUUGACUGAUUAUGAGUGAAACCAUCUUUUAUCUAUUAAAACAUAAUUGGACUGCUAAAAACUAUAUUUUGACAUUUUGUAAAACUAAGUUUCAAAAGUGUACACUUAUUGUCAUAAAUUUCCAUUCCAUAUUAUCGAUAAAGUAUCACUCUAUUAAUUAAAUAUUUUUUAAAACAAAAAUUAAUUAUCAGUUCUUUUUUAUAUUUUACCUGCAUUAUGCAUUAACUCAUGUAAAAUAUUUUCUGGUUUCAAAAAGAAAUAAAAUCAUUUAGACAGAUUAUGAAGAUAACAUUUGUGAAAUUAUGCAAAUAACCUCUGAUAUUGGUGCUUUAUUCCUUUUCUGAUGAAUAGGGAGACCUCCGAGGUGGCUGAUGAAAUUUUUGGGUAAGAAUUCUACCUCUUUGGAUUGCCUAUGUUUGAAUUGGUAACCAAAAACUAAUUUUGAUUCUACAUAACUGUCAUGUUACCUAAUGUACAUUUUUUCAUGUUUAAAUAUAGUUUUAAUAUCUUAAUUUAAAUUUGAUUUUUUUUUAUGUUGGUCAGUGUACUGUCAAAUACUUAAUUGAUGUGAGUCAUAUUGUGUUUUCUAACUAUUUAUAAAAUAUGAAUUUUAAUGCUUUCUAAUAAAAAAAUUUAACUGCUAUUAUAGUUAAAAAAUAUUACUUGUGAAAGAUUUUAAGAAUGAUAAUUGACAAUAAAACAAAAAAUAAGACAUAUGAAAGAAAGAGUAGUAGAGUUUCUAAUAUGAAUUCAUAAAUAUAUAAUUAUGAAAAUAGCAUAAAAAUUAAAUUAUUCUUAACUAAUAUAUGUAUUAUAUAUAUAUAUAGAUGAAAACAUGAAAGAACUCAAACCCAAGCCCCAAAUCAAUAUUGCCAGGACUCGAACCCAAGUCCUUCCAGGAAGGAGAAGAGUUAACCACUAGACCAGACAAGUUCUUUGAUCAUUUUUACUAUACUUAUUAUUAUAAAUAUUAUUAAUAUUAUUAUCAAUUUUUUUUAUUUUUCAAAAAUAAUUUCUCUUAAUAACAUUAAAAUGAGAAGUUAAAGAGUAUACAGUUAAAGAGUAGUGUGUAUCCGCAUCAAUUUCUCUUAAUAACAUUAAAAUGAGAAGUUAAAGAGUAUACAGUUAAAGAGUAGGUUAAUAAAAUAGUGGAGAGCGGUAAUUAAAAGUUACAUACGGUAAAGAGAAUGAAUGAAUUUUCAAAAUUUAAAAUUCAAAAUUGCUAUUUGAAUUCAAAACCGUCUCUCAAGAUAGAAAAUAAUUAAAUAGAAUUUGAGUUUCACAUUUUUUUAUAAUUUUUAAUAUUUUAUUAAUUAUGGGUAAAAAUAUAUGUAUUUGGUAAUAGUUAAAAUUUAUUUAAAACUACAAACUCAACCGAAAAAAUAAUUAAAUAGAAUUUGAGUUUCAUAUUUUUUUUAAUAACUUUUUAAUAUUUUAUCAAUUGUAGGAAUUAAACCAAUAUUUUUCAUUAGGUCUAUAAACAACCAAUAAUAUAUGACAAUUAUUACAAUACAUAUGACACCAUUAAACAAACAAUAAACAAAAAAUUCAUCCUCAAUUGUUUGAAAAAUAUUAUAUACAAAAGAAGAAAAUGCAAUGAAAUUUGCUUCUCUUUUCUUCACCUUAGACCCUUGGACCUGUAUAGAGACUCAUUUAAAUUGUUCCCAUCUUUCGCACCCAAAUCUAAUGUUCCUUCGUGUUAGAAUCUUACGAUUGGGAGAGUGAGCGCGACAACGAAACUCAGUUUUUCCUUUUUGCUUCUCUGAUUCCUCUAUUUUGCUAUGAAUAUUAACUCUCUACAAUUAACAAAUAAAAAACAAACAAAAUAUUAGUAUAACAUGUAAAACAUAGAUUUAAGAACACAAUGACAUACCUUCUCUGCAUAAUGCUCUAUGUUGAGCAAACAUAUUUUGAAGGUGGUCUCUAAAAUCAUAACUUUAUGAAAAGUUAAGAUAAUUUCAAAAAUCAAAACCUAAAAGAAGAAAAUAUAGAGGAAGAGCAAAGAUAAAAAAAAUGGUGAUGAUAGAAAACUUAAAAAUCAAAUUAGAAGUAACUUUUCCGUAAAAUAUGAGGAAAUGAGAAUAUAGUUUAGUUAAUGAUCUGUAUGAUUUCAUUUAAAUCCAUAAAAUUGUUACCAAAAAGGGUCUUAUUGCCUCCUCUUGUUGAGUCCUUCUUAUCCCGCUAGUCACAUGUUUCAAUCAUAAUUUCAGAAGACAAAUUAGUNNNNNNNNNNNNNNNNNNNNNNNNNNNNNNNNNNNNNNNNNNNNNNNNNNNNNNNNNNNNNNNNNNNNNNNNNNNNNNNNNNNNNNNNNNNNNNNNNNNNNNNNNNNNNNNNNNNNNNNNNNNNNNNNNNNNNNNNNNNNNNNNNNNNNNNNNNNNNNNNNNNNNNNNNNNNNNNNNNNNNNNNNNNNNNNNNNNNNNNNNNNNNNNNNNNNNNNNNNNNNNNNNNNNNNNNNNNNNNNNNNNNNNNNNNNNNNNNNNNNNNNNNNNNNNNNNNNNNNNNNNNNNNNAAAUAUCUUUAAUUUUUUAUUUAAUAGAGAAGAAGAUCUUUAAAACAGAAAAGUAACUAAUCACUCUCUCCACUCUCCACUUAAAUAAUAACAAAUAAAAUAAAUUUUAAAAUUAAAAAUUAUUUUAUUAAUUUUUGAAAUUAUAAAAUGUCCAAAUAACCAAAAUAAAUUAAUACAAUAAAUUAUUAAGUAAGGAUAAAAUGGAAAAAAAUUAAGAGCAGUUAAGAGGGGAAUAAGAAAUGACACAAUGACCAUAAUACAAUAAUAAAAUUAAAUAUUAAUAUAAGAAUAAAAUAAGAAAAAAAAUUAAGAGCAGUUAAGAGGGGAAUCCCCUUUAUAUAUAGGUAUAAAUAUUAUUAAUAUUAUUAUAAAUAUUAAUAAUAUUAUUAGUAUUAAUAUUCAUAUUAUUAAUAUUAUAUUCAUAUUAUUAAUAUUAAUAUUGUUAAUAACAAUAAAUAUAAUAAAAAUCAUAAUAAUACUAAAGCAUUUGCUUGGGUAGUGGUUAAAUUUUCUGAGUUAUCUGAAAGAACCUAACUUUGAAUCCCAUUCACAGCAAAUUUUAUAUUUUGGCGCCAAAAGUUACAUACGGAAAAAUCCGUAUGUAAUGUUUUACAUACGGAAAUCCGUAUGUAAUAUUCCGUAUAUAAUUCGUGUUUUUCUUGUAGUGUAAUAACUAUGAAGAACUUCUUAAACUUAGUGUAGGAGCUUGUUUGAGACCAUAAAAAUCCUUUCUUAACUUACACAUCACUUUUGGAUUAUGAGAAACACUAAGAGCAAUCUUAUACAAAGUAGAAAGUUCAUAUUGCAUAGCCUAUUGACAAAUGUAAAGUAUCAGGCGAUCUAUCACCCAUUAGAAUGAGAGUCUUAGAGUUUUGAUGAUCACAAUACACUUUAAGGUGUGUUAUAUGUUUAACCAAGCUCACUCAUGUACAACAUAAAAGAAACAAUACAUCAAACCAUACAUGAGAUGAAACAUUGCAGGAAAUACAUAGAUAUAGAGACACACUAGAAGAUGGAGUUAUAAACACAAAUGUCAAACUAAAUGAGUGUUAAAAGAACACUUCAAAAGCUCGCAUUAUAUGAUAAUCUAGAAGGAUGAGAAAGACCUUAUCAUACAAGCACAAGAAUAACUACAACAUCAAUUGGAAACGUCAAGACGAAGUCAUUAAACGAAUAAUGUGCUCAUGAGAUUACAAGAUAAAACUAAGAGCAUAAAAUAAUGAUAGUACAAAAGUGUACUAUAAAAUGAGCAUAGAAAGAAUUAUUCAUGGUUAGCAAGACAAACAGAAUAAAGGACUCUACAAAAAGUAGUAGGCGAAGUCUACAAAGAACUCAAUCGACCAAGAGUCAUAUACAACGUGUUAGACGAAGUUCGAACACCAUAGAGCUUAAAGAUAAAUGCAUAAGAUGAUGUUGCUAAACGCGUUAUGCUACACGCAAGAAAACAUAAGUGUUACAAAGACCAGACGUUGAUCAAAUGAACAUAGGAAAAGAAGAUCAUGUGCUAGAUGAACAAGUUUUAAGGAAGUUUCCAUACUUAAUCCUUUCACUUUUACAUGAGCUCUUCAAAUGUUCUAAAUAUGUUUUGAUUAUAUUAAGUUAUACAAAUCAUAUUUAGUCAGAACGCAAUGUUUUAAUUAAAACCCUAGAAUGUUUUCAAAUGAGUUUCAACGAAUAUAUCUUGUGACUAAUUUGUCCAAUAUAUUGAAAAAAUUAUAAGCUUAAUUGAUGUAUCUAUACAAAAUAUAUUUUUUAAAAACACAAAGUUACUUAAUUGAGAUUUAAAUUUGUGUUUGAAAAGGUUUUGUGGAAUAUAUUCAAGAGAAAUUAUGGUUGAUAAUGAAAGAAAUUUAAUCUGGAUGAUUAACUUCAAUAUAUUGAUUAUGUGUUUUGAAUUAAUAUCUAAGAAUGGAAUGUAUUGAUAAUUCAUCUGAUAUUCCAAGAUAUUAAGAAAUUUUUAUUUUGUGACAUAUUUGCUCUAAGAUAUUGCAAAUAUUAAAUCACUGAUAAUCACAAAGGUUUCCUAAUAUGAUUUUAAGAAUCUUCAAGACGCAGAGGAGAAUGAGAACAAGUUUCCUUUUCAAGCAUCCAAUGGAUACAACAAAGUUAUUGCAUAGCGAGAUUUGUGGAAUACAAUUAUUCAAGUUGUUGCUCAUAAAAGGAGAAAGAGAAUCUCGAAAGAGAUUAAAUUGAGAAGACAACAAGUGAGAAUGAGCAUUAAAUAUGCAAGCCAUAACUUUCAUUAUUCAGCAUCUGAUAUGUUCAAGAGUCAUCACAACAUUCAAGAAAGAGCUCAUUUAAGAAGAUUUGCGAAGAACAAGUACGUGACUAAGUGAAGAGCGUAAUUUAUGCUAUGGAGAACGAGAUUCAAGAAACAUAAGAUAAAUUAGAUCAAUGUUCCCAAAAGAGAAAGAAAUUGUAAAAACUUGAGACGCAAAGCAAAUACUUCUAUACUCAGCGUUGAAAGAAAUUACUGUGAAAGCAUCUGUAAAAAAGAUAUGAUUGAAGAUUCAAGUCACAAGAUUUAAAGGAUUAAUGUUCACAUAAUAAUAUCAUAAAGGAAUCAAUUCAAAUUGUUUCUAAUCAUUAAAGACACAAAGAAUAUAAUCUAAGCAUAAGUUGUCAUAUUUAGCAUCCAAUGAUGAACAAUGCGCGAAAUUAAAGAAACCCUAAGCUCACCUCAUUAAUGAAUCAACAUUUACAUUGGGACUAAAUGAAGAAACUUUUCAAAUACAAUUGAAGAACAAGACAUAGUUGAAUAAAUCAAGAGCAGUGAUUUUCUAAUCCAGCGUCUAACGACUAUGUGAACAAAGAGAUUAACUAAAGCUUCAACUGUCACAAUCUGAAACACUAUAUAAAGACCUUGAAGAUGAAGAACACAAAAAUGAAGCAUACGAGCAUACAAAGAUCAUUGCAUACUAUUUAGGUUUCCUUGUAUUAAUGUUCUGAGAGUAUAUUUCACAUAUGCUAUUUAGAGCACUUACAGUUUGGGAGUGAACCUUGUAUUGUAAAUCAUUCACUAUGUGAAGUUUACUCUGAACUUUCAUUAUUUGUUCUCUUGUCAAGAGUGUUUUUCUCACUUGUUGAGAGGUCUUAGUCUCAAGGGGAGAUUAAGAUUUGUUGCCUAGAGAGGUAUUGAAUACUUGUGUACCUGAAGAGGUGUAGAAUACUUGUAUACUUGAAGAGGUGGAGAAUACUUAUGUACCUAAAGAGGUGUAGAAUACUUGUUAGCUGGAAAUGUGUAAAAUAUUUAAGACUCUUAAACAGGGAGCUUAUGACUCUUAAACAUUGCACUCAACCUAAAAUUAUCUUCACAAUAUGCAUCAAAGACAUCCACUCUUGUUUUCCACAACAUAUUCAAAUCAUAAAUCAAGGGCCUAAGAUACACAUAUAUGUAAUUUCCUAGUCUAUUAUGUCAUGAAAUAAUCAUAAACAACAUAAUAUAUUUUCUCUCCAUGCACAACCAAGGAGGCACAUUGUAAAUGACCAAUAAAAUUGGCCAUGAACUGUGUUUAAUACUUAAGUUCACAUAAAUAUUCAUACCAUCUAUAGCUAGUCCAAGUCUGAGGUUUAUUAACUUCACACCAAAUUCUAAAUGUUUCAUCAAUCCUAUUCUAUUGUGUAGAAUCAGUUGGAUUUAAAAAAAAAGUUAUCACAUUUUCAACCAUUUUCAUGUCAUGUCAAGUUUUUUGCAUCCUUUUUGUUGGCAAAAAAUCUUUUAACCUUAGGUAUUAUUGGCUAGUACAUAACCCUAGGUAUCUUCCUCACCACUACUUGCAUCAGGUUUCUUUUUAAACUGUGAUAACCAACAUGUCGAAAAUACCCUCAAGGUAGCAAACUCAUUUAUGCAUAAUAUAUAUUCAUCAGGGCAUGCACGUAUCUUCUUAUACUCCACACCCAUCGAACACAAUAUAUCCCUCUCUCUAUAAUUACUAUUAAGUAACAUGUGACCUUCUCAAAACAUAUCCUUCAAUAAUGAAACUCUUAUCGGUUCAUCCAUUUCUUUCUUUUAAACUGAAUAGUCUUAAAGUUUUACUGACACUCUUGUAAAGUUAUUGCAUUAUGGUAUAAUUGUUUCUCCAAAUCAAACUUCAAACAAUCAUAUACAUUUUCUCUUUACAACUGUUGUUCGCCAACAUCAUGUAUCAUCUCCUCUAAAUGAUUGUCCAUCCUUUCUUCAAAGUUUUCUAUAGUAAACAUAGUUGGAAUAUCUAUUAUUUCUCUGUGUCAUGCUCAUAUUGUAUAACUCUUGACAGUACCAAAGAUAAACAGGAAAUCAUGUAUUUCCUCAAGCUUCUUAAACAUUUGAAUUAAACACGAACACAAUGGAAACUAAUACGUCCCCUUGAUAGGUUUUCCAUUUUGUCAAGAAAAUUGCAAUAACUUAUCAACUCCCUUUUCAUACUCUUCACUAACAUGAUGUGCAUUCAUCCAAGUUCAAUCCAUAACUAAGUAUGUUAUAAAAUCUAUCGUAAUCAAUCAUACAAAUGCAAUUCUCACUUUUGUAAUUCAAGGUGAGACUCUACCCAUUCAGAAAAAAACAUUUUCCCUAAUUCUUUAACAUGUAUAAAUUAAGUCUAUUCUCUUAAAUUUGAUAAAUUUUUGAAAAAAAUUUACAUUGGUCUCCAAAGUACACGAAAUUUAAGCGGUCACAAAGAGUGCAUCACACUCAAAUAUGCUCCUAGAGAACAACAUUAAAUGGUUGGAACCGAAAUUACAUUAGACUCAAUGUAUACAUAUUAACAAACUAUGAAAAAUAAUUUUCCCAAUCUAUCCAAUCAAACUAUACAAGAUUUGGUAUGAAGGAUUAAUAUUUAACCAUUUGUACUAAAUCUCAAAUGAGAACUACACUUCACUAAAUGUAUGCAUCAAUACAAUAUUUAUUUUAAAUAAAAUUAGCAAAUUAAAUACAAACUAACUUUUAUAUUUAGGUAAAUUUAGUUUAUAUACAAUUGCUUAUUUAGAAAUAAAACAAAAUAUCAUAGAAACUUUUUAAAUGUUUUUUACAAAAUAAUGUUCAUAAAAAUAAAACAACAUACUAAUGUACGUAUAAAAAAAUUACCAUAUACUAAAGUAUCAUGCAAAUAAAAAGAUCUUCCUAAAAAAAUCCUAAAAAAGUUUCAAAUAUAAUGACAAAAUAUUUGGUACUUACCCUUAAACACGAAAAAUGGAAGUGCAAUGGUAGAGUUGUGACGACAAGAGCGGAGGAGGAUGAAAAAUCGUCAAACUUUGCAGCAGUGACGACAGCAAAUUGAAGAAUCUAUAAGAAAAUUGUAUGUAAGAAGAUGGAAAGAAGAAAGAAGAUGUUUUUUAUUCUCUUGUGUGCAUUUACAUCACACUCCAUGUAUAGGAAAUAUAUAGUAUGAAGAUUUUCUCUCUCCAAAUUAUAAGCUAAUUAGGUAGGGAUCCACUAAUCAUGGGAUUUUAUUAUUAAAUUAAUUGCAUAUAAUUGCGUACAAUAUCGUACAAUAUUGUAUACAAUAAUUGCGUAUAAUUUGAUAAUUAUUAUUUUCUUAAUACUCCCCUCAAGUUGGUAGGUGAAGAUCAUGAAACUGUUCCUUGCCUAGUGACUUCGUAAAAAUAUCUACGAGCUGAUACUGUGUCAGUACAUAUGAAGGACGACUGAUUAUCUCGGCUUGUAAUUUUUCUCGCACAAUGUGGCAGACUAUCUCAAUGUGUUUUGUGCGUUCAUGAAAUACUGGGUUUGUUGCUAUAUGUAAUGCCGCUUGAUUGUCACAGAAAAGUUGAGCUGACAAGUUACAUGACACCUUUAAAUCCUGCAACAGAUAUCGCAACCAAACUAUCUCCAAACAAGUAUUGGCCAUCGCGCGGUAUUCUGCUUUCGCAGAUGAUCUUGAUACAUUUCUCUGUUUUUUUUAUUUCGAUGAGAUAAUAAAGGAACCAAGAAAAAUGCAAUACCCAGAUACUUAUCUCCGAGUUGUCUGACAACCUCCCUAGUCUGAGUCGUAAUAAGUUGUCAAUGUCAAAUUGUUCUCAAAUGGCAAUAACAAUCCUUGUCCCGGCGAUCCUUUGAUGUACUUUAGGAAUCGAAUUGCGGCAUCCUAAUGAGGUUUCCGUGGAGCCUGUAUAUAUUGACUUAGGGUCCAAACCGCAAAUACUAAGUCAGGUCGAGUAACCGUGAGGUAUAUCAAUCAUCCCACAAGUCGCCUGUAUUUGACUGGAUCCUUUAACAACUCUCCACCUAAAUUCCUGUCAAAAGAAUAUCAUCCACAUAAAUCAAAAGGGCAGUAAAUUAUGAGUUAUUCUUUGUGAUUAGAGAGUAGUCUAUCUUUGACUGUUGAAAUCCUACUGAUUUAAUCACAUGAGAAAAUGUUGAAAACCAUGUCCGGGAUGCCUGUUUGAGACCAUAAAGGGAUUUGUUGAGUCGACAUACAAUGUUCUCCCCCUGUCGGUGAUGCCCGGGUGACAAGUUCAUGUAAAUAAUUUCAUGCAAUGUGCCAUGUAAGAAGGCAUUUUGCACAUCUAGCUGGUGAGUAAACCAAUUUCUGACUGCUGCAAUGGUGAGGAGACACCUUAAAGUUGUUAAUUUUGUUGUUGGUGAAAAAAUUUCAAAAUAGUCAACACCUUCAAUCUAAGUGUACCCCUUUGCGACAAGGCGUGCCGAUGGGUUUCUGCCCAGCGGGUAACGGUGUUAAGGUCCACGUUUGAUUUAGCUGCAAGGUUGAAAGCUCUUCGUCUUUUGCUUUUUGCCAAUUUGGAUCAAGGAUAGCUUGAGCAUAAGUGUGAGGUUCUUUGGUGGCUGUGAUGUUACAUAUGCACUAUGUGUAGAAAAAAAUCGUGAAUUGGAAAAAAUAUGAUGCAUAGGAUACCUGGUUCAAUUCGACCGGUCUUGGCCAGUGGUCGAAUGAUUGGAUUGGGAUCCCGUUACGUAGUCUUGAAGCCAAGAAGGUGGGGUUGAUGUGCGACUAGAUCGUCGAACAAGAAGGUCGGUUAGAGAAGUUUCAGUAAUGGGCGCUAAACUUCCUGGAGUGGGAGAAGAAGGUUGGUUUGCUGGAGGUUCAGGUACAUUGUGACGAGUAGGAGAAGAAGGUUGGUUUGCUGGAGGUUCAGGUGCAUUGUGACGGGUAGGAGAAGAAGGUUGAUCGAGUGAAUGUUGGACAGGAGUGGGUAAGUCAAUGUCAAUAGCGGGCAAAAUACCUUGUAAUGGAGGUGAGGAUUGCAUCUGGGACUGUUGCCAAAAUGGGAAAACACUUUCAUGGAAGGUGACAUCCCGACUUGUAAAAAUAGUGUCUGCAUCUAUAUCAAAUAAUUUGUAUCCUUUUUUAUUGAGAGGAUAACCAAUGAAGAUGCAUUGCGCGGGUCAAAUUUUUGCUUAGGUGAAACAAAAGUUGCGUAAAAGAGGCAACCAAAAGGUUUUUAGGUGAGAAAGUGAAGGUGGGCGAUUAUAUAACAUCUCAAAAGGUGAUUUGUUUUUUAGUAAAGGUGAUGAUGGCAAGCGAUUAAUGAUAUAUGUAACGGUUAAAACUCAUUGCCCCCAAAAUUCUAAUGGUAAAUGAGACUGAAAUAGGAGGGCUCGUGCUGUGUUUAAAAUGUGUCUAUGUUUGCGUUCUACUACUCCAUUUUGUUGAGGAGUGUAGACGCAAGUGCGUUGACAUUCAAUACCCUUUUUGAGAAAAAAAAUUACGCAUUGAAAUAAAUUCCAAUCCGUUGUCAACACAGAUGGUUUUAAUAUAUGCUUGAAAUUGAUUUUGUGCAAAAGUAAUGAAUAAUUCUAAGAAAUGUUGGGUUUUAGACUUGUGAGUCAUAAGAAAUACGUACAUCUAGUAUAGUCAUCGACUAUAGUGGGAAAAAAAACGAUUUCCAAAAUGAGUUGGGGUUUUAUCAGGACCCCAAAUGUCACAAUGCAAUAGAUUAAAUAGAGAAUGAUAUUUUAUUGUGUUUAAAGGAAAGUGUAGCCUUGUCUGAUUAGCUUUGGACAAAUACUACAAUUAUUAUGAAUGGGAAUGAGAUUUUUACUGAAGGAUGUCCAAGACGCUUGUGCCGUAAAUCAGAGUCGGUCGAAAUUUGAGAUGUGUGGGCUUGGUUUGAAAGAGGGGACAUGUAGUAUAAGCCUGCGUCUUGUUUACCCGAGCCAAUCAUCCUACCCGGAGCCAAGUCCUGCAAAACGCAACCAUGUGAAAAAAAGACGACACAACACUUUAGUGAACUGGUUAUCUUACAAACAGACAUAAGAUUUAGAUUAAAAGAAGGAACGCAAAAAACAUCUUUGAGAGUGAUAUUGUCAUUGAAUUUAAUUGUGCCCGUAGAUGAGAUGAGUGCAGUUGAGCCUGUGGGUAGAUUAACAUUUGGAAUAAAUGAUGAUGAAGUGUGUGUGAAAAAUUGUGAAUCGGAUACAAUAUGAUUGGUUCCUCCACUAUCCAAAAUCCAUGUUUUCGUAAAAGCAAAAUUAAUAGACGAAUUAUAGGCAAGCAUACCUGCAGAGCUAACAAACAUGUCACUUUUACCGUUAUUAUUGAGCGAGUAAAUAGCCUUUGCCAAUUGCUAAAUUUGCUCGGUAGUGAAGUCUUGUACGAGGUUUCUAUUGAACUCAUUACUGGUGCUUUCUUUGCCAAACAUGAUAUCUUAUUUAGUAGAUAAAAAUGACGAGGCUGUCAGAGCACCAAUUGAUACCAUAUAAGAAAAUUGUAUGUAAGAAGAUGAAAAGAAAAAAGAAAAUGUUUUUUAUUCUCUUGUGUGUAUUUACAUCACUCCAUGUAUAGGAAAUAUGUACAAGUAAGUGUAUGAAGACUUUCUCUCUCCAAAUUACAAGCUAAUUAGGUAGGAAUCCACUAAUCAUGAAAUUUUAUUAUUAAAUUAAUUGCAUAUAAUUGCGUACAAUAUCGUACAAUAUUGUAUACAAUAAUUGCGUAAAAUUUAAUAAUUAUUAUUUCCUUAAUAAGAAUCGGCUUAUUUCAUGAUGGUAACAAUAAUGACUAUCAAUGAAGACGACCACAACCACACUAAAGACACCAACAACAACGAUGAAGAAACAAAGUAUAAAGAAUUGAACUUUAAAUCUAACUAAACCUUAAAUCGGCUCAUAAGAUGAAGUUUGCAUUCACUUAUAUACUAUGAAAUGUUCUUAUUUCUAGUCAAUGUAGAUUCGUGUGUGAGAUAUUUAUGGUCUGAUAGCGGUCCGAUAACGGGUGGCCUGAUAAGUCCAAAAAGCUCUCGCUAGAAUAGACUAUAAAUGACUUUGAUAUCAUAUUAAGAAGUGAACUUUAAGCCUAAUUCAACCUUACAAAACCGUCUCAUAAGGUAAAGUUUGUAUCCACUUAUAUACUUUGAAAUGUCCUUAUCUCUAGUCGUUGUGGGAUCUCUAACACCCCUUUGUUAAGACCCUCCAACUCCCUCUCAUGCCGAGAUCCUUCAACUCCUACAUGAGACUAUAUAUUUAUAAGUGGUUUGGUAGCUACCCAAUAGCGGAUGUCAUGAUAAUUCCAACAAACUCUUACUAGGAUAGACUCUAAAAAGUAGACUUUAAAUCUAACUCAAUCUUAGAAAACUAACAUCAUAAAGUAAGAUUUGUACUACUUAUAUAUGUGAAAUGUUUUUAUUUCUAGUCGAUUUAGGAUAUCCAAAGUGACAAUACAAAAUAAAAUAAAAAAAAUCGAGAGAAAUGAGUUACGUAAACUUUUUUUACAUCAGAUACAAGAAAGUAUGAUGUAAAACUAGACAUUUACAUAUGAUAAUCUAGCAUUGAAUGCAAAUCUGAACUUUUAGAUUGGAUUUUCAUAUUAAUGAAGGAAAAGAGUUUACAUUAUUAACUAAAAUAUCACCCAUUUUUUGUCCAGUGAUUACCGUUUUGUCAGACAUAAAUCGUAAACGUAGAUUUUCGCUUUUAUAACUAGUGGGUUUUGCGUAGUUCUUGUAAACUUCUUGUCAUCUUUAGCUUGAUUUAAAUCCUUUUAUUAAAUUCAUUUUAACAUGUCAACACUGAUUGUAUUUAUUGCAAAAAUCAUGUUAUUUUAUUAGUUUGGAUUCAAAAUUUCAAACAUUAUAACAAUAAUCUUUGCCCACUUUAUAAUUUUUAUAUUAUCAGGUUUCUUUCUAAUUAAUUUUGUAUUUUAUGUUAAAAGAAAUUGAUAUUUUUCUUUCAUUAGUCACUGGAACUUUUAUUUAUCUCCAUUAACUUCUUUGAUAAAUACCAAUACUUAUUCAAUUAACUCCAUAUAUAAAUGAUCCUGCCGGUUGACCAGAGCGCAAGAGUCUUGCCACGCCGAAGGUAUCUUCCUCUGGAUCGGCUUUGCACCACGCUAGCUUCCGUCCUUCACACCUUGAUUCUCCUCAAGAACCUGCAAAAGACAGAGUGGCGCCGCUGCGGCCGAUCGCGCUCCGACGCUCAAGUUAGUGACGGAAUCACCAAAACUCUAAGAGAGAAAAGCUAAAAACUCAAGGAACCGUGCAAAAACUCUCUCAGCGUACUCAAGUAUUCUCAAAGCGUAAAGAAGUGUUCUAAACGCGCGUACCUCAGAAUCUGUUAAGAGUUCCUUAUAUACCUGUGCAUUUUCUCUCUCCUAACGGUUACACCUCUGGACACGUGGCUCGCAUCCAGCUAUACACGUGUCACCAUCUGGAACGUCUUCUGCUUGAGCGCCACUCCUACUCUUCAAGCUGUUCGACUAAGUUACUCAGGUGAGGAGCAACUCGGUGCAUAGCUGCCUUGGAGUGCGAUCUUCUUCUAGUGGCGAGCACAGGGUGUCACCUUGCGCACCUUCUCUGUGAUCUCGCCUGCCGCUAUCACGAUCUGCAUUACUUGCUCAUCGUGCAUGUUCUGGUAAACUGUUCCCUGACCUCAACCUCUGGCUAGGGAAUGAUCAUUUGAUAACUUCAUCCUUCGUACUCGUGCCCCUUGAAGGCCUUGAACAAGCUUUCCUGAUCUUUCGGCGAUGUCCCCCUCUCGGCGAUCUCUGACCACUUGGUCGCCUAAGUUCACAUACGGCGACUACGACACAAGCCUGGUGACCGCCGGUUUAGAUAUGCUAGAAAUCGGAGCACGCCAACUUAAUGAUUGGCGACUACACGAACUCCCCGAUGUCCUUCCCUUCCGUCAGCCAGGUGUUCCGUUCAACACGCCUAUAUUACCACUUGCUGCCACGUCAUCACUCCCAACUACCUGGUCGGUACACAAGCCCCCAGUCUUAAGCGAAGACUUGUCCAGCGAAAAGACUAAGAGGUCACAUCACCGUCGAUCUACUUGGCGCUGGCACGGAAUUCCAAACGUCUGUACCCUCUGCUUUCCUGACACUCCACCAAACCCCUUUUUCCAAUCGCUCGACACGUGGCUUCAUCAACGGUCAUCCUCAGUUGUCGUUUGUGCUUCCGAAAACGUUCGAAAAACCCUUAAACCCCUUGCACUUCCACUGUUCCAUCAUCUUUCUGCACCCUCAAAACGUUCUAAGUUCUUCUCUGCGAACCCACGAAGCUUCUCAACUCUCUUAAUCUCCAACUCUCUUCAACGCUCAUCCGAUCAUCAAAAGGUACCCCUUUUACUUCUUUUAUUGAUAUUUGCUGCAUUUUAACCGAUUUGCAUCAUCCAUUAACGGAUAUCAUCAUAGACAACAUCAUGUAUUUUCGCUUCAUGCACAAUCCAGGAGGUAAGUUGUAAAUAACUAGUAAUACAGGCCAUGAACUGUGAUUUGUACUCAUAUUACCAAACGGAUUCAUUUCGUCUGUAGCUAAACCAAGUCGGAUAUUUCUUGAUUCUUUACCAAAUUCUGGAAAGUCAUCAUCAAAUUUCUUCCAUUGAAUAGAAUCAGCUGGAUGUCGGUACAUGCCAUCGCAUUUCCUCUCAUCUGCAUGCCAUCUAAGAUUCUUAGCAUCGUCUGGGUUUGCAAACAAACGCUUCAUCCUUGGAAUGAUGGGAAGAUACCACAUAACCUUCAUUGGGGGUCCAUGCUUUUCCAUGUCAUCAAUAGAAUCAUCAUCUUUUUGUUUCAACUUAUAACGUGAUAACCCACACCUCGGACAACUUUUCAACAAUUCAAAAUCUUUCCGGUAUAAUAUACAAUCAUUAGGACAUGCAUGUAUCUUUUUGUACUCCAUACCCAUUGGACAAAGNNNNNNNNNNNNNNNNNNNNNNNNNNNNNNNNNNNNNNNNNNNNNNNNNNNNNNNNNNNNNNNNNNNNNNNNNNNNNNNNNNNNNNNNNNNNNNNNNNNNNNNNNNNNNNNNNNNNNNNNNNNNNNNNNNNNNNNNNNNNNNNNNNNNNNNNNNNNNNNNNNNNNNNNNNNNNNNNNNNNNNNNNNNNNNNNNNNNNNNNNNNNNNNNNNNNNNNNNNNNNNNNNNNNNNNNNNNNNNNNNNNNNNNNNNNNNNNNNNNNNNNNNNNNNNNNNNNNNNNNNNNNNNNNNNNNNNNNNNNNNNNNNNNNNNNNNNNNNNNNNNNNNNNNNNNNNNNNNNNNNNNNNNNNNNNNNNNNNNNNNNNNNNNNNNNNNNNNNNNNNNNNNNNNNNNNNNNNNNNNNNNNNNNNNNNNNNNNNNNNNNNNNNNNNNNNNNNNNNNNNNNNNNNNNNNNNNNNNNNNNNNNNNNNNNNNNNNNNNNNNNNNNNNNNNNNNNNNNNNNNNNNNNNNNNNNNNNNNNNNNNNNNNNNNNNNNNNNNNNNNNNNNNNNNNNNNNNNNNNNNNNNNNNNNNNNNNNNNNNNNNNNNNNNNNNNNNNNNNNNNNNNNNNNNNNNNNNNNNNNNNNNNNNNNNNNNNNNNNNNNNNNNNNNNNNNNNNNNNNNNNNNNNNNNNNNNNNNNNNNNNNNNNNNNNNNNNNNNNNNNNNNNNNNNNNNNNNNNNNNNNNNNNNNNNNNNNNNNNNNNNNNNNNNNNNNNNNNNNNNNNNNNNNNNNNNNNNNNNNNNNNNNNNNNNNNNNNNNNNNNNNNNNNNNNNNNNNNNNNNNNNNNNNNNNNNNNNNNNNNNNNNNNNNNNNNNNNNNNNNNNNNNNNNNNNNNNNNNNNNNNNNNNNNNNNNNNNNNNNNNNNNNNNNNNNNNNNNNNNNNNNNNNNNNNNNNNNNNNNNNNNNNNNNNNNNNNNNNNNNNNNNNNNNNNNNNNNNNNNNNNNNNNNNNNNNNNNNNNNNNNNNNNNNNNNNNNNNNNNNNNNNNNNNNNNNNNNNNNNNNNNNNNNNNNNNNNNNNNNNNNNNNNNNNNNNNNNNNNNNNNNNNNNNNNNNNNNNNNNNNNNNNNNNNNNNNNNNNNNNNNNNNNNNNNNNNNNNNNNNNNNNNNNNNNNNNNNNNNNNNNNNNNNNNNNNNNNNNNNNNNNNNNNNNNNNNNNNNNNNNNNNNNNNNNNNNNNNNNNNNNNNNNNNNNNNNNNNNNNAAAUAAAAAUUCAAAAUAUUAAAUAUGAAUUCAAAAUUUUAAAUAUAAAUUCAAAAUAUUAAAUAAAUACAACACCAACCUUUAGGUUGAUGGUGAUCAGAGACGAAGACGAAGGCGUAGGCGAAGGCGGUGGCGGAAGCAGUGGCGGUGACGGAAGCAGUGGCGGUGGCGGAGCAGAAAAAACCAGAGAACCAAUAGAACAGUAACCACCUAUAUGUAGAAAACGAGUAAGGAAACGAAAUGACAAUGCCAAGGAAGUGAAUAAUGACAAUGACAAAAACGAAAACGAAAACAAACGUUGAAGCAGAGAGAGCUGAAACUUACAAUGCAAAGCGGAGAGAGCUGAGAACGUUGAAACGAAGAGCGGAGAAGACGAAAGUGAAAGUGAAAACCAGUGGCGCGCUUCUAUUUUUAGGGUAAAAUUGAUUUACAAAUGCGGUUCUAGGGUAAGACCGCAUUUGUAAAUCAAUUUAAUUACAAAAAUGCCACCGCGUUUUUUACAAAUGCGUUUAAACGCAAAGCCGCACUAAAUAAAUAGUCGUUGUUUUCAAAUUUUGUACUAGUGAUUAUCUGUCUGAAGCAUACAGUGUGGGCUGUUUUUUUCCUUUCUCCUUCUCUCGUAGCUUAGGGCUUCGUUCUUUGUUACGUUCAUCCCAGCGAACUCUCGUUCGUUCGCUCUGUCUUCUUCGUUCUCAAUCGAGUCGUUCUGUUGGCUUUGUUUCAUCCCUUUCAUUUUCCUUUGCAGUUCCUGCGAUGACUCACACAAAAUCCACCGCGAAUCCUCCUUCUUCGUCGCGAAACCCUCCACCCCAAGCGCGUAGGGUUGCUCCUGGGGCAAAUCCUCCACCAGCGCGUAACCCACCUCGAGCAUCUAGUGCUCCUUCUACCCAGGCUGAGACGCCUGCAACUUCUCACGCCAACCUCGCUCAGGCAACCCCGCCAGUCGCUGAAGGGUCUUCCUUGCCUCCAAAUGACUACAAGGAACUCUAUCCUUGGGCCACCCCACUCUUGUUAAAAGAGACUUCUUCAAUAAACACGGAGUUGGGCGUGCACCGACUAAGGAAAGGAGACCAGUCCGACCUCUCCUUCCACAAGGAACAUGAUAGCAAGGUGGCCGUGCUGCCCUGCUUCCCGGACGAGCCGAUCUGUGCAGACGACAAAGGAAACAACGGCGAGUCGUUCUGCUUCCUCUACGCCAUCUUCUUCAAGAAAGUGAAGCUCAGACUUCCCUUUACUCGCUUCGAGAGAGAGCUGCUAACCGAGCUCGAUAUCGCCCCCGCCCAGCUUCAUCCCAACAGCUGGGCAUUCGUAAGGGCGUUCCAAAUCAUCUGCGCACACCUGGGGCUGCCGGCUUCAGUAGAUGUCUUCCUUUUCCCGUUCGAGGCUAAGAAUCCUGGAGACCGCCUCUGGAUUAACUUAAAUGGGAUUGCUGGGAGGUCAAUCCUCUCGAUCUUCCAGCAAUCCUACAAAGACUGGAAAGGAAAAUUCAUCAAGGUGCGCCCAAACGAGCAAGAUCCCUCACUGCUCGACGGUUUCCCCUUGUACUGGGUACACAAGGGGAAUAAAGACUCCAAGGAGUGCUUCAGGAGGCCAAGGAGUCCUGACAACAUGGGGGAGUUGGGCAAGGAUCUCUGCCUUUUCUGGAAGAGCGUAGCAGCCGCCAACAUCACUUUCCCCACCGCCUCGAUAAUCUCCUUCGAGUUCCUCGAGGGCCAACUUGAAGCUCACAUAGGUUAGCCCUUACCUCGACACCAAGACCUUCACUUUGGGUUGGAAUUGACUUCGCAUUUCUACCAUCUAUCAUUCGGCGUUCUGUUUGUCGUGUACUGAUCUUGAUUUUUAAUCCACGCGCUACUUGCUUGCGUUAUUUCUGCGUGCAUAUGUUUGUAUAACCUGUUUCUGCUUUGGGGCCUACUUAUCUGUUUUCUACCCUGUGCAGACCUCAUGUUGGGAAAAGGAAAACUGGCUGAGCUGAGGGCGAUCGCCCGAUCCCACAAGUUGGCGGCGGGCUCCCAAACCGUGCCCAACUCGGUGGUGGAGAUCGCCGUUGCUCAGGGCAAAACUCCCCCCCGAGGUGCAACUCCUUCGGAGACACUACCCGCCCCCAAAGAAAAAAACUUGUCUUGAGGAAGCCAAAGAGGAAAACUCCUCAAGUGGUACAGGAAGAAGAGGAUGACGAGGCGACUGAGGACGGCCUCGUCACCAAAAGAACAAGGGUGGCACCCUCUUUACCACCUGCUCUCCCAACACCAACACCGCCCUCUCCUCCAGCUCCAACACCGCCAGUCCAAGCAACACCCUUGGCUGUCGCGCCCCCAGUGGUUGAAGGCAGCGAGCCUAAUUUCAUUGGGAAUCCUCCAAGCGCCUCCAUGCCAUUUCUAUCUGCUGGAGAAGGUCCUCCUUCAACCGCCUCUAUCGCUGGGGCUGCACCAGGAGGAGAUGAAGGUGGCCAUAACUCGCCGAUCCUGAUAACAGAGUCUCCGACUCCACCACCACGCCAAGAAGCCCCCCUUGCCCUUCAAACUCAAGAGGGUGGUGGUGAAAGUCAGCACCAAGCUCCUCCAGCACCUCCACCAGCAACAACUUCAAACUUCCCCCCUUCCAUCGACGAGAUCUGGGGACCCUUCACAGCCAAACUUAAAAUGAUGGCAGAGGAUCUCCCCUCAAUCAUAACAAAAGCUGUGAAGAUCUCAAGCAAGAAACUCCAAGACGAGAAUGCGGCGCUCAAGGAGGCAAACCGCCUGAUAAGAAUGGAGGCAGAGAAGCUUUCUUGCAAUCUGAUGAUGGCGGAAAUCGACCAUUCAAGGCUGGAGGACACCAUGGAUGCCGAACUAAGAGGCGCACGCAAGGAGGCCUCCGAUCUGCACCAAAAACUGCACCUCUAGGCUCUAGAGAAAAUCGAGCUGGAGAGUAAACUUGUACCUUACAGGCUCAAGGUGGCCAACUUGGAGGCAUCAAUGAAAGCAGAUGCGGCCAAGGUGGAGAACCUUGAAAAGAGGUCAGCAGAUCGGGAGGUGCUCCUUGGGAAAGUCGAGAAGGAGAGGGACGAUACCAAGGACGAGCUCGGCAACGCUCAAGAGGAAAACGCGAGGAUUGCUGCAGAGCUGGCCCAUGCUCGGGAGGAAAGCAAGAAAGCUGCCGAAGAGCUUGCUCGGGCUCGUGAGGAAACCGAAGGGCUGAAGAAGCAAAUUGAUGAGCUGCAGAAGCAGGCUCAAGAGCUCGAGCAAAGCUCCGCCCAAGUCCUUUCCGCCGGGUUCGACGCCACUUUGGAGCAAGUCUCGUGUCAAUAUCCCGAGCUCGAUCUCUCCAUGGUGUCAAUCUACAAUGAAGUGGUGGAUGGGAAGAUCGUGCCCUCUGAAGAUUAAUUGUCUCCCUCCAUCACUUUUUUCUUUGAAAACUUGGUGCUCAUUUCUGUUUGUAAGAACUUUUAUAUGUAACUUUUCUUCGUAUGUAUUUGAACUGACAUUGCUUUAUGUAACUCCUUAUGCUUAAGAUAUUGUUGUCUAAUACCGUGCCUCAAACGCUUCUUACUCGCUGUGUGAUUAACCAACAUAACCGGUAGAACUCGCUUAAACAAAUUGACUUAGCGAUUCUUCAGGCUUAACUGCUCACUGCUUUGAACUCGAGCAAACUGUUAAUCUCAUAACGAUUUAUCGAACUGUUACCUCAAAGUAAAAUUUGAGCAACUACCAACUUUCAAACGGUGACAUUUAACGUAACUUGCAAACUUAAGGCAAUAAGUUACUUACUAGGCAGCAGGUUUUAUCUUAAACUUGUAUCACAAUACAGUUUACCUGAUCUGCCCUGGCAAGGCUAGGCUUUACGCUCGUCAUCGCCUGGAAUUCUUCUGAUCGCCGUAAGGUUCUGGCGAUGUAGGCUUUCUCUGCCUUCAUCGCUGGACUAUUGUUCCCUCAUCUAGGGGGUAGAGGUGCCUUUCGGAUCCUUCUCUACCUCCCUGAGUUUCAGAACAAAGAACUGGAUAGCGAGGUGUUCUCUUUGAACCUACCUUAGCUAUCUCUUAAACAUUUUUCGCCCUUCACGCCAUACCUGAACUCGUUCAAGACGAGAAGGAUUUGAUCUGUCUUCAUACCGCCUACAAGCGUGGAAAUUUUCUCUGGUCUUACUAUGUCAAUAUUUAUGCCUCACUUAAAGGGGGAAAGGCGUUUUCCUUCCCUUCCCGCCGUUUAAGGUCACGAACACCCCUGACUUUUCAGUUCAUCUUGCCUGAACUCACUCUGAGGUGAGAAGGACUUUUUCUCGCCUGAACUCGCUCGAUGGCGAGAAGGACUUUAUCUGGCCUGAACUCGCUCGACGGCGAGAAGGACUUUAUCUGGACUUUAUCUGGUAGGCGUCAUUCCCGAGCGCCUCGGUUAUUCUGAACGGUCCUGUCCACUUAGGCGAUAACUUGUUUUCCAUCUCGUACUGGUGGGCCUUCCUCAUCACCAGGUCGCCCUCUCUAAACUGCCUUGGCGUCACCCUCGAGUUAUACCUUCGCUCAAUCGUCCUUUUCACUGCCUCAGCCUUUACCCCUGCCUCUUCCCUGACCUCAUCCAGUAAAUCCAUAUUUAACCUUCUUUCUUCGUUCGAGUCUUUCGCCACGAAAUUCUGAAAUCUCGGCGAGCUCUCCUGGAUUUCCACUGGAAUCAUUGCAUCACAUCCAUAGACCAAGCUGAACGGGGUCUCGUGGGUUCCUGACUGCUCGGUGGUAUGGUACGCCUAAACUAUGCGGGGUACCUCCUCAGCCCACGAUCCCUUAGCUUUUUCCAGCCUUCUCUUCAAACCCCUCAGCAACAUCCGAUUAGCGGACUCUACUUGGCCAUUUGUCUCGGGGUGCUCGACGGAUGCAAACACCUGCUGUAUCCCCACCUCUUCGCACAGCUUCUUCAGUAGGUGACUUGCAAACUGAGUCCCAUUGUCUGACACCAGGCGCUUAGGCACACCAAACCGGCACACGAUGUUCUUCCAAACAAAACUCUCGAUCUUGUGUGCGGUGAUUUGGGCUACUGGUUCUGCUUCGAUCCACUUGGUGAAGUAUUCAACCGCCACCACCAAGUACUUCAUCUGUCUGAUCGCCAAUGGGAAAGGUCCUAGAAUGUCGAUUCCCCACGUAUGAAACGGCCAAGGGCUGUAAAUUGACUUUAAUUCCUCUAGAGGCGCCUUGUGCCAAUCGGCGUGCUGCUGACAUUGCUUGCAACACUGUGCAUACUUCUUGCAGUCUUCCCUCAUUGUUAGCCAGUAAUAACCUGCACGGAGAGUUCUUGCAGCCAGAGCUCGACCCCCGACGUGACUCCCACAUAUCCCCUCAUGGAGCUCGGCCAUGAUUCUAGUGCAUUUUUCUCCGUGCACACAUUCUAGGAGUGGGUGCAUAAACCCAAACCUAUAUAGCUCGCCAUCGAUCAUGGUGAACUUGCUGGAGUUCUUCUUUAUCUUCCUAGCCUCUGUCGGAUCCAGCGGUAGAAGGCCAUUUGCCAGGCAGCGCUGGUACUGUGUUAUCCAUGUGUCUGGCUCAUGCGUAGCGCAGACCUGCGUCAUGUUCACCCUCUCCCCCCGACAUGCUCCUAUUCUCGGCGAUCUUAAAGUCUCCUGGGUCAAGGACCUGUGACUCCUCGCCACUUUCUCCGUCGAUUUGCUUAUCUGAAGAACCAGGUGGUCUGCCACAAAUGCUCUAGGCGUCUUCAGAGUUUCUUGGAUCACUGUCCUCUGCCUACCCCCCUUGCCCGAACUGGCGAGUUUGGCUAACAAGUCUGCUCGGACAUUCUGCUCUCUGGGCACAUGCACCACUUGAAAUGAGAGAAAGGAACUCUUCAACUCCUGCACAUACUCCAAGUACGUCGCCAUUUGUGGAUCCUUGGCCUGGAAUUCGCCUGUUACUUGUCCCGUGACUAAUAAGGAGUCACUCUUAGCCAUCAGCACCCUAGCCCCCAUCUCCUUGGCCAGCAAGAUUCCGGCGAUUAACGCUUCAUACUCUGCUUGAUUGUUGCUGGCUUUGAAGGCAAACCUCAGGGACUAUUCUAUCAGAACGUCGUUGGGCCCUUCUAGAAUGACUCCAACACCGCUACCCUGCUGGUUUGACGAUCCAUCCACCGAGAGCACCCAACGAAAGUCAUCCCCUUCAACUCGUGCUGCUUCUGACGAGAGCUCGACCACAAAAUCAGCGAAAAUCUGCCCCUUGAUCGGACCUAGGGGCUCAUACUUGAUGUCGAACUCCGACAGCUCCACCGCCCACUUCACCAUUCUCCCAGCCACAUCAGGCUUCUUCAGGACUUUCUGGAUGGGCAAGUCGGUCAUCACUAGCACUGUAAAACUGUGAAAAUAGUGGCGCAACCUCCUCGCCGAAAAUACUACAGCCAGUGCAGCUUUCUCCAAGGCCUGAUACCUCACCUCCGAGCCUUGCUACACCUUGCUGACGAAAUAAAUAGGCUUCUGAGCCUGGUCUUGAUCUUGGGCGAGCACCGCACUCACCGCCCUCUCAGUCACAGCAAAAUACAACCUGAGAGGGGUUCCUACUAAGGGUUUACACAAAACCGACGGGCUCGCCAAGUACUCUUUAAGCUUCACGAAGGCUUCUUCACAAUCCUUCGACCAGACAAACUUGUUGUUUCGCCUCAAACAUUGGAAAUACGGAUGGCCCUUCUCUCCACUAGCUGACACGAAACGAGACAGGGCGGCCAUCCGACCUGUAAGUUGCUGCACCUCCUUCACGGUAGCCGGGCUCCUCAUCGCCAAGAUGGCAGCACACUUAUCAGGAUUUGCCUCUAUUCCUCUUUCAGUCAAAAGGAAACCCAAGAAUUUCCCUGCCUCCACGCCGAAAAUGCACUUCUCGGGGUUUAACUUUAAUCUGAACUUGGCAAUCGUGGUGAGCAACUCCUCCAGAUCCGAGACGUGCUUGCUCUUUUCUGGCGAGGUCACGACCAUAUCAUCUAUGUACGCUUGCACAUUCCUUCCCAGCAUUGGUGCAAGUACCUUAUCCAUCAAUCUUUGGUACGUGGCCCCCGCAUUCUUCAGCCCAAAGGGCAUCACCUUGUAGCAGUAACACGACCUCUCAGUCAUGAAGGCAGUUUUCUCUUCAUCCAUAGGAUGCAUCUUUAUCUGAUUAUACCCCGAGAAGGCGUCCAGAAAACUCAGCAACUUGCACCCUGCUGCACUGUCGACCAGGGCAUCUAUGCUUGGCAAAGGAUACGAAUCCUUUGGGCAAGCCUUGUUCAGGUCUGUGAAGUCGACGCACAUGCGCCACUUCCCAUUGCUCUUCUUCACCAGUACGACAUUGGCCAACCAUUCAGGGUACUGGACCUCCCUGAUAUGGCCUGCGGCGAGGAGCUUCUGUGUUUCAUCCCUAAUCGCCUACCUCCUCUCCUCGUUAAACUUCCUUCUUCUCUGCCGCACUGGUCUGACUUGUGUGUCCAUUGCCAAGUGGUGACACAAGAAAUCGGGGUCAAUUCCCGGCAUGUCUGAAGCAGACCAUGAAAAGGCAUCCAGAUGCCGUUUUAUCACCUUGGCGAUCUGGUCUUGGAGCUCAGCCUCCAAAGAUCUUCCCAGCUUGAAGACCUUCCCCCGAUCUCCCUUUCGAGCCACUCCUCGACAGGUUUGGGUCUGGUUUCCCUGGCGAUCACCGCCUUGGCGAUUCCCAAUUCCCUCGCUUCCUCUGGGUGGUUCCUCGCUUCUUCCUCCCGUCCGGCGCUCUCUCUCUCAACCUCAGCAUCCACCAUGGUGACAUCGCCUCCGGCGGUCACUUCCAUCGCCGCAUCACCAACUCGCCAUUCCGUUGGUUGGGGCUUCACACCGGGAGGCGGCGUCGUGGUGAUGUAACUCACUGACCUCUUAUUCUUGAGGCUAUUCUCAUAGCAUUUCUUCGUCUCCUUCUGGUCAAAUCUGAUGGUGAUCACCACCCCCUCCAUCGAUGGUAACUUAACCUUCAUGUGCCUAGUUGAGGGCACAACUCCUAUUCUGUUGAGGGUUGGUCUCCCCAACAGAAUGUUAUAUGCUGAGGGGGCAUUCAUAACGAGGUACUUGAUUUUCUCCGUCCUCGAGGCCACCUCAUUCGUGAACGUUGUUCUUAGCUCGAUGUACCCCCUGACCUCCACCUGAUCGCCAGCGAACCCAUACAAGCACCCUCCAUAGGGUCUUAGCUGGUCAAGGGGUAGUUGCAACUGUGUGAAAGUCGGCCAUAACAUUACAUUCGCCGAGCUUCCUUGGUCCACCAGUACCCGGUGGACUUUCCUUCCCGCCGUGACAAGCGAGAUGACUAUGGGAUCGUUGUCGUGAGGCACAACGUCCCGGAGGUCUUCCUUCGUGAAUGUAAUAUCCACAUCUGGUGAGUGGUCUUCAAACAUAUCCACUGUCAUCACAGACCUUGCAUACUUCUUCCGCUGUGACGCAGUGCAUCCACCACCCGAGAAACCUCCAGCGAUGGUGUGGAUCUCGCCAUGAGUGGGCAUCUCAUGCUGUUGAGCCUCACCACCCGCCGGCUGGGAGCUCGACGCGCCUCCCGUCCUCUUGUCCAGCAGGUAAUCGUUCAAAAACCCGCUCUUGACCAGAUCGUCGAGCUGGUAUCCCAGGGCCAAACACGAAUCAACUGUGUGACCAAAACUCUGGUGGAACUCACACCAGGCGUUUGGUUUUGGUCCUAACACCUUGUCGCCCACUUUCUCAGGCGCCUUAAGCCUGGCUGCUAUGUUGGGAAUGGCGAUCAGAUCCGCCAACCCCAUGACAAACUUGUACUUUCGUGGGCGAUUAUACUCCCUGGGGCGUCCUGGGCCCCUUCCCUUGUUCUUCCUCAGAUCAUAAGGAUGGCGAGUCCUCUGAUCCUUCUUGGCCGCCAUCGUCUCCAGCACCCUCUGCGGCUGGAUUCUAGUCUGGGCACGUGGCCUAGCAGGGGCCACGCUCCCUCUCUUCUCGGCGACCUCACUCUCGUCGGCGAUGUGGGCCACCGCAAGUCGCUUAACUUCAGCAAACGUGGCGGGGUGAGCCCUAAUCAGCCCCUCACAGAAAGGUCCCGACAGCACGCCCUUUUUGAAGGUGUAUACCAACAUCUGCUUGUCUUUAGCAGGCGAGCGGACCAUCUGUGCUCCAAAACGAUUCAAAUAGUCCCUGAGGGACUCUUCCUGGUAUUGCCUGAUGUCGAACAGGUCAUAAGACACCCUAGGUGGCGCCUUGUUCACAAUGUACUGCUCGACAAAAAGCUUCGAAAACUGCUGGAAAUUGGUUAUGUGACCUGUAGGCAAGCUCACAAACCAUUCCAGCGUUGUUCCCUGGAGCGUGCUCACAAACAUCUUGCAAUAUACAGCAUCCGAGCCCCCUGACAGCAUCAUCUGCGUGUGGAACAUAGUGAGAUGUGCCUCAGGGUCCUCCAUGCCGGUGAUAGAAGCUUUCACAGGUACUACGCUCGCAGGGAUAGGCGUGUCUGUGAUCGCCUGAGCGAACGACAUUGGGAAAACGCGCGGUGGCGACGACGGCGCGACCUCUUAUACAACUGGGCGUCCUCUCUGCUCCUAAAGAGCUUGACGCAACUCCUCAGUUACUUUGCUGAGCUCUUCAUUCCUGGCCUGAGAGGCGACCAGGUCUUCAUGCAUCUUCGCUUGCUCUAUGCGCGAUGCCUCCACAUUCGCUUGCAGCGCACGCAUGAUCUCCAUCAUCUGUGCCAUGGUCAUGGCGCUUUCUACAACAACUGGCACAACGGGACUUGAACGGUUGCUUCUCAUCUUUCUCAUGAAAACUCAGCAAACCAAACUUCAACGAGCAAAACCUUCACCAGCGAACGAUCGAUCCAGCAAUCAAUCGGUCAGAAAUUCCCAAACUCCCAAGAACUUCCAAAAACGCAACCACAACAGCACGUCGGUAGAUUCGGACGUCGAAACCUUCACAGAAACUUGCAAUCUCACCACGAACCUACCGCUCCUCCAGCAAAACUCCCGAUUCACCAAUCAGAAACGCGACUGAACGGUAAACCUUCGAAUCAACCGAUUGAAAACCGUGCAAACAGCAAGAAACUUCAAGAAUCCAAUCGAAAGCUUCAAACGAAUGGCGGAAAAUUCGAAAUCACUGAACAAAAGCUUGAACGAACGGUGGAAAACUCGAAAUCACCGAACAAAAGCUCGAACGAACAGUGGAAAAUGGUUGCACCAGCACACAACCACACAGAAACUACAGAAACUUCAAGAACUCACGUUGUGGAUGGGGACAGGUUUUACACGACCCCACGGUGGGCGCCUGAUGAUCCUGCCGGUUGACCAGAGCGCAAGAGUCUUGCCACGCCGAAGGUAUCUUCCUCUGGAUCGGCUUUGCACCACGCUAGCUUUCGUCCUUCACACCUCGAUUCUCCUCAAGAACCUGCAAAAGACAGAGUGGCGCCGCUGCAGCCGAUCGUGCUCCGACGCUCAAGUCAGUGACGAAAUCACCAAAACUCUAAGAGAGAAAAGUUAAAAACUCAAGGAACCGUGCAAAAACUCUCUCAGCGUACUCAAGUAUUCUCAAAGCGUAAAGAAGUGUUCUAAACGCGCGUACCUCAGAAUCUGUUAAGAGUUCCUUAUAUACCUGUGCAUUUUCUCUCUCCUGACGGUUACACCUCUUGACACGUGGCUCGCAUCCAGCUGUACACGUGUCACCAUCUGGAACGUCUUCUGCUUGAGCGCCACUCCUACUCUUCAGGCUGUUCGACUAAGUUACUCAGGUGAGGAGCAACUCGGUGCAUAGCUGCCUUGGAGCGCGAUCUUCUUCUAGUGGCGAGCACGGGGUGUCACGUUGCGCCCCUUCUCUGUGAUCUCGCCUGCCGCUAUCACGAUCUGCAUUACUUGCUCAUCGUACAUGUUCUGGUAAACUGUUCCCUGGCCUCAACCUCUGGCUAGGGAAUGAUCAUUUGAUAACUUCAUCCUUCGUACUCGUGCCCCUUGAAGGCCUUGAACAAGCUUUCCUGAUCUUUUGGCGAUCUCUGACCACUUGGUCGCCUAAGUUCACAUACGGCGACUACGACACAAGCCUGGUGACUGCCAGUUUAGAUAUGCUAGAAAUCGGAGCACGCCAACUUAACGAUUGGCGACUACACGAACUCCCCGAUAUCCUUCCCUUCCGUUAGCCAGGUGUUCCGUUCAACACGCCUAUAUUACCACUUGCUGCCACGUCAUCACUCCCGACUACCUGGUCGGUAAAAAAAAAAGUUAAAUAUUCAAUUAUCACUGAAACCAUCUAUUAUCGAUUAAAACAUAUUUUAACUGCUUAAAAAACUAUAUUUUGACAUUUUCUAAAACUAAGUUUCAAAAGUGUAUACUUAUCGUCAUAGAUUUUCAUUCCAUAUUAUCGAUAAAGCAUCACUCUAUUAAUUAAAUCUUUUUUAAACAAAUAUUAAUUUAUCAGUUUUUUGUAUUUUACCUGCUUUAUGCAUGAACUCAUGUAAGACAUUUUUUGGUUUCAAAAAAAGAAAUAAAAGCAUUUAGACAGAUUAUGAACAUAAAUUUUGUGAAAUUAUGUAAAUAGUCUUCCUUGUUACGUUGUGUUUAUCUGAUAUUGAUACUCUCUUUCUUUUUUGGAUUAGAAGGGAGACCUUCGACGUAUCAGUGGAUGUGGUAUGUUUAUGGUAUGAAUUCUACCUGUUUGGAUUACCUAUAUUUGAAUUAGUACGUAAUACUAACAAUUAAUUUUGAUUCUAUAUAGAAAAUCAUUAAAUAAAACCUAGAUAAAAAUUAAUUAGAUAUUGAAUAGAUUGAAUAUUUAGAGUAAUUUCUAAAUUUAUAAACUAGUUUUUAAUUUGUAUCUAAUUAGUUUAUUGGUAUUUAAUUAGCUACCAAAUUUUUACCUACCAAUUUUAGAAUCUAAAGUACUUGAUAGCUAAAAUCUAGGUAGCUAAUUUGAUACUAAUUUAUAAAUUUUAUUAAUAGUAAAAACUACUUCAGAUACUAAUAAUUUUUUGGUCUCUAAAAUAGUAUCUAAUUUAGUCAAUAUAGUGAUGUGAGUUGAUUUGCUAUUACACAUGUUUUUAUAAGUUUCACUUGGAUUGUGAUUUUUUUAUUUGUAAUAAUAGGUGAAGACUCGGUGAAGAUUGUCAUUGGACACAAACUUAACCAAGUGGUAAGUGGUUAAGUAAGUGUGAAAGUUCUCUUCAAAAGAGCAAAGGAAAAAUAUACGCUCUAUGAUGAAUGAUGAACACAAAUUUAAACAUAAUAAGGAAUGAGAAGUGUGGAAUUCAAUAGUGAAGAAAAGAAUAAAAGGAACUAAAAGAGUAUUGGCAGAUGGAAUGGAAAAACAAUGAAAGAGAUAAGAAAUAAAGAAGCUUGUGAAGUGGAGAAAAUGAAGGUGAUUCACGCCACUUGAGGGAGAGAUCUCCUAGAUGAGUGAGGAAGUGAGUCGCCACUUGCAGCCAUUUAUGCCAAGAUAAGACUCAAAGGAUUUGUACAACACUUAGGAUUUCACUCAAUGAGAGUUUCUUUACUAUUCAUUCAAAUGUCGUAUACAAGAAGUGAGGUACCCUAUUUAUAGCCUUUAGUGCCUUGGUGAACAAGUGAGGGGGUGGCUAUUGAAGGAAACAUUCUAGAAUCUAGGGUUGGCCAAGGGUGUCGCACAUGGAGAGGAAAACCUUCUAGAAACUAGGUUAAAAAUGGCCUUUUUAGAAGCUAGGUUAUAGAAUGUAGCACAUGGAUGACACAUAGGGUGAUCUUCUAUAAACUAGGAUUUCUAGAAGCCUAAGCUAGCUUAUUCUUCUUCUUGGGCCAAUUUGAGCCUAAUUUAUUACGUAGUCUAGUCUUGUCAAAAGACUAGAAGAAAGAACAACUGCUAUUUUGGUCCAUGUCUAGGUCUUCUUCUUCUGAGGAUCUUCUGAGGGAUGGUGGGACCUUGUCUCUUAUCCUGAUAUGAAUGACCUAGGUGUGAAUUCUCUUUUGUGCCCUUUUUCAUUUGCUUGUAAAGUUGGGUUCUAUCCCUAGGUUGGAAAGAAUUCGACCUCAAAUUUAGAACUCCUGUAGAUAAUAUAGUUAGUUUGUUCACAGGAAAGAUAGAAACAUUUCUAGAGGUGUGAAGUGAAUCAAACUAAUGUUCGUUGAGCUUUUGAAGUUCUUGUGGAUUAGUUCUAUAUACAUGCGAUGCUUGUAGAGAAUGGUUAGGGACAAAGUGAUUUUGACAUGUAAUGCCUCUUAAAAGGUGUAAACCUUUAAGAGGUUUUGGAAAGUCAUCCCCAAUUUUCUCUAACAAAUAUUUGAAGUAUUUAGAACUAUCAAUAGAUGGAAAAAAUAAGGAAGGAGAAUAUCUAGUAGGAUAGGCAGUAUUUAUUUUCGGUCGAGCCAACAUUACCGUUUUUACUGUGUGGUGAGAUGAUGAGACCCAUUUUGAUUUUGUGAUUUUCCUCACCUUUUUCAUUUUCUCUUUUUGUUUUCAUUUUUUUUAUCAUCAAUAACUUCUUUUGGAGAGAGAGGUUUUAAUAUAAUUUUGUGCCCAUGGAAGUUGAAAGAGAUUUUGUUGGUAAUGUCAUCAUGUAAAAUUUUUCUAUCAUAUUGCCAAGGCCUUUCCAAAAGCAUGUUUGUGGCUUCCUUUGACACAACAUCACACAAAACUUCAUCUUUAUAUUUCCCAAUGGCAAAGAUUAUGUGGACUUGUUUAUUAACCAUUAUUUCACCCUCUUCACUAAGCCAUUGUAAUUUAUAGACUUUGUAUGAGAGAUAGUGGGUAAUUCAAGUUUUUCCACUACUUUUGUACUUGCCACAUUUGCACAACUUCCCCCCAUCUAUGAUCAUGGAACAUAACUUGUUGAUAAGGCAUCGGGUGUGAAAAAUAUUUGCCAACUUUCACCAAUAAGUCACCUUCACAAGGUAUUUCUCAUUCAUCUUGACUAGGGGUUUUUGAAGAGGAAGGGGGGUUAGAUCUAGAAGAUUAAGAAUUAUGGUCACUUACUAUUAUCCCCCUUUUUACCAUCAUGGUUCUUUUAUUAGAGCAAUUUGAAACUAUGUGUCCAAAACCUAAACAUUUAAAACAUUUUUUGCUUGAGGUUUUGGUUGACGAUUUAGUACUAGAAGGAGAAGGGUUGUCUUUACAAAUUUUAUGUUGUGGGGGUGGAUUCUCUAGAGAAAUUGGAAGGAAAAUCUUGAUUUUGAAAUUUAUUUUGUCUUUCCAAGAUGAUUUGUAAAAGCCAUCAUUAUGAGUAUUUUUGAAAUAUUUUUUCUUUAAAAUUUGUGAUUCAACCUUGAUGGCUAGGUGAACCAAUUUUUCCAAAGAUGUAUACUCAUAUAGUUCUACAACAUUUUGAAUUUCUCUCCUUAAUCCACUCAAACAUCUAGUUAUCUUUGACUCUUCACUUUCAUGCAUAUUGAUUUUAGUCAAAGUAAUUUCUGAGUCCUUGAAAUAUUCAUCUACACUUCUAUUUUCUUGAUGAAUUCGUUGGAGCUUCAACAAGAGUUCCUUCUUAUAAUGAGGAGUAACAAACCGCACGCAUGCAAACCUUUAAAUCAUUCCAAGAGACCACGAUUGACAUCUUCUUUAGCCCAAUGUCCAAUACAAUUUGAUGCAACCACUUCAUGGCAUAAUCCUCAAACUUUAGGGAAGCUAACUUUACAUGUUGGUCCUCAUCUACAUCAUAUACACUAAAGAUUUGUUCUACUUUAGCUUCCCAUCCUAGAUACACAUUAGGGUGACUAUCCCUAUUAAAAGAUGGUAAUUUAACAAAAGGUAUGGGUUUCUUGGGUUGUUGAUGAUGGUGGUGCAUAUCUUCAUAAUUGUGGCCUCUCCAUUCUUCCUCGUCUUAUUCUUGACUCCCAUAAUGCCUUUGAUACCUUGUUGCUCUUCUAGGAUCCCAUCUUCUUUGUCGAUUUUGCCUCUCUUGUGAAUCUUCUAGCAUUUGAAGCCUUUCCAUCGUUUGUCUCAUAUCCUCUUCUCUUUGAACCAAGCUCCUCUUGUUCUCUUCAAGCUCCACCAUAAGGUUUUCCCUUUGAGGAGAAGGUGGCUUGGAGGAUUCCCCUGAUGACAAGUGAGUCAUAAUUUGUGCACAAACAAAAUCAAUUAGUUCAAACGAACAAUUAAAUCACUCUCUCACGUGUAUCACUUGGCUUUUUGAGAAAAAGAGGAAGAAGGGUUAAGAUCACUCAAUCAAGAAAGGUUUUAAAAUCCAAAGAGCCCACACGUAUGAGAAUUGCUUCAAGUGAAAGAGGUCAAAACUCUUAUCACUCACUCAAACAAAACUUAAAGAAAUUUGAAGACAGACAAGAAAAGUUGAAAGAAAGAAAGCUAAACCAAAUUUGAAUGAAGAUGAAGACAAAAUUUUAACAAGACAAGCAAUAAAAGCACUUUUAAGACUCAAAGAAACACUUAAUUAAAUUUUAACUAUGAAGUUUACAUUUAGAAAUUAUCAAAUUAAAAAGGAUAAAAUUUCACAAGUUAUGAAAACAAUUUGCCACACAAAUAGAAUCUUUUUUAGCAACUUGAUUUUUGAAAUGUGAAUGCACAGAAUUACCUGGCUACAAUCAAAGAAUUACAGUGAUCAAGAAAGAAAGGAAUGGAGUACACCUGGCUACAAUCAAAGAUUAGCACAGUGAAUACAACACAAUCCUAUUCCACUCUUAAGAAUGAUCCAAAGCUUUUUGAAAAUCUUGGAAAACUGAUUUGAAUGAUUUUCCUUAGUUAAAUUAUGACCAGAAGCGUAAAACAACUUAUUUAAACUCCAAUCAGAUGGUCAAAGCAUUUAAUACAAGAGCCAAAAUCAGUUUAAAUCAUUUAAAGCAACUUAAAGGCAUUUAACAGAAUUUUGUUAAGGUUUUCAGAAAAUCAAUCAGUUAAAAAAUCAAUCGAUUGAAUUGGUUUGAUAGCAAAGUCAAACAAAGUCAAGCUUUUUCAAAUCCUUUUCAAAAUAAACUAAGUGUAAAACAACCGGUUGAAUCGAAAUUUCAAUAGGUUGAGUUUUCACUUCUUUAGAAAACAUAUCUUUUUCAAAACGAUUGAAAUCAAACAACCUUGAGUAAUCACAAAGAGUGAAUUAACAAAUUCAAAUACUCUAGACACACACACAACCAACAACAAGGAUCUUAAUGCAUUCCACUUGGAUUUGGAGACAUCAAAGCAGCUUGUUCAACAAUGUCCCCCGAUUUUAUGAAGACAAAUCCCUAGUUUACUUGUGUUGUCGUUUUUUAAUUUGAUGGAUCCUACAAAACAAAAAUCAUGCACAUACAAGACACAUAUAGCAGCAUGAUAACCCAAGUUUAAUAAGCACACAAAGACCAGUUUUCUGCAUAAGCUUUCAAGCAGAUAAACUAGAAAAACAGUUUGAAAACAGUGGUGAAUUAAGGUGCAAAUCAGAGAUAUAGCAGCAUACAUAACACAUAAGAAACCAUAGAGUGCAGCAACAACAAAGUACAACACAAAAAUCAUACCAUUCUCCCCUUAUUUGUCUUCACAAAUAGAAUAAGAAAAGGGAUAAAAACAAAAUUAAGAAAUAAUUUGAGAAUGAAGAAUACCCAAUUCAUUUCUUAAGAAGAAAAACCUUUCCUUAGGCAGUGGCUUAGUGAAGAUAUCUGCAAGUUGCUUUUCAAUUUCAAUAAACUGAAUUUCACGAUCUCCAUUGCUCACAUGAUCCCUUAUAAAGUGGUGGCGGAUCUCAAUGUGCUUAGUCCCUGAAUGCCGAAUCUGAUUUUUAGUGAGGUUGAUGGCACUUGUGUUAUCACAAAGCAAAGGGAUAUUACUGACGUACAACCCAAAAUCCUCUAGUUGUUGUUUGAUCCAAAGGAUUUGAGCACAGUAGCUACCAGUAGCUAUAUACUCAGCUUCUGCAGUUGAGAGGGCCACACAAGCUUACUUCUUGCUAUGCCAAGAUACGAGGCUUGAACCAAGAAGAUGACAAGUACCCGUUGUGCUUUUUUUAUCCAGCUUGCCCCCUACAAAAUCAGAAUCAUAAUAACCAACCAAAUGUAUAGGAGAGUGAAAGGGAUACCAUAAACCAACACGGGUUGUGCCCUUAAGAUAUUUUAGAAUUCGUUUGGCAACUUUGAAGUGAAAUUCUUUUGGAUUUGAUUGAAAUCUACCACAUAGACAAACUACAAACAUGAUGUCUGGCCUGCUAGCAGUGAGAUAAAGCAAAGAACCAAUCAAUCCUUUGAAUUUGGUUUGAUCUACUACUGUUCCAGCCAAGCCAUCAUCCAUAUAAUAGCUUGUGAACAUUGGUGUGGAUGCCUCUUUGCAGUUUUCCAUCUCAAACUUCUUGAGAAUCUCCUUGUAGUACUUGGUUUAGCUUAGGAAGAUGUCAUCCUUUGAUUGCUUGACUUGCAAUCCUAAGAAGAAGGAUAACUCUCUCAUCAUAGACAUCUCAAACUCCCCCUGCAUAGUUGCAACAAACUCCUCACAUAGGCAGUCAUUAGUAGCACCAAAUAUGAUGUCAUCAACAUAAAUAUGAACCAAAAUGAUAACAGAUUUUGACUUUUUAAUAAAAUGAGUCUUAUCAAUUUUUUCUCUCUCAUAGCCAUGAGAUAAGAGAAAAUUGCUAAGCCUCUCAUACCACACUGUCUAGGGGCUUGCUUGAGUCCAUACAAAUCUUUUUUCAGCUUGUACACAUGGUGAGGAUGUUGAUGAUCUUCAAAACCAGGAGGUUGUGAAACAUAAACUUCCUCAUUGAUGAAUCCAUUGAGAAAUGCACUCUUCAAAUCCAUCUUAAACAAUUUGAAACCACUCAUGCAAGCAAAAGUAAGUAGUAAUCUCACAACUUCCAAUCUGGCCACAGGUGCAAAGGUUUCAUCAUAGUCAAUACCCUCUUCUUGAUUGUAUCCUGUAGCAACCAACCUAGCUUUUUUCUUGUUAUCACACCAGAUUCAUCCAAUUUAUUUCUGAACACCCACUUGGUUCCAAUGACAUUCAUGCAAUCAGUCUUGGGAGCGAGAAACCACACAUCAUUUCUGGAGAAUUGAUUUAGCUCAUCAUGCAUGGCAGCAACCCAAUUUUCAUCUUUAAGUGCGUCACCAAUAGAUUUAAGUUCAAUUUCAGAUACAAAAGUCAUGUGUUUGCAGUAAUUAGAGACAAAGUUACGAGUAGACACUCCCUUAACAAUUUGUCCAAUGAUGUUGUCCACAUAAAGAUCUAUAGGAAUCCUCCAUUUUUUGGGAAGUUCAUUCUGUUGCAGAAUUUCAACCGGUUGUUUCGAAGAAUCAAUCGGUUGUUUUUCUUGACAAAAUUCCAGCUUCUGCAGAAUGGUGUUCUGCUAAUUUUCUUCUGCAUAAUUCUUCAUGGAUUCUUGUUAUGUGUUGGGCUUAAAGGUUAUUUGAUAACCUUUGUCACACAACUGGCUUAUGUUAAGGAGACUAUGCUUGAGUCCUUCCACAAAAAGCACAUCAUGGAUCAAGAAGGUGUUCUUGUCUCCAAUGGUUCCUCUCCCAAGAAUUUUCCCUUUGUUGUUGUCUCCAUAAGUCACAUGACCUUCAUGCUUGAGAAGUAGAUUAACAAACUUGGUUUUAUCCCUCGUCAUGUGCUUGGAACAUCCACUGUCCAGGUACCACAUAUGCUGGUUUUCCAUCAAAGAACCCUACAAGAAACAAAAUCAAAAGGCACGAUUUGGUCCCCUUACAAAUUUAGGUUCAUGGGCAUUAACUAGAUGAUUAGGAACCUUAGAAUUCGUAGGAACCCACUUCAAAACACCCUUAGGAACAUAAAAUUUCCUAACUCUGCAGAAUCUAACAGAGUGGCCCUUCUUCAUAAAGUAAAAGCAUGAAAAAACCGGUUGUUUCGACAAUUCAAUCGGUUGUUUUUCAAAAAAAGCUUGAAAAUGGCUUUGAAACUGGUCUCUUCUUGCUGUGUGGAUUAAAACCCAAUCCAACUUUGCCAAAAACACACUUUUGAGAUGCAAGAACAGUUUCAAAGUUUGAUUGGCCUUUUGAAAAUUUAUCCACAGUUUCUACAAGAUAGUGGACUUUCUUUUCAAAUGAUUCACAGUUUUUACAAAAGCUAGAGUCACAUUUGCAAGAAGAGUUUUCGUAAAUCAUUUCCAGAUUUUCAAAAUUAUUUUUCGAAUUGUUCAGCUCUUCUUCCAAAGUCUUGACUCUGUUUUCAAGCCAAUUAUUCAUGCCUUUCAAUCAAUUAUUUAAAAGGGUCAGCCUAUUAGCUUCUUCAAGAGUCUCUUUAAAAGCAUCAAGAAGUUGACUGUAAUUUUCAAAGUUUAUGGAGGUGCUGGAACUUACUUGUUUCAGAUUUUCCCUUUUCUAUCAAGCACAAAUUUGCCUUUUCAUCUCCAUUUGAUGAUGAGCUAGUGGAAGAAACGUCAUUGUCUUGUCAAGCAAUGUAGGCUCUUUUACAUUUGCCCUUCUUCUCAAGUUUCUUUCUUUCAUUGUUGAGGCAAUCAACUUUGAUAUGUUCUUGCUUACCACAACCAAAACAAGUAUAAUUGUUAGAAUUAAAAUCAUUGAGUUUCUUACUAUUAUACCUAUUUGAAGACUGGUUCUUGUUCAUGUUCUUUUUCAAGAACUUGCUGAAUUUUCUGGUAAACAAGUUAAGAGUUUCCCCAUCACUGCCCUCACUUUAUUCUUGACCUCCUUUAUGACCAACAACUUUCAAAGCAAUGCUCCUCACAUGCUUCUCUUCAUGCUCUUGAUCAUUCAACAUGUUCAUCUCGUGUUCCCUAAGCUUACCGAACAGGGAGGUUGUUGCCAAGUCAAAUCUUUCGAUUCAAAGAUAGUAGUGACUUUAGGUUGCCAAGUUUUGUCCAAGCAUUUGAGGAUCUUGAUGUUAAGUUCCUUCCUUUCAAAUAUUUUGCUAAGGCUGAUGAGAUGGUUUACAAUUGAGUGAAUCUCUUUUGUACAUUAGCAAUGGUCUCCCCUUUGAACAUUCUAAACAUCUCAUACUCCUAAAUUAGAGCAUGCUUUCUUGCUCUUUUGAUGUCAGUGGUUCCUUUAUGUGUAACCUCAAGAGUGUCCCAAAUCUCUUUUGUUGAGGCACAUUGUGACACCCUGAAAAACUCAUCAGAAUUUAGAGCAGAUGUGAUGAUGUUUCUAGCAAUAAAAUCAAAUUGAGCUCUUUUACUUUCAAUCUCAGUCCAUUGGGACAAAAGUUUUUCUAUGAAAACAUCAUCUUUUUCAAACAUUGGAAUAAAAGGGCCAUUUACAAUGGCAUCCCAAAUUCCUCUAUCAAUAGAUUCAACAAAGAUCUUCAUUCCAACCUUCCAAAACUGAUAAUUUAGUCCACAAAGAAAAGGUGGCCUGUUUAUUACAGCAUCCUCCCGAAAGGAUAGUUUUUCAGCCAUAAAAAAAAUUAGGAUAAAAAACUUGAAUGACUUUCAAGAACCUAGCUCCUGAUGCCAAUUGUUAGAAAUGUAGGCCUUAAACAAGAGGGGGCAAAUUGUUCAUGAAACAAUUUUUGCAAAUAUUGAAGGUAGAGUGAAAGACAAUGAAGAAUCAAUCAAUUCAAAAUCAGUUCAGCCAAUUAGAAAAUUGUUUUUAAUUUGAUUGUUGAAAAUCAACCGGUUGUUUUUGCGAAAUAAUCAGUUGUUUAUAUCACCAAAGUUGAAAAUCAAAGCAAAAACAGAUUUAAAGAGUGUAAGGAUAGAGAGAUUAACACAAAAUAUUUAUACUGGUUCACUCUUUACCAAAAGCUACAUCUAGUCCUCAUAAACCACUAAGAAUUCACUAAGUAAUCAAACCUUGAUUACAAACAACACACCAAAAUGGUGAUCUUGAACCCUUCAAGAACACACACCACCUUUGACAACACCACACAAUUUUCAGAACAACCUUUGAAACUACACAACACCAGUUCACACAGAAUUACAAUGAUCAAGAAAGAAAGGAAUGGAGUACACCUAAGUAAAAUCAAAGAUUAAAGCACAGUGAAUAUAGCACAGUCCUAUUCUACUCUUAAGAAUGAUCCAAGGUUUUUUUAAAUCUUGGAAAAUUGAUUUGAAUGAUUUCUCUUAGUUGAAUUAUAACCAGGAGCGUAAAACAACUUAUUUAAACUCCAAUCAGAUGGUCAAAACAUUUAAUACAAGAGCCAAAAUCAGUUUAAAUCCUUUAAAGCAUAUUAAAGCCACUUAACAAAAUUCGGUUAAUGUUUUCAGAAAAUCCAUCGGUUGAAAACACGAAUCAAUCAAUUGAAUUGGUUUGACAGCAAAGUCAAACGCAGUCAAGCUUUUUCAAAUCCUUUUCAAAAUACACCAAGUGUAAAACAACUGGUUGAAUCGAAAUUUCAACAGGUUGAUUUUUCACUUCCUUUAGAAAACAUAUCUUUUUCAAAAGGAUUGAAAUCAAACAACCUUGGAUCAUCACAAAGAGUGAAUUAACAAAUUCAAAUACUCUAGACACACAUACAACCAACAAUAAGGGUCUUCAUGCAUUCCACUUGGAUUUGAAGACAUCAAAGCACAUUGUUCAACAUAAAUUGUAAAGCAAAAUUAACUCAGAAAAAUUUAAGCACAAAUAAAUCAUGUUUUGAAUACCACAUUAUGUGAGUUGAUUUGCUAUUACACAUGUUUUUAUAAGUUUCACUUGAAUGAUGAUUUUUUAUUAGCAAUAAUAGGUUGAAUUGUCUUUUAUGUCCUUGGUCAUCUACUUAUAAAGUUGGGUUGUAUCAUAUAGUGACUAACUAUUUUUAGUCUCUAAAAUUAGUUUUUAUUUAAUGAUUUUCUUGUAGUGUUGUCUAUUUUACAUUCUUUUUUUUUAUUUUUUAUGUUUAAAUAUAGUUUUAAUCUCUUCAAUUAAAUUUUUGAUUUUCUUUAUGUUGGUCUUCUAAAUUAAACCCCAAACCCCAAACCCUAAACGUAAAUAAUUUAUAAAAUAUUAUUUGUGAAGAUUUUUAACCACAAUAAGUAACAACAAUGAAGUAAAGAUUAAAACAUGAAAAACAAAAGUAAUAAAAAAUUUAAUAUUAGUCUUAUUAAGAAGUUUUUUUUAAGACAUAACAAUGACAUAAAUAUAUAAAUAUGACAACAAAAAAAGACUAAAUUAGUUUUAACUAAUAUUUAUAAUCCAAUAUCUCUUUUAAAUUCAACAUGCAUUAGUACCAAUUUAAGUAAAACUUUUCUUGUUGUCAUGAUACAUAGAAUUGGUCUAGAAAGAGAAACAUCCAUGUUAGAAAGAAGCCAACGCAACUAAGUUAUCACAAUAGUGGUUAAAGUCAUGACACGAUAUUCAACUUCAAUAGAGGGACCAAAAAUAAUAUCUUAUUUCUUGUUCUUCCGAUAGAUAAUAGAAUCUUCUAGAAAAAUACAAAAACAUGUAAUAGUCUUAUGAUCAGUAAGGUCACCAAUCCAAUCAACAUCAGAAUAAGCACACAACUUCAAGGAAGAUGAUGAGGGAAAGAGAAGGCUCUCAAGUUGAGUACCACAAAGGUAUCUAAGAAUGCAAAGAACAAUUAUCCAAUGCAUUUUGGUAGGAGAAAUAAGAAAUUGAUUCACAACAUAAACAACAUAAGCAAUAAAAAGAUGAGAAAUGGGGGGGAUAUAAUAGCUUAUCAACAAUAGUAUGAUACAUAGUGAGAUAUGAAGAGACAUCAUUAGAAGAAGUAUAUUUCACAUUAAGCUCAAUAGGGGUGUUAGUUGUGUGAGUAUUAGAAAUUAGAGCAUGUGUUAAAGUGAAAAAAUAGUUAGAUUGAGAGAGAAGAUAACAUUUAGGAGAAUAUACGACUUUAUUCUCCAAGAAAUAACGAAAAUAACCCAAAUCCUUUCAUUUUAAACUAUAUUUCCAACUACAAUGAUAAAAACCCAUUCAAACUCAAAACAUUUGGCUAAGAAGAUUGGAAGUAGAAAAAGGAGCUCAGAAAACUCUCGUCUCAAGGAGAAAUAAUUGUUGUCUGCUCUUCCAUUUUUCUCUAGUUUUAUAACCAUUGUAUAGAGUAGUAUAGGCUUUAUUUUGGACUUGUAUUUGGGUCAUUUUCUUGGACCAUGUUUUGGGCCAAUUUUCAUGGGUCAUAUAUUGGGCCAAUUAUAGUUGGGUGUAAAUCGAAAAAGAAAGAGUCUAGCUAGAGUUACAAUUGGGCCUCCUUGGACCCAAUGCAACUCUAAGCCAUCUAGAAUGCAUAAAUAAAUUACUAGAAUGAAAAUAGAAAACAUGAAGUGACAAGGAAGGCAUGAAAGUCCACAUGUCAUCCCCUCAAUGGAGAGGAUUCCCACCAAUGCCAAAAGGCCAUUUGUAUUCAUAAGAAUGGAGAGGAUUCUCUCCAAUUAGAGAAGAACACUUAUCAACUUCUAAUUUGAGAGGAUUUGCUCCAAUUAGAGAGAGUUAUUUGUCCUUCUAUGAGUGGAGGGUUUUUGGGGUUGAAGCUUGCACCUUGGCUGCCUGUAACAUUAUAAAUACAAGUGCUAGCCCAUUGUAAAUGAGCUUUGAAUAGAAUAUUGAAUUGUUGUCCAAAUCUGUGCAUAUCUUGUCUUCUUUGUUCACUCUUUGCUAGCAUUAGUUUUGUGUCUAGCUUAGAACUUCUUAGGAGUUUAGGGUUUAGGGUUCAUGGUUUUUUUUUCACUUAUUUUAGUCAUCCAAUCCCACCAAAUUUCACACCCCAAAAAUACAAAACAAAAAACUCAUAGCAAUGCAAGCUAGGAUUGUAUCACAAUUUCAACUCUACAAUUUGAUUUACAUCAUCCCCGAUGAUUAUCAUGUCAUUAACAUAUAAAGAGAGAAUAAUACAAUCAUGAGAAGUAGUAUUCAAAAUGAAAGCAAAGUGCAAUCACUAGAACAAAAUCCAAAAGAUACAAUAAUUAUGGAGAACUUUUCAAACCAAGUUUGGGAGCUUGUUUGAGACCAUAAAAACUCUUUCUUAACUUACACACCUCCCUUGGAUUAUGAGAAACACCUAGAGGAGGUAUCAUGAAUACCUCCUUUCUUAUAUCAUCAUUUAAGAAAUCAUUUUUAAUAUCUAUCUAAAAAAUAUCCUAUUGAAAAAUAAAGGCAACAAUAAUAAGAGUACGAGUGGUAGUCAUCUUAGCAAUCGAUACAAAAGUUUUUGCAUAAUCUAGAACAUAUUCCUAAGAGAAUCCUUAACGACUAAACAAGUUUUGUAAUGGUCAACAAACCCAUCCAAAUUUGUUUUAAUUUUAUAGACCCACCAAGAGCCAAUGCCUUUUUUUUUCUUGGAGGAGGAGAUAUCAAAUCCCAAGUAGAAGUCUUAUAUAAAGUAGAAAGUUCCUCUUGCAUAGCCUGUUGUCAUAGUGGAUCAAGGAAAACCUCUUGAUGAGAAGAAGACUCAAACAAACUAUGAAUUCUGGUUAAGAAGGAAUUAAAGGAAGAAGAAUAAAUAGAUUAAACCAAAUUUGGUGAUUGGAUGGACUUAUGAACACGUUGAGGAUACCAAGGAUGUGAGGGAUCAAAAUCACAAAAGGUGCUUAGGAAGUCAUGGGGAGAUCUUGAGUUGUUGUAGUACCAUUAUAAUCCUUGCAAUUCUCAAUUCCAAGAUUAUUUACAUCAUCAUCAUUUAUGAAAAAGGGAUCAAUACAAAUGAGAUCUGACCUUGUAGAGUUAUGAGAGUUAGAAGGAAAUGAAUAUAAUGGAAUGUACUUAUGGAAAAUAACAUGAUGAGAAACAUAGAGUUUGUGAUUGGUAGGAUCAUGACAAUGAUAAUUCUUUUGACAAUCCCUAUAACUAUGAAAAACACAUAAUACAAAAUGAGAGGACAAUUUACUAUGUUUAACUUUGUGGAUGAAGAAAAAAAGUAGAACCAAAACCUUUCAAGGAAGAGUAAUCGGAAACACAACCACAUAACUUUCAAAAGGGAGACACACCUGAGAUAGUAGAAAAUGAAAUUCGGUUUAUAACAUGGACAAAAAUAAGAGCAACCUCAUUCAAAAUUUCAUUGGAACUGAAGCAUACAAUAAAAGAAAAUGAGCAGAUUCAAGAAUGUAGCAAUGUUUUCUUUCAGCAACUCCAUUCUGUUGAGAAGUAUCAAUACAAGAAGUUUGAUGAAGAGUUCCAUCGAUGGUAAGUAAUUCACAAAAUUUAUUAAAAGUGUACUCACCACCCAAAUCACAUUAAAAACAUUUAAUAACAACAUUAUGUUAGUUUUAAGCUUAGUGUGAAACAUAAGAUAUACAUUAAAAAAAACUCAGAAAAAUGUUUCAUAAGAUAAGCCCGACAAUAAUAAAUAUGAUCAUCAAUAAAAGAGACAUAAAAGUAGGAUAGGCAUUGAUAGGAAAGAAGGAUAAACCCUAUGCAUCAUAAUGAACCAAGCCAAAAGAUGUAUGACAUGUAAAAACACUUGAUAAAAGGUAUAGUAGUAAAUUUGACAAGUUUACAAUAAUAAAAAAUAUCAAUGGUUUGUAACUUGCGUAAAAUUCUAAUGAAGACUUAGUAAGUUAAUCUAGAGAAAGAAACAUGUCCAAUACAUAAAGAUGGUAAAUCAAUAAUCGAAGUUGUAAUAACGAAUUCUUUAGCUCAUCUACUAUAUAAAAUCCCUUAUCUACAAUUUAUCUCAAUCAACCUUCCAAAUUAAAGAUAAUUAGUAGAAGAAAAAAAAUGAAUAACCAAAAGUCACAUAAUUAAUUAAAUGACAGAGACAAAAUUGAAAAUGAGAUUUGGAAUAUAAUAAACAUUUGAAAGCGACAAAGUAAUAGAAAAUCCACAUUUGCCUGUCAAACCAGGUGAUUCUACUAGUAGGUGAUUACCAAUGAUAUGGGCUUUAAUGCCAUAUUAGAUUUUAACCUAAAACCAAACCAAAUGACAUUAAGUGAAGUUGUCUAUUCAUGUAUAAACUACACUCUCAUACUUGAUGCAGACCAUGUAAAACUUCUCAACACGCGUCUCAAAAGAUGUUUGUAGAACCAAAGCGAGCCUAAUAAUAGUACCAAAUGAAUAUAUAUACUUAGUACCAUGAUAAUAAUGAAACAAAAUAUGAUGAUACAUGAAAAGAAAUUGAUUUCAUAUACUAAUCUUAAUAGAAAGACUCAAAACAUAACAAAUAUAUAAAUAUGAAAAUAAUAUAAAAGUUACCCUACACUUAAUUAUUUAAUAUAUAUAUAUAUAUUAUUAUUAUGCUAACAACAAGUAAAUAAAAUUAGGGUAAAUAGGCGUAUUAAGAUAUGGAGGAUUGUGAUGCUAUUCUGAAUCCUAACUCAAAAUUUACAUAUCAUGAAAGAAAGAAGAAAAAAAGAAAAAAGUGGGAGAGAAGUAAAGCAAAAGAAAAUUUGAAAACAACUCAAAAUUUAAAAUCCCAAACAAGAAGAUCAUGUCCAAAAUUUAAAUUUAGACAGUUUAGAAAUCGCAGUAAAUUGGAAAUCCAAAAUACCUUACGCGUCUAUGAUGAAGAAGGAUAAAAAUAACAUUUUGUAAGUUAUAUAACUACAAUUUUUUUUUAAUGUCAUGAAUAAAAAAGGGAGUCGGAUUUGAGGAAAAAAAUUAAACUUUUUUAUUAAGUUUAAAAUAUAAGUAAUUCAAAUUCACCAGUCAUAUAGUAAAACAGUUCUUCCAUGACAUUGUGCAUGCUCCUCCUUAAAUAUAUAUAUCAUUGCUGAUAAUAUAUAUAUAUAUAUAUAUAUAUAUAUAUAUAUAUAUAUAUAANNNNNNNNNNNNNNNNNNNNNNNNNNNNNNNNNNNNNNNNNNNNNNNNNNNNNNNNNNNNNNNNNNNNNNNNNNNNNNNNNNNNNNNNNNNNNNNNNNNNAAAUGGAAAAAAUAAUUUACUUUGUUUCUAUCACAUGGUUUUAUUCCUCUAUUUCUAUAUGUUAUAAAUGAUAAGUACAAUGGAACAAGUAUUUUCAUAAAUAUAUUUAUUUUGAAUAAAAUAUAAAAAUAUAAAAAAAUUGAAUAAAUUAUUUAAAAGUUAAAACAAAUUUAUAUGUAAACUAAGUUUUAGGCAUUCUUUAUAUAACCUUUUUAACUUUUAAUUUCUAAUUUAUAAAUAAUUUGAUUUCAUUUUUAUCUUUUUAUUUUUCUUUUAUAAAAAUACUUAUAAAAAAUUGUCCAAAUAUAAAUAAUAUUAUUUACAAAAACUAUUUUUUCCAAAAUAGUUCUAUAAUAAUUUCACAUUAUUAUUCUUUUUUUUAUUAUGAUGAGAUCUAUCACUUUGAUUCUUGAUUCUUCCAAUAACAUACUUUUAAUGAUAACAAUUUGUGUACAGGUGCUAGGAGAGUAAUUCUUAUUGACUAUUUAUAAGUUAACUUAACAACUUCCUUGAUUAAUUAAUACUAGGAAAACUCAUAUCCACAUUUUUAUUUCACUAAAAUAAUAUAAUUUUGUAAAAAAUAUAUUAAAAAUAUUAAAAGUAUAAAAUUUAGAAUGUAUAUAAUUUUGUAAAAAUAAUAUUAAAAUAAUAUAUAUGGUAGUUAUCUAUACCAUUGAGGAUAGAUUUUUUAACCACCUUUAGUAUCAUAUUUUUAAUUAAUAAUUUUAUCCUAUGAUAAAUUUAUUCUUUUAGUAAAAGAUGAUAUUUUUUUUAAUGGUCUAACUUUCCCACUUAAAAUAACAUAAACAUACAUUUUCUUUUAAUUUUAAAUCAUUCUAUUGGAAAUAUAUAUUUUUUUAAAUUGUUUUAUUUGAAUCAAGAAAAUAUGAAUUGUUUCUACAAGUUUUUAAGUAAAAAAGUUAUUUAGUUAUUUUUUUAGUAGAAAUAAAUUAUUUAUUAAAAAAAUUAUUUAUUAAAAAGUAAAAAUAUCAAAUUAAAAAUGACGUCAAAGAUCAUUAUCAAAAUAUGUACUUUUUUUUAUAUAAUUGUAUAGAUUAUUUUCGUAGCAAUAAGUUAUCCAAUUACUUAUUUUAUUAAAUAAAAAAUUAUAUUUUAUAUUAAAGAAUUAUUAUUUUUAAUUAAAAUAUGACAACAAAAAUAAUUAUCAAAAGGUGUAUUCGCUAUAUAAUAGUGUAGACGAUGAUGAUCAUAAUAAUAACAUUAAGUAUAAAUAAAUUUAAAAGUUUUAAAGAUUUUAUCUUUAUUAUAUUAAUAAAAAAAGGUGACAAGUGAUUUUUUUAUUUCAAGGAAGGUGUGCUUUUUUUUCUUUCUUUAUUACAACAUGAUGAUGACAUUUGCGAUAUUAAUUCACAGGAUUGUAUUUUACAAUAACUGGACCAAACCAAAAUCUUGAACAUUACGGUGCAUAUCAAUCCGUAUUAAUUACGUUGGGACACUAUGUUAUACCAUACUUUAUACUUAGAUAUGUUAUUGUCACCGUAUUGUUUAUUGCUAUUUUGACAUACAAGUGGAGAAGAAGACACUCAUCAGAAUACGAAAAUAUUGAAAGUUAUUUAGAGCAAAAUAACUUGAUGCCUAUUCGAUACACAUACAAAGAAAUUAAGAAGAUGGCCAUAGGUUUCAGCGAAAAGUUGGGUGAAGGAGGUUAUGGCUCUGUAUUUAAGGGAAAGUUGCGUAGUGGACCUUGUGUUGCCAUAAAAGUGUUACGAAAAUCAAAAGGUAAUGGACAAGACUUUAUCAAUGAAGUUGCAACAAUUGGAAGAAUACAUCAUCAAAAUGUAGUACAGUUAAUUGGAUAUUGUGUUGAGGGCUCAAAACAUGCCCUUGUUUAUCAGUUCAUGUCCAAUGGAUCUCUUGACAAAUUUAUAUUUUCCAGAGAAGGAAAUUUGCAUUUAACCUAUGACACAAUAUAUAAUAUAGCAAUUGGAGUAGCACGUGGGAUUUCAUAUCUACACCAUGGGUGUGAGAUGCAGAUUUUGCAUUUUGACAUCAAACCCCACAACAUCUUGCUUGAUGAAAAAUUUACCCCAAAAGUUUCUGACUUUGGAUUGGCAAAACUAUAUCCAAUAGAUAAAAGUGUUGUAACUAUGACAGCAGCAAGAGGGACAAUUGGAUACAUGGCUCCAGAAUUGUUUUAUACAAAUAUAGGAAGAAUAUCAGAUAAGUCUGAUGUUUAUAGUUUUGGAAUGCUUCUAAUGGAGAUAGCAAGCAAGAGGAAAAACUUAAACCCCCAUGCAGAGCGUUCAAGUCAACUUUACUUUUCCUUUUGGAUUUAUGAUCAACUUGACAAAGAGAAAGAUAUAGAUAUGGAAGAUGUCAUAGAGGAAGAGAAGAAAAUUGCAAAAAAAAUGAUGAUAGUUUCACUCUGGUGCAUACAAUUAAAACCAAAUGAUCGUCCUUCCAUUAAUAAGGUAGUCGAAAUGCUUGAAGGAGACAUUGAGAACCUUAAAAUUCCUCCAAAGCCUUCUCUGUAUCCACAUGAAACAUUGGAAAAAAUUUGCUCUGGCCAAACAACAUUGUCUGAGUUUAUUAGUUCUUCAAGCAAUUCCAUGGAAAUUGCCACUAAUGCUCCCCUAGAUGAAAGUAUUUGAUAAUGUAUAUUAGUUGUUUAUUUGCAUCCAACUUAUUGACUUGAACAUUGUUCAUGUAUAAUAUUUACAUUCUCUUAGUUAUUUUCUAUAUAAUGUUGUAUACUUAAAAGUUUAAAGUAAUGGUUUACCAAAUUUAAACAUUUGUUAAAAAAAUUCAGUUAUGUUCAUUAUACUAAAGUAGUUGUAGCCUCCUAAGUUUUUUUUUUAACUGUUAUUUAAAACAUGAUCAAAUAUAAUAACAAGUGAAUUUAGUUAAAAUAGGUAUAUUUUCUAGUAAGUGCAUGUACUAAAUUCUACAAUAAUUGAGAUUGUGUUGUAAGCUAGAUAAUAGUAAAGGAUUGUAUGUGAAAGUAAUCAAAGAAUUCAUCAAAUCAAUUAUAAUUUGUUACUUUAAUUUGUUUUGUUUUAAUUUGUUUCUAAACAUGUAUUUUAAGAAAAGUUUUGAUGAGUAUGAAAUAAAAUAGUCUUUUUAAUAUCCCAAAUGACCUUAAGCCCUUAACUUAUAUUUUGGGAGUUUUUUUAACUAAAAUUUCUCUAAUAAAUAAUACCAUGUGUACAAUGUUACCAACUUUCAUCAUAUGACAAAAAUUCAUUGUCUAAUCUCGUAAUGGUGGAACACUAUUAGUAACUUUAUAAUUAAGUUGUGUCACGCAUCAUUGACUUUUUUUAAGCAAUAAUCUUAAUACUUUUAUACAUUACAAAAAAAUUAUGUUUAAUGUUUUUUUUGUUUUAUUAGCAUUUUAAACCCGUUAAACUUAUUAUUCACAAUCCUAAAAGUUGUCGACAAAACAUUAGUGAUAAACAAUUUACUACAAUCAUUAUUAACACAAAAUUACUUGUACAGUUAUAAAAUCUCUUAAUAUCAAACAUUAUACAUGCAAUUUCAUUAACGUUAUAAUAUAUUAUUUACGAUUUUCUAAGUCUUGAGGCUGCAUUUGGUAAUAUCAAGAUAACAAACGAAUAUGAAUCUUCUUUCCACCUUUCAUUUCACGAAAAUCCUACAAGAUAAGUUAACCCAAUGUUUCUUCUAAUGCCAUAAUCUAACAAAUAAUCUAACAAAUUUUACAUAAGAAAAUUGGAUUUAGAGUUUUGUUAACAUGUUGAAGAACUUCAAUAUAAGACGAAUUGGGUUGGAAGAAAUAAUUGAAAUAAUUCCUCAUGACAUACAUGCUUCUAAUAUGACAAAAUGAUAUAUAUUUAACAAACGAAGUGUUCUCGAACGAGUUUGGGACCUAGAGAACAAUUGCUCAUAUUCUUAUGCUCGGUCGACCUAGUACUCUUGAGACUCCUCAAUGCGUUCGCGCUUCCUGAUGUGCUCCCUUCCUCUCGGUCGUCCUGCUCCACAGGCGGGGAUGGUACCUGUAGAAGGCACUUCAACGCUCAAGUCAGUUAGGGUGUCGGUAUUUGGUUAUCAGAGUAUUGUAGAUAAUGACGUACCUUUCUUUUGAAAUGCGUACUAUUUAUAUUACCUUAAUGGGCCUUCACUGUUGGGUCGGGUUAAGGGAUUUGGUUUGCGUUUAGGGUUGUGUUAAGCUACCAUUAACCAUGGAUUAGUUUUGCUAACCUGAUCAACCUUUUACUCGAACGUUAUGGGUCGGUCGGCCACGCGUAGUGACGUGGCCAUCUAUUUAUUAUCUUGGCGGCGGCGUAGGUCGAUUGCUGGCCGACUCAAUGUGUCGUCCGGUCGUGCCAGUACAGUUGCCCCCCAUGCUCGUGUUCUAGUACAACCAAAGAGUCUGAAAAUGGGGCUCGGGCGGUGGUGUAAUGGUAGAUGAAGUGACAGGAAAUGGCGCCUGAGCGGGUGAUGUGACGUGCAUUUAUGAGGGGGUUUUUGGGCGUCAAACGAUGUGGGUCGUUAGAUCAAGCAGAUCUGACGGUUGAGAUUUUGUGACGUUUGGGUUUCCGAGACGUUCUUGGGCUAUAAAUAUGGGUUGGUAGUAGUGGCCUCUUACACAUUUUAAUAUUGAUUGAGUUUCGACACCCGAGUGCAUCCGAGUGAUCUUUGCUGCUAUCGUCGUCCGUUCCAAGGUUAGUCAUGUCUACCCACUCCCAUCCCACUUCUUCUUCUUCUCCCGCUCGGUCUCCUCUUCCUGAGCCCCAUUCUUGUUCGUCGUCAUCGUCGUCCUCUUCUUCUUUUACUUCUUCGUCCAACAAAGUUAUUUAGGCCGGGGCAGUUGAGACCGCUGCCCCGCGAGUGGAGAAGGUUAGGAGAGAUGACGCUGGUAAUGCGUCGGAUCGACCAGUCUCAUGCGAGUGGCCGCGUCCUCAUGUGGGGCCUGCCUGGGUUGAUCCUAAGGUAUGCGAGGUUGCGUCUGUAUUUCAUACGAACGCCUCAGUAACUGAGUUUUUGAACAAGGUCCCAGUUUUGAAGGCUUCCGUCGAGGAGUCUUUGUUGGCAUUCGGUCCUUGCUCCUUGGUGGACCAUGUUUAUAAGGAGUGGUCAUCCACCGAACCUCCCUUCUUUUUCAUGUACAAUUGUCUUUUUUCGGACCUUCAUGUGUCCCUUCCUUUUGAUAUGUUCACAGCCGAUGAUGGAAGAGGCCCAAGCACAAGCCCACAUGCAAGCCCACCAAAGGGUAGAUUUGGGCCAACCCUAGAGUUAUGGCCAAAAGGAUCCAAGAAGACGUUCUUUUACAUGUUUAAAUGUCAUAAACUCUAGUGUAGAGUAGACUUUACUUUCUUGUCAAAAUUAGAUUAUGAAUUUUAUUUGUAAUUUUUCCUUAGAUGAAAUUUGGCACCUAAAAACCAACCUUAGUUAAAUUAGGAUUUCUAAAACACCUAAUUUUAAUCAAGGCCGGUUAUGUUUAACCAAGGCACAUUUUCCACAUAUUCCAUAUUUAACAUGUGCUAAACGUUUUCCAUCACAUGUUAAAUAUGCUUCAUGUGCUCCAUGUGCUAAGUGUAAAAUAGGCGCCAAUUUCAAUUUCUUUUGCAUUUGAAUUUCCCUCCAAUUCUCUUGUUCAAAUCCAGCCCUCACUUGCUAUAUAAUGAGGAGCUUGGGUCAUGUAAAUUCAAUAUUAAUAUACUUAGUGAAUUGCUGUCAAAUUGUGCCAAUUUCACUUCUUGCCCAAAACAUCCUAGGUUAGGCUUUUAAUCUUCACAAAUUUCCCUUUUCCAAGUAGAGUUGGCCUCACCACUCUCAAUCCCUACCUCUCAUGCACCUUCAAGGUCACCACCACUCUUAGGAGGACCUUGCUUCAUCUUCAAUCCAUGAUGCUUUCGCCAUUCACCAACAAAAUCCGAAAACUAUGAAGGCACAUCUUCAUCAGCCAGUGUCCUUCGGGCACUUAAUGUGGCUCCGACUCAGUUGCACCCUAAUACAUGGACGUCCAUGCAGACUUUUCGCAUGAUGUGUCUGACGUUUGGGGUGCGUCCUUUUCCUUCAUGUUUUUUUCAUUUCUAUGCUUCCCAUCCUGCUGAAUUGGUCGGUUGGCAUUCUUUGGACAGUCAAGCUGGCAGCGUGUUGUUCAAAGCCUUCACGGCCUCUUAUAAGAACUUUAAAGAAAAGUUCUUCAAGGUGUACGUGGAGCCGACGGGCACGCAUUACUUUUCUGAUGAAGUCGGCCAGACAAGGUUUUCGUUGUUCUGGACGAGGAAACCCACAAAGAUCAAGGAUUGGCCGAGGCCGGUCAACCCAAAUGAGUAUGAGCGGGAAGUUUUUACGUUGUUCGACAGUCUCCCCAAGAAGCUCCCUACUCGACCGCUUAUGUCUUGUACACGGUGACCAAUCGCGCGAUGGCCUUCGAGGAUAUGUGGUCUUAACGCUUCGGUCGUUUAUUGCUUUUUCUUUGGCUAACGUUUUUUCUUUUUCUUAUUUCAGAAAUUGCCAAGAGGGAAAUUCUGCAGGCAGUCGGCAUGUUGAGCUCCUUUAGGAACAAGCUGAACAAGAAGAGGGGGGCAGCCGGUGCCAGGGCCCUUACCACUGAUACUGCCCGUGCGGGCCCCUCGAAGAACUCAAAGAAACGGGCUAGAGAGGGAGGGAAUACUGCCGUUAGGGCUCCGGGGCAGAUGUUGAUCCCUCCUCAGAGCCAAACGGUGACUCGUGUUGGGUCGUCGCCAACCGAUGACUUCAACCGCCCUAUCCCGACCUCUGGCCUUGCUGGGGGGUGACAGGUGCUUCACCCGAGCGAUGAAUUUUGACUUGCCCCCUGACCUCGAUGAGCUAAUCGGGUCGGUCCCGGAUGAUGAUGUUCUCGACGGUGGUGUCGAGAUAAUCUGUCGCGGGUUGAUCUUGACCCGCCGAGGCGCCGAGGCUCGAAGGCAACGUAUUGAAGAUUUGUCGCGCCUCGAGCAUGAUCUUCAGAAGGCAUCCAACAAUCUUCAACAAGUUGUUGAUGCAAACACAACCUAUGAGAAGAAGUUGCGGAGUUGGAGCUCGGUGCGACCCGACUGGCCGAGGUGGAGAAGGCUGAUGCCGAUAAAGCGAUGGAGAUCACACUGCUUCGAAAGGCGUUACAGGCGGUCGAGCGUAAGGGGGGUUUCUGGAGGAGGAGGUCGCUUCAGAGCGUCGGGGGAAGGAGGCGGUCGAGGCUGAAGUUUUGAAGACCAUGAAGGACACCAUGGUCUUAAUAAAUCAGAGUUUUGACCUGGCCGUUCGUCAGGCCGAGGUGCUGUACGGGGGGCCUCCACCUUCUGGUCAAUUUGACCAAGAUGUGGAGAUCGUCGAUGGCCUUUUGGUACUUGCGGGCGACGUCCAGAAUGCUCAGAGCGCCGACGAGCCCGUCCCGAUUGAGGAUAUUGAAGACUAGGGCUUAGGCUUUAGGUUUUUAAGCUUGUUCGUUUUUUUCCCUUGGGACCGGGGUGUGGCCUCCACCUUUUGAAUGAAUGGAAUCGGUCGUCUUUAUUUAAUUUUAUUUGCACGUCUUUUCUUUUGGUCGGUGUAAAUGUGAGUUAAGACGAUUAACAUUAAUGAACCUGGUUGGCGUGUGAUGACAUUCCUAUGAGCUUUUCUUUGUUUUUGUUGAUGAUGGUUGCGGAAGCUUAGUGGAGGAGAGUGGAACAAGGCCCUCCUAAGAGGUAUGGGUGCCUUGAAGGUGCAUGAGGAGUAGUGAGGGUUGGAGUGGUUCAACCAUCUCCAUUUGAGGGUGAAGUUUGAAGACUAUAAACCUAAUUCUAGAGAGAAUUUGGCAAGGGACUAAUUUGAAUGGCACUUGGGCAGCAUUUCAUUACUCAAAAUAGUCUUAGAAUUACAUGAGGUAGGCUCCUCCUUAAAUAGCCUAGGAGGACCAUAAAUGCACAUGUAAAUGAAAAGGAAAUGCUAGCCAAAUUACAUGUAAAUGUGAGCACAUGGGAGCACAUGGAAAAUGUGAGCACAUGGGAGCCUAAAUGAGCACAUGGGGAGGGGUGUGUCUAGUUUGUAUGCUCACCCCCUCCAUGGGCUUUCUAGACCGGCCUUGGUAAAUUUAGAGGUUUUCUUAGAAACUCUAAGUUUACCUAGGUUGGUGUUUUAGGUGCCAAAAUUAAUUCUAAGAAAACAUACAAAUAAAGUUCCUAUGCUAAUUUUGACAAGAAAUUAAAGUCCACUCUACACUAGAGUUUAUGGCAUUUGAACAUGUAAAAGAACGUCUUCUUGGAUCCUCUUGGCCAUAACUCUAGGGUUGGCCCAAAUCUACCCUUUGGUGGGCUUGCAUGUGGGUUUGUGCUUGGGCCUCUUCCAUCAGCGUGUGUUAAUAACGAAUUGAAUCAGGACGACGGUCGACCUCUGAAGUAUAACUAAAUUGUGAACUUUUGUUUUGCGCAAGUUAAUUAUUCGCUUGGGGUAGGCCGAUAUGCCUUUACUGGUAUCGGGAGGGUAUGCCGGUUAAGGAUACGUCCUGACCGAGCCAUGGAUGAAGUGUUGGAAAGGUAUAUCGCUUUAGGUUUUACCCUGGCCGACACUUGUGUUUGGGUUUUGGGAGGUUAUGCCGGUUAAGGCUUUGUUCUGGUCGAACCGCGUAUGGGGUGUUGGGAGGGUAUGCCGUGUGAGGCUUCGUCCUAGCCAACACCCACGUUUGGGUCUCAAGAGGGUAUGCCGGUUAAGGCUUCAUCCUGGCCGAGCUGUGUGUAUGAUUUGUAGCGUGCACAUUGCUUGAAGAAAACGCCUCGUUAAAACCUCUCUGACCGAUGGUGGUGCCGGGCGAGGAAAGAGUGCGUAAAUUUUAUUCAUGUUUAGCUAAAGUAAAAUUUGAGGUUCGUGGCAUUCCACGUCCUUGAUACAAUUUUGCCUAAUAGCCAUUCUAGGUGGUAUGCUCCUCCUUCUCCUACCUCUCGGAUUCGAAACGGUCCUUCCUAGUUUGACGAGAACUUGUUGUCCGUCUUCCUGGCAUUGCUUUGCAUCCUCCAGACAAGAUCACCUUUUUGGAAGCUUCCUGGCCGAACCUUCAUGUUGUAUCUUCUCGCCACCCGGAGCUUGCACGUUGUUUCGCGGAUUUUGCUCUUGUCGCGAAGCUCGUUAAGGAGGUCGAGUCCGACCGCUAGACUUUCCUUGUUGAGGGACAAGUCAAAUAUUUGUCAUCUGAUGGACGGUUCACCCACUUCCAUCGGUAUCAUCGCCUCUGUGCCGUAUGUGAGGCUAUAUGGGAUUUCUUGUGUGGUGGUUUAUGGGGUGCACCAAUAUGCCCAUAGGACUUCUAUUAGCUCUUUAGUCCAUCUUCCUUUUGCAGUUCUGAGCCUCUUUUUUAAUUAGUUGAGAAGGACCUUGUUGGCCGCUUCUGCUUGACCGUUCAUUUGUGGGUGCUCGACCGAGCUUGUGACAGAUUUGAUGCUGAGGUCGUUGUAGAAGGUUUGGAGGCCUUGGUCAAUAAACUGUCGGAAAUUAUCGGACACAAUUGUGUUCGACACUACGAACCGGCACACUAUAUUUUUCCAUACGAAAUUUUGGACGUUCUUGGCGGAUAUGGUGGCUAGGGGCUCGGCCUCUAUCCAAUUUGUGAAGUAAGCCACAACAACUAGCAGGUGUUUCGUUUAGCCUUUGUCGGGCGAGAAUGAGCCAAUGAUGUCUAUUCCCCAUAUGGCAAACGACCAGGGCGAUGUCAUGCUAUGUAGUUCCUCUGGUUUCAAGUGCUGGAGCGGGCCGAACUCUUGAUACUUCUGGCACCUCUUGACGUGUUCUACGCAAUCUCCAUGAACGGUCGGCCAAUAGUAUCCUGCUUGGAUGACUUUGGCCGUCAUAGUUCGAGCCCCGGAAUGGCUGCCGAACGCUCCAUUGUGAAUCUCUUGCAAUACGUACUGGGAUUGUUCUUUGGUGAGGCAUUUUAGGAGUGGGGUCGAGUAUCCCCUUCGAUACAAAUAUUGGCCGACCAUGGUGUAUCGGGCGCAUUGUCGCCUGAUAUUCUUUUCCUUGCUCGGUUGACAUGUUCCAUGUUCUAGGUACUGGAUGAUUGGGCUCAUCCAGGUACUGGCCUCGGUGAUUGCCAGGCAUUCGGCGUCACCUACACUUGGUUGUUGUAGGUGUAUUUGGACGACUGAGCCAUGAUGGCUCUCCUUUUUAGACGAGGUGAGGCAGGAGAGUGUGUCUGCUCGUUUUUUGUCCUGCUGUGGUAUAUGCUCGAUGAUGACUUUGUCAAACUUGGCAAUAGAGUUGUUGACCGUGUGGUAAUAACACUGGAGGAGGGGUUCUUUUACCUCGAAUUCACCCUUUAUCUAACCGGCAACCAGCUGCGAGUCGCUCUUGCAUACAACUUCCCGUGCUCCUAGGACGUGUGCAGCCUGGUUAUUCGUUGCCUUGAAAGCGAACUGGAGCGCUUGUUCAAUCAGGAGGUCCCCUGGACCAUCCAGGACGACCCCUGCACCACAAGCAGUUUUAUUGGACGAACCGUCUACAAAGAGUACCCACCCGGUCGGUGUGUCGGGUUGUGGUGUUAGCUCUGCUGAGAAGUCCGCCAAACAUUGAGAUUUGGUGGCACCUCUUGGCUCAUACCGAAUGUCGAAUUUCGAUAGCUCGACCGACCAUCCUAUCAUUCGUCCAGCAAGGUCGAGUUUAGACAGUAUUUUAUAUAUAGGAUAGUUGGUUCUUAAAGUAAUGGCGUGAUUUUGCAAGUAUGGCCGCAUCCUCCUGGUGGUCAAUUCCAGUGCCAGGGCGAAUUUUUCGAUCAUGUAGUACCUUCUUUCGGCUACGUGGAGCGUGCGGCUGACAAAGUACACUAGGUGUUCUUCAUUGUUGAUUUCUUGGACCAAGGCGGAGCUGACUGCCUCCUCUAAGAUGGCCAAGUAUACUACGAUCGACAGAUCGAGUCUUGGCUUCUGAAUGACGGUCGGUGAUGACAAGAAUUCUUUCAACUGGCCAAAGAUGCCUUCGCAUGUCUUGUUCCAGUUAAACUUUGACGUUUUCCGAAGCAUUUGUGCCAUUGGUCUUAUUCGUUCGGCUAAACGAGGAACGAAUCUUGAUAAGACUGUUAGACGACCGAGCAGCUGUUUAACUUCUUUCAGGUUCUUUGGGCUUCUCAUCUCAGUUAUGGCCUUGCACUUGUCAGGGUUGGCCUCGAUUCCUCUGUGUGUCAACAUGAAACCGAGGAACUUGCCGCCCUCGACGCCGAACGCGCAUUUUUCGGGGUUGAGGCGCAUGUUGACCCUCCUUAAGGCGCCAAAGACUUCUUACAAAUCUUUGACAUGCUGACCACACGAGUCAUAUUUCACCACAAUGUCGUCCACGUAGACUUCGACGCUUCUGCCUAUCAUUUUCUUGAAAAUCUUGUCCAUCAACCUCUGGUAGGUAGCUUCUGCAUUUUUUAGGCCGAACGACAUUACCUCAUAAAAGUAGUUUGCACCGUUGGUUGUGAAGGUCGUUUUCUCCUUGUCUUUGGGGUGCAUGCUUAUCUGGUUGUAGCCAGAAUAAUCAUCCAAGAAGCUCAAUAUUUUGUGCUCGGCCGCCCCAUCAACGAGUUGGUCAAUGUUAGGCAGAGUGUAUGAGUCUUUGGGGCACGCCUUAUUUAGAUCUUUAUAGUCGACGCACAUUCGCCAUUUGUUGUUUAACUUCGUGACCAUCACUACGUUGGCCAACCAAGUUGAUUAUCGAGCUUCGCGGAUGAACCUAGCUUUGAGGAGCUUUUCAGCCUCGGCCACCAAGUUCACCUGAUGGAAAGCGCGCAAGUUUUUUUUCCGUGCACUAUUCGAAUUUCCACCUCCGGCAAACCCGUUGACGAUGGUGUUAAUGACCUCGCGACCUCUUCUGCGGUCAUCUUUGGGAGGAUCAUCCCUCCUCCCUCUUCAUUCUCGGCGACGGUCGUCUUCCCUUGGUCUCGGAGGAGUGCAGUCUCUUUUCCUUAACGUUUCUUCCCUACAAGGGGAAAGUCUGGUUGUGCGACUGCCUCGCAUGAAGCGGCGUAGGUGCCCUGCUUGGAUCAGCUCUUCUAUUUUGUCCUUCAGUUCUUGGCAUUCCUCGGUCGAAUGACCGGUGUUCUUGUGAUACCGACACUUCUUGCUACGGCCGACGUUAUCAGGGCUCAAAGCCCUUCUCGGUGGCAAGAUCAGCUCCGUGCUAAGGGCCUCUUGUAAUAUUCUUCCUCUGUCGACAUUGAGUGGUGUGUACCGUGAAGGGUCUCCCUUGUUGUUCCUUCUCGUCUCUUUUCUCGCUGCUUGUUUCGGCUCAAGCCUGGUUCCUGAACUCACGCUUCCAACUGCAUGAACUUGGCCGCUCGGCGCCUAAGCUCGUCCAAGCUUGCCGCAGUUUGCAUACACAAAUUGUCCGCAAAGGGUCCCGACCGAAGGGCGGUCAACAUAUGGUGCAUUGCCACCUCAUGGCUGAGGUUUCGAAUGCUCAUAGCAGUUUUUCCAAACCGAUCAAUGAACGUUCUCAGAGAGGUCAGAUGGUGGGGGCGGCUUGUUGCAAACUGAAUGUCGAACUUGGCCAUCAGUGUUUCGAAACAAUCCACUAAAUUUGGGGGGAGCUUGGUAAACUAGCUUAAGGUUGUUCCCUUCAGCGAGGUUGGGAAAACUCAGCACAAGGUUGCGUUGUCAGUGUUGUACAAACUCAUGUGAGUGGCGUACGCAUUCAUGUGCUCGUCAAGGUCAGUCGUCCCAUCGUACCGGUCCCUGUUGAAUCCCUUCCACUUGUCUGGGAAGGGGGUGUCCAUGACAAAAUCGGUGAAGGGAUGACGCCGGUCAGGGUCAGUGCUGCCUGUUGUGUUCACCGUUUUGUUGGGGUGGGAUUCGCCAUCCAUUUCUCCGGUGAGGUUGUUGUUCUUCGACUCCCUCUCGACCUGGGGGCCGACAGCUGUUGCGAAGGACCUGCCAACCUGGUUGGUUUGGACAAGAGAUGGUCCUCCAUCCACUAAUUUCUUCAUUCUUGAUUUCCCAUUCAUUCUUCUUGGUAGCCUCCUCAUUGGCAUUCUUCAUCUCCGCCAGCUCCCUCUGGAGCGCCAACAUCAUUGCCGCUUGGUCUGCUUCAUACAUUCUCUCGCUUGCCAUACUGCGGGUCGAUACCAUCUGCUGUUGUUUCUUCACGCUGCUUUCUCGGCCCCACGGUGGGCUCCAAUUGUUCUCGAACGGGUUUGGGGACCUAGAGAACGAUUGCUCCUAUUCAUAUGCUCGGUCGGCCUAGUACUCUCGAGACUCCUCAAUACGUUCGCACUUCCUGAUGUGCUCCCUUCCUCUCGAUCGUCCUGCUCCAUAGGCGGGGAUGGUACCUGCAGAAGGCACUCCAACACUCAAGUCAGUUAGGGUGUCGGUAUUCGGUUGUCAGAGUACUGUAGAUAAUGACGUACCUUUCUCUUGAAAUGCAUGCUAUUUAUAUUACCUUAAUGGGCCUUCACUGUUGGGCCGGGUUAAGGGAGUUGGUUUGCGUUUAGGGUUGUGUUAAGCUACUCUUAACCAUGGAUUAGCUUUGCUAACCUGGUCAACCUUUGACUCGAACGUUAUGGGUCGGUCGGCCACGCGUAGUGACAUGGCCGUAUUUAUUAUCUUGGCGGCGACGUAGGUCGAUUGCUGGUCGACUCAAUGAGUCGUCCGGUCGUGCCAGUACAUGAAGUAUUUAAGAAAGGCAUGUAAGAAUAAUAGUUGAGUAAAGUAUAUUUCAUCUAAAAUAUUUGACAAUAGUUGCACCAAAACUCAAAUCAAUUAAAGGGAAAUAAAAUCAUUUAGGGUCUUAACAAACCCUUUGGGCAAAACUACUUAUCAUAAGACUAAUAAGAAUCUUAGCACAAAGAUUAACAAAACUACAAACUUAUGUUUCUUUCUUAUGAUGUUCUUUUACUCAAAUAAGAACAAAAAGAUUGUUUUAGCAUUUAGUAUUGUUCAUGGCAUGACAAAUUUAAUGUAAGAGAUAUAAACUUGGUUAUAUUCUUUUCUUCUACUCCAUUAGAAACCUUUUAGUUAUAAAUUAUUGGACUAUGUUUUACAAUUUAUAUGAAAGAUUUACCCUUUCAUUAUCUCUAACAAACUAAUCCUAAAAAUUAUAAUUCAAUUGGAACGAAAUUUGGAAUUAGAGUUCAAAAUGAAAAGAAUGCAAUCAUAAUAAUUUUCUUUGUAAAUAAGAACAUUACAAUGCGAUAAAUAAUUGCACUCUUCAAAAUAAAUGAAAAAAAAGCCUAAAAUCUUCAAAAUAAAUGAAAAACAAGCCUAAACGAAACGUUGUAUUGAGUCUUCUUUUUAUAUUUGUUGUUCAAUAUAAUAUUCUUUGUCAAGUAAGGGUUCUUUAAUUUCAUUGUUUUGUUUUGAUUGAUAUUGUUUGACCUGAAUAAGGUGUUCUUGAUUUGACCUUAUAUAUGACAUGAUUUUAAGAAGUGAAAAUUUAAAUUAUUUGUAGUUGGAGGUUUGACCUUGAGAAUUUUAAAAAAAUGGUAUUUGAACUAGAUUAAUUGGUCUCAUAUAUUGGAGCUCAUUUAACCUUAUUAGUCACUAUAAAGAUAGUUUAAAUCUAUGCACGUGAAUCAAAUAGUUAGUCUUUAUAUAUAUAUAUAUAUAUAUAUAUAUAUAUAUAUAUAUAUAUAUAUGUAUGUAUAUAUAUAUGUAUAUAUGUAUAUAUAUAUAUAUGUAUGUAUAAAAUAUUUUUUUUUGUAACUUCACCAUUUGUGUCAUACAAAUUACUGCUUAAUAUUUAUUUCUGCUAUCUUUUUCAUGUUUCUUUCUUAAUGAAAAUGAAAACAUAUCCCCAUUGUCUUCGUAUGUUGGACAACCUUUUGUAACAUCCACAAAUCUUUAAUCCCCACAACAAAUUUCCUUUGCAGCAAAAUAAUGAAAAAGAAUAAGUUCCCUAAGCCUUUUAAUCUACUUAACACAAGUCAAAUUGGCUAAGUCAUUUUUAGCCUUGCACCAAAAUUGUCUCUAGAGAAAAUAUACUCACAUGAGGGUUGUGUUGAGCAAUUUUUUUCUUGUUGAAUGUCUUUCUCCAUACUUGCACUUGGGAGAAAAUCUUCUCAUCACGUGGGGUUGUGUUCAACAAAUUUAAGGUGGUGGCAAUGUAAUUUUUAGCAAUCCGCUCAGCAAUUUGAAAUUCGUUCAACAAUUGACCCUUAUUAAUUGAGUAUGAAUAACCUUUAUUUGUCUUCUUUGUAAGAUUUAUCAUGUAGUAAUGCAUAAAUCAAACUAUUGUAAGUCAAGGGAUCAAUUAUAAUAGUUUGCUUUCUAGGUAAUUAUGAUUAAGGAAUUAACUUGGUUUGGUCUUAGGAAGUAGUAAACUUGAAUCACAUUGUGUUUAUAAAUAAAUAAGUACAUAAAGGUUACAACGUUUAUUCAAUCUAAACACUUUUAUCAAUCUAAGAACAUCUCAUUUUUACAUCAAGUUUUAAUCUCACAAACUUUAUCUUUAGUUUAACUCACCAUCAUUUGUACAAUUUUAGAUGAUUAUUUUCACACUUUAUAAUGAAAGACACAUUUGUUGUAAUUAUAGUCCUUGAGGAUACGACAAUCCCUUUAUCAGUUGUGCUACACUCGAUCCACUAACCGAGAAAUAACCCAUCAAUGCCUACCUUUUCAAAACUCAUGAAAGAGUUGCUGAAAAAGGAGACAUUUAAUGAGGAGGAAAGUAUGAAAUUAGAAACAAGUUGGAGUGCAGUAAUUUAAAAAUAUUUUACCUCUCAAGUUGAAGGAUCAUGUCCAAUUAAUGAGGAGGAAACUAUGAAAUUAGAAAAAAAUUGGAGUGCAAUAAUUUAAAAAUAUUUUACCUCCCAAGUUGAAGGAUCAUACCCAUCAUCAUAAGGAAGUUAUCAAUGGGAAAGACAUUCUUGAUCUAGAGACUAGCAUUAAUUUAAUGUCCUUAUCCAUACUCUCAAAGAUAGGAAAGGUAAAAAUAAAAUCCAAGCAAACAACCUUUCAAUUGACAAACAAAUCAGUUAAAAUUCCCUCCAAGAUAGUGGUGACCAUGUUGGUUAAGGUUUUUUUUCGUGCAGAUUUUGUUAUUAUGAUGUAGAAGAAGACUUAUAGGUACCCAUUAUUUUUUAGAAGAUCCUUUAUGACAACUACAAGAGCCUUAAUUAAUGUUUAAUAGUGAACUCAGUUAAGGGUACAUGAUGAAGAGAUUACUUUAUGGGUCUUCAAAGCUAAGAAAAAUCCAAAAAAAAAAUGACGUGUUCCACAUUAAGGUACUUAGUAAGACUCUUUUUCAUGCGUCAAGCCAAUGAUGUAAAAGACGAAUUGGCUAGGAGACAACCCAAUGGUAAGUUUUUUCUCUUUUUCUUUUAUUUGUUAUGUUUUUCUUAUUUCAUUUAUCCCUUUUAUUAAAAAAAAAAUCUUAGAAUUUAAAAUUAAAUAAAUUGUAUCUUUGAUUACACUUUUCAGAUUGCUUGUCCAGUAGGCUUCGAGAUCAUGGUCCCCUUAGGGAGGACAAUGGGAUAGGAAGGACAGGGGUAAUACUUACCCACUACCCAUCCCAUCUAAAUUUUUUUGCCUCAUUACUCACCCCGCUACUUGCCCGUAUCCACGAAAAAGUAUUAGCUAUUUUUUUUAUACAUGUGGGUAUUCAUUGAUACCCAUGUAUUUUUUAAAAUAUUUAUAAAAUUAAAAUAUAAAGUUGUAUAAAAUAAUUUUAAAUUAUAAUUCAAAUGUUUUGAAACAAAUUGUAAAUAAAUCCCAUAACAAGAAUAUUAUUGUAAAUAAAUUUGGUCUUUCUAAAAAAUAAAUUUAAAUAAAUUGCACCAUAAAAUAUGUUUUGAAAAAAUAAUCUUUUUAAAGACAACUUCAAUUUCCUUAUUCUAAAUAAAAGAGUAUAUAUAUGAAAUUAAAUUUCAAAUAAUUAUUUAUCCAAUAAAUUUAUUUUGAUCACUUGAUUAAUUUAAAAAUAUCCAAAUAAAACUCACUAUCAAUGAUUAGCCAAAAAUCAUAUAUCAUAUGAGUUGGAUACCAUGAUACCCAUACCUUCAUCAACAAGUAGACAAUUAAAAUACUCACACCUAUUAGCCACAGUAUCCAUCAAAGUACAUUCAUUUAGUAUCGUUUUUUUUUUCACGCAUAUUAAUUAUUGUCAUCCCUAACUCCAUUGACGAAGUUAUUGGAGUUGUUACUAUUAUGGAGACCUCAUUCAAGGAAGUGAUGGAUGCACAAGACGAUGUAUGUGAGACAUCCAAGGAAGAGGAGUCGAAGACUCGAGACAAGGAUUAAAGCUUGGUUAAGGGCCAAAUUUCUUUUUCCUUUUUUAUCUUUUAUUUCCCUUUAUUUAUGUGCUUUAUUUUCUUCAUUUUUAUUUAUUUGAUUUCCUUGUACUUUUGCUACUGAUGAUUUCCUUUCUAGUUGCUUUUAUUUGUAUUUUUUGUUAUUUUUGUUAUUUUUUUUAUUGAAAUCUAAUGCAUGGAAUGAUUAAAAAUUUCAUUUUCUCUUUAAUGAAAAAUUAUCUAUUUUGGGUAAAAGCAAAAAUUCUUGUGUUUUAAUGGGUGUUAAAUUGUUUACUAUUGGUUUUAUUUAUUAAGGACUAGCAAAUAUGACUUGAAAAGUUGAAUCCAACAAGCUCAACCAUGUGAGUUAAGUGAUAUGAUUGAAUUUGUUGAGUGUUCAUGUUUCUUCUCCUUUAUGCAAACAAUUGGUCUUAUUUAAUUUUUUAAUUUAUUUGAUACAUUGUGUGUUAGGAUAUGAAGACCUUCCUUCUUUUUAUGAGCCAUUAGCAAAAAAAAAGUCAUCUUGAAAAUUCUUUACACUUAUCACCCCUUAGUCAAACUAUGAAAUUAUUGGAGACAUAAAAUCAUAUUUUCCUUUUCAUUUUUCUCUUUUCUUCCUUUUGAAUUAUCAAAUUACUUUUUGUUUUUACCUAUUCGUGUUUCAUUCUAUUCUUUGAUAGAUGUUCUUGUUCAUUGCAAACUUAAUUCGGUAACUGUACCAAGUUAGAAAUAAUAAUGUAUCUCAAGAGACGGAUAUCGAAUUCACAAGGAACAAUUCUCUCAAAAUUUUAAUGUAUAACAUUCACUAAAUAUUGAAAUAUAUGUACAAAAGUUCAAUUCAAAAUAUGUUGACAUUGUUUACAUAAAGUUUGCAUGUAAAUUAAAUAAAACAAAUUAAAAGAUUUUUAAGAAUUAAAUUAAUAGAAUUGAGAUUGAAGUUAAAAAUAAGUUAUUUUCUUGCUAUUAUAAUUGUUUGAUUGUUGAGCUUUGUUCCUACUGUCCCUUUUCAAGAACUUUCCAAAUUUCCUUGUGACACAAAAAAAAAUGUAUAUUGUGACGAUUAUUUUCGUAUAAAUUGACGUUUAUAACUGCCACAAUAUACACUUGUGGCGGUUUUACGCUACCCGUCGCAACACCCGUCACUUUAAACAUAAUGUAAAUAGUGACUAUUUUUAUAUGUAAAUAGUGUCAGUUAUAACUGUCGCAAUUUAUAUUCAUUGAAGAAUAUUCUGGCACCAUAAUAUACGUAAGUAGUGAUGUUUUUAACUGACGUAAUUUUAAUUAUGAAUAAAUAAAAUUUAACCACCAUUUUUUUAUAAUCUGUUUUAUAAUUUGUUUUAUACAAUUAUAAAAUUUAACCACCACUUUUUUAUAAUCUGUUUUAUACAAUUAUAAAAUUUAACGACCACUUUAUCAUAAUAAAAUAAAAUAAUGUAUAAAGUUAUAAUUAUCCAUUAAUUUCAUUGAAAAUUAAAGCACACAUAAUAAUGUUCAAAAGUUUAUAUGUAAUUGAAAAUUAAAACACAUAAAAUGUUCAAAAAUUCCUAAUCAAGUUUAAAAUUAAAACACACAUCCUUAAUCAGUUUUGCUUCCAGCACUUGAUCCUAUUACUUGAUUAGGUGAUGGAACACCACUUCCAUAAUUUGAUGCCUGAAAUAAAUAAUUUUAAGUUAAUGAAUUUGUAUGUUUAUAAUUAUAAAAUAAAAGACACCAAUAAAUAUUUAAAUACCUCAUUGGUGGAUGCAUGAGCCAAAUUAGUUGCCAUUGCAGUAAAAUGUUCUGGAACAUCUUUUCUUGAAGCAAUAUAUACAAGAAAAGUGUUCAUUUGAUUUUUCACAGUUGCAAGCUCAUUUUCCAUUUGAGUUAGCUUGUCCUCCACAUUUGACAAAGUUGAACUAGAAGAAGCAUGCUUAGCCUUGUUAUGUAUCCUUUGAAAGCAAAGCUGGGACAAGCUCCAUAUGAUAGCCCUCUAACUAGACCCGGAUGCUCCUUACCAAUAUUGUUAGAAUAUAUGGCCUUAAACGAGAGGGGGGUGAAUUGUUUAAGAGAGGUUUUUGAAAUCUUUUUAAAGUUUAACAAAAUUCUUUGUAUGAAUCCAGAACAGAAAUCAGGUUAGCCAAGAACAAAAUCAAUAAAACAGCAAAGCAACAGAAAAACAAUCGGUUAUUUAUGCGAAACAAUCGGUUGUUUAUACCAGUAAAACUUAAAACAUAAUUUAAUUGAGUUUAAGGGUAAGAGAAAUAUACACCAACAGUUUAUACUGGUUCACUCUUAAACCAAGAGCUACAUUCAGUCCCCAGAAAACCACUGUGUAAUCCACUAAGUAAUCAAAUCAGAUUACAACACACAAUCCACCAAAGCAGUGACCUUGAACCCUUCAAGAAACACACUCACUUUGGCAAAUCACACACCAAGAGUAUUGAUCUUGACCACCUCAAGAACACACAACACUCCUUGGCAACACAACACCAGAAAUACAGAAGGUUGAGAAGAGAUUACACUUGUUUACAAAAUAAUCUGAAAUCAAAUACAAAUGCAAUCCUAUUCCACUCUCUUAGAAAACCCAAAGCUUUGAUGUGAAUGUUCAAAUCUUGAAUCAACUCUUUCACAACUGAAAAACUCAAAUUUGUUUCUCUUACUUGUUUGAAAACAUAAACAAACUAUUUAUAUUUUCCAAAGAUUGGUCAAAGCAUUUAAUGAAGGAGCGUAUUCAGUUGGAAAUCAUUUAAAGCACAUUCAACCACCAAAACAAAAUUCCGUUAGGAUUUUCAAAGAAACAAUCGGUUGAAACCACGAAACAACCGAUUGUUUGGUUUGGCAGUUAAGUCAACCAAACUUAAACAAUUUUCAACCUUUUCAAAAAACUCCUAAGAGUAAAACAACCGGUUAAUUUGACAAAACAACAAGUUGUUUUUCACUUAGUUGGAAAAACACUUUAUUUCAAAAAGGAUUUAAAACACAUUAGCUUUAGAUUCAACAAAGGAGCGGAUUACAAAUAAAACUACCCAGAUCCCUCCCAAAACACAGCAGCAACAUAGCCUUGCAUCAAACAAAUAGGAUUUGGAUUCUUCAAAGCACAAUUUGAAUUCUUCAAAGCACUUGAUCACUCUUGAUCAACAAAUAUGACACCAAUUGGAUCUUCUGGAGAUAUAUUUGAACCAAAUGUGGCGGUUUUUUAGUGUAAUGUUUUAGAGAAGUGUGGCAAUUGAGAAGAAAAAAAGUUCUAUGGUUGCAAAGUGAACUCACUGAAGCAAACCAGCUUGUGAUUAGGAUCUAUAGGAAAUAACUAUAGAAAAUGGGGAAUAAAAAUGUAAGUUUACCUAGAAAGUGUUAAACAAUAAGUGAAAAGUUUACCUGAAAAAUAAUGUUAUUCCACUAUAAAUUACCAAGUGACCAAAAAUCUGAAUAACAAUAAAGUAAUGCCAAUAUGUAUGUUAUUCUAGAAAAAUACUUAUUUUUUCUCCUUCCUUAUUCGGAUCAAGAAGAGGUUUAUGUUCAGAAGCAAGAAGAGCAGGUGCACUAUUCCAAAGCUUUCUCCAUAAAUUUCCAUGUUCAGACAUUCUCCUUGAAAGCUUCCCUUGUGCAGGCCAACUAUCUUUUGACUUGUUAAUGUCAAGAGCACUGGAUGAUGAUGAUUUACUUUCCUCAUGGUCAUCAUACUCUUCCCAAUCUCCAUGUGAAUGUCACCGAAUAAAAUCUUCAAAGAUAACAUCUGGAUUUGCCGCCUUCAAAGAUCAUGUAUCCUUAUAUUGAAGAAUUUUUUUGCAUAAAAAACUUCAUUAUAUACACAUACACACAUACAAUUCCAUUUGGAUCAGAGUAAACUAAACUAGCGAUACCAAGCAUAUUAAGAGUAAAUUCUAUGGGAUUGAGUUAGAUCCAAACCCAGAUUCUAAGAGUAUGAUAUUGUGAACAUAACCUCAUGAGUGAAAAAUUAGAUUAAUGAAAACAUCAUUUCGUUAUAUUGAUGAGGCAGGUACAUCAAAUUAGAAAGCAUUGUGCACAUGAUUGUCUAGUAAAUGUAUGAUUUUUAAAUUAUUUUUUAACAUCACAUGCCUAGAAAUUAGAAUUAAUUGUAUUCUUUUAGAAAACAGAGGAACUCAAGACAUGAUCAAUACCUACCCAGUGUUAUUACAAACAUAUAUGUUAUUACCUAUCCAUUAUCAACAAAACUACAUGUAAUUAUUACCUGAAGUUAAGAUAUCCUUUUCCAGCUGAGCAGAGAAAUUAUGAAAAUAAAAAGGAAUUGCUAAGUAAUGAUGUAAAAUAUGAAAUAGAAGUAGGUUGAAAGUUUCACUAUCACUACAGUCACUUGAGUCUUGAUCAAUCUUUUGUGCUGCGAUUUUUAAAGCAAUGCUUUUCACAUGCUUUUCUUCAUUCCCUUAGUCAUUCGAUUGAUUCAUCUCAAGCUCAUGCUCCUUGAGCUUUCUAAACAAGGAUGAAGUGAUCAAUGUAGUUAGAUCCUUUGAUUCAGAAAUGGUAAUGACCUUUAACUGCUAAGAUUUGUCCAAGCAUUUUAGGAUCUAGAUGUUCAAAGACUUUGCCAAUACCAUUGAGAUGAUUUAUUAUGUGAGUAAAUCUCUUUCGCACAUUAGAGAUGAUUUCCCCUUUCAGCAUCCUAAACAACUCGUACUCUUGGAUCAAGGCAUGCUUCCUUUCCCUCUUUACGUUUGUUGUACCUUCAUGAGUCACCUCAAGGAUGUCCCACAUCUCCUUUGCUAAUCCACACUGAGAAACCCUGAAAAAUUCAUGUGAGUUCAAAGUAUAGGUUAUGAUGUUUUUGGAAAUACAAUCAUAUUGAGCCUUUUUUUUCUUCACUCUCAGUUCAUUGGGACCAAGAUUUUUCAAUAAAAACAUCAUUUUUUUCAAGCUUAGGAAUAAAAGAACCAUUGAUGAUAGCACCCCUUAUUCACCUAUCAAUUGACUCAACAAAAAUUUUCAUUCUUACCUUCCAGAAAUGAUAGUUCAGCGGACAAAACAAAGGUGGUUUGUUUAUAGAAGCACCCUUCGAAAAGGGUAUUUUUUCAGCCAUUUUUCAAAAAGAUUUAGGAUCGAAACUUGAGUAACUUUCAAGAACUCGACUUUUGAUGUCAAUUGUUAGAAUGUAUGACCUAAAUAAGAGGAGGUGAAUUGUUUUCACAAGAUUUCCCCGGCUCGGACGGGGCCGGGCCGGGAGGGCAUCCAGGAUGGUGGGUAACCGAAUGUUUAGAACCCGCACGGGGGGUCGCCCCGGGGGUUCGCCGCAUGCAAUUGUUUUAUCGAAAGUACUGAUUGUUUAAUGCAGCAUAAUAGAACAAAUUAUAUAGCAGUUUAUCAGAGAAUAAAAGAGAGAUUUAUAGUAGUUCACUCUUAACCAAGAGUUACAUCCAAUCCUCAGUUAACCACUGAGAAUUCACUAUGAAAUCCAAACCAGAUUACAAAACCACACCAAAAAUGUUGAUCUUGAAUUCCUAAAGAACACACAACACUCUUAGCCAAAACCAUAAUUUCCAUAACCACUUUCAAAAAUUGUUUUACACAGAAUUACAGAUUCAAAGAAAGAAAUAGAAUACACCUGGGCUUUUCAAAGCAGUAGAAAUUGAAUAGAAAACCCAUAUUCCUACUUCACAUACAAGCAAUGAUCCAAGACUCUUAGAAUGAGUAAAAGCUCUUUGAUCUUUUCUUGAAAACAUUUUUAUCAAAACUCCUUAUUUUCCAAAUGAUAAAAAACCAACCUUUAUAUAGACUUUAAAAAGAGGUUAAAACUGUUAGAUCAUUAAUUGAAACAGUUUAAAAGCAUUUAAAAACAGUUUGAAAAACUGUAACAAAUUUUUUUUAAAAACACUUUAUUGAUUUUCAAAACAAACUAUUUGAUUUCUUUUUCUAGUAAAGACAACACAUAAAACAGUCAGUUCAAUUAUCGAAAUAACCGACUAUUUUGGAUUUACAUAAAAGACAAAAGGAAACAAAUCAUUUUUAAAUCCUUUUAAAAAAACACUAAGUGCAAUUCAAUCGGUUCUCAUGAUAAAUCAUCCAGAUGAACAACUUUUGUAGUCACCAUACUUUGAACCAAAGCUUUUCCAACUGAUUUAAAUCAUGAAACAACUAACUAAAGUUAACACAAAUUUUAGAAAACAAAACUUUCAAAAGAAAUUUAGAAUCAAAUGAACUUGGAUCAUAACUAGGUGUGAAUUAAUAUUCAAAAUCUACUAAACAACACAUACACAACAACAAAUCCUUCAAGUCUUUAAAGCAGAUUUGGAAACAUCAAAGUACCUUGUUCAACAAUAAUGAAUAGAGAUGUCACUUAGCCUAAGUGCAAUUAAGUUAAAUAAGGGCAUAAGGAUGAAAGAAAGGGAGAAAAAAGAAACCCUAGGAAGUAGUUGAUAAGUGUCUAAUUUCAGUAAUAUUUCAUAUUAAAAUAUAGGCACUUAUGAGGAUUUAUUGCUAAUUUACAUAUAAAAUAAUCCUUAAUUUAUGAAUACCUUUUUACAUUUUUUAUGAGCAUUAUUUGAAUAAGAGCAUUUUAUUCUCAAAUUUGGUGUUAAUUGCAGAUUUUUAGGGAAGAUUGAAGAUUUGGAGUAAAGGAGAAUAAUUUGAGCUAAAAAGAGAAAGUUGGAAGGUCCCAGAAUGGAAAAAGAUGCAAACAAAGAUUGAGCAUUUUUUUAUGUUUUAUCACUUGGCCCAUUAGCACGAUACAUGAAGCCACUUAACCCUAGAAAAUUAGGAUAAAUAGGGGGUUAGAAGUUCAACCCUAGUGUGUCAGAUUGAGAGGAAAACACCAUAGAGUGAAUUGAAACCCAAUUGGGAGAAUGGAAGGUGCUAGAAGUAUGCGUGGCUAAUUCUACCCUUUUGGAUUGGGAGUAAUAUGCUCAAACUUUUAUGUAUUGAGGUGAUAUCUUAUAUAUAAUAUUCAGUUCUUGAUUGAUUAUUGGUAUUGUUGUUUUACUUUUAACUUUCCGUGACAAAUUAAGAAUCUUAAAUAUGACCGAGAGGUAUUUUUAGGGUUCAUACCUAAACAUCAAUACUUAACAUAUUUGAGUGCUAGAGAUAGACUUGAAAUGUUAAUUGCCAUUAAUGUCUAAUUGUGAUUUCUAAGUUGUUUUUAUAAGUAUGCGAGAGUUUUAUAUGCGAGAGAUCGAUAGAAAUGAAUUUUCUACGACCAUCAAUUUCAAUCAAAGAACUCAAUAUUAACAUGCUAAUCAAAAUACAUGAGAGUGGGAGAGAUGAAAUCUAAUCCAUAUUUUUCCAAUUGAAGCAACUAAUUCUUUGUUUGUUUUCUUAUUGAUCAGUGCCACCACAAUCACUUCAAAACUAUUUUUAUUAUUCUAUUGUUAUAUUUAGCGAAUUUUGUACUCGAUAAUUCACUAUUCCUUGUGGGAUCGAUAUUCGUCCUUAGGGACAAUUAUUAUUUCUGACAAAUGCGAUGCACUUGCCGUAAAAUGUCAUCAGUAGUCGUCAGGGAGAAACAUUUUGGAUUUCUAUCUUUUGCUUUGGUGCAGGUAAUGGCCACCAUAGGUGGCUAAUUCCUUUUUUUUAGAUUGAAUGUAAUCUUUUUAAACUCUAAUGAAUCCCGAUAAUAUUUAUAUAUGAUAUUUUUUUCUUAUUUGAUAUUGGUAUUUUCAUUUUAUGCUUAAAGCUUGAAUUUUCAUUCAUGAACUUGAUUAUUGUUUUUUGUGCUUAAAAUUUGAAUUUUUAUUCAUGAACUUGAUGAUUGGAUCAUGUGCUUAGUGCUUGAAUUUUUAUUCAUGAACUUCAUUCUUGUAUUUUGUGCUUAAAACUUGAGUUUUUAUUCAUGAACUUGAUUCUUGAAUUUAACUGAAAAGUACUUCUAAGAAUCUGACUUAAAUGAGAAUAUUUGAUAUGUUUUGAUACUAGACAUGGAAUAUAUCAAUUGCUAUAUAACAUAUUUUCUCAAUGAUGAGAAUGUUUUCUAACUACUUAAGUCAUCAAUAUUUAGGAGAUAAUCUUAAUAAUUUCAUAAUUGAGACAUCAAUAUGAAUGACUCUUAUAUGUUGCAUCAUCAAUUAAUUCAAAAUAUUGGAUGUUUCUAUUUAUCCAUGAUUCAGAAGAGUGAGAAAGAUUAACUUCAAUCUUGAUUUUAUCAAUUGAGUUCUUCUAAGUAUGUACUCUGUUUUCAUUUAAUUUUCACGCAAAUUUAUUUUUAUAAUGUCAAUAUCUUUUCAAUUAAACUUUUGCACAUAUCUUGAUAUUUAGUGAACGUUAUAGAAAUAGGUAAGUUCUAACCACAGAGACAAGAAAGCCUACAUAGAAAAACCAUCAUCAAUCAGUUAUUUUUUUUUUUUCUACAAACAGGUUAAAAAAUCUUCUCCUAAAAUUAUAUUAAUAUCUGCUAAAUAACCUUUGGUAAAUAUUUUUUUUUUCUUAUAGUGGAAUGAGAUGACAAUACUUGAAAAAAUACUCUACCUCUAGUUUAAGAAUUUCCUUUAUUUCAUUAUUGUUUCUAACACUACAAAAAUACCUUUAUAGACUAGAUGUUAUAGAUUUCGUCAUAUUUCAUAAAAUAAUAGACUAUAAUUUUCUACAAGUUAAACAUUAUUUUUUGCCGGUAAAUCAUUCCUGAAUUACUUCCAANNNNNNNNNNNNNNNNNNNNNNNNNNNNNNNNNNNNNNNNNNNNNNNNNNNNNNNNNNNNNNNNNNNNNNNNNNNNNNNNNNNNNNNNNNNNNNNNNNNNNNNNNNNNNNNNNNNNNNNNNNNNNNNNNNNNNNNNNNNNNNNNNNNNNNNNNNNNNNNNNNNNNNNNNNNNNNNNNNNNNNNNNNNNNNNNNNNNNNNNNNNNNNNNNNNNNNNNNNNNNNNNNNNCAUCUCCAUCAACCAGGUUAUGGAUCCAAUCCGGGUAUAGAACUUGGAAAUUUUGUGGAGAAGACAUGUCCACAUUCUUUCUCCCACCAACCAUUUCUAACAACAGCAUUCCAUUCCAUAACUGUAAAUAUCAGACUUGUAAGACACGUUCCCAAAGUUUCUGGAGAAGACUUCAGGUGCAAUGUAUCCCAAAGUUCCUCUAGCAGCUGUCAUGGACACCAAACUGGGAUUCUUGGAACACAAUUUGGCUAAGCCAAAAUCAGAGAUUUUUGGAGUGAAGUUGUGAUCAAGUAACACGUUGUGAGGAUUUAUGUCAAAGUGAAUAAUGGGCUGAUUGCAACCUUGAUGAAGAUACUCAAUCCCUUUAGCUAUACCAAGAGCAACGUGUUGAAGCUUCUCCCAUCCGAGGAAAUGGUCCUUGUCUUCUGGUGGAAAUAUGAAGCUUUGUAAGGAACCGUUUGGAAAGAAAUUGUAGGCAAGUGCACGAUGGGGUCCAUCUGCACAGAAGCCAAGCAAACGCACGACGUUGAUGUGAUGGAUUUUGCCCAUAAUUCCGACUUCGUUGAUGAACUCAUUCCCCUCUCCCUCCGUAUUGUUGAGGAUCUUCACAGCCACCGGAAUCUCACUCGAAAGUUUUCCUCUGAACACAGCCCCAUGAGCUCCUUCUCCUAGCUUUUCUUUGAAGCCAUUGGUGAUUCUUUUCAGGUCAGCGUAGGUGAAUCUUGCAGGCUUUUCUGCCCUGUAGUCCUCUAAAAACUUGUCCACUCUUGCUUGGUCUUCUUGCUUUUUCCUAAAAUAGAGGAUGCUCAUAAAGACAGCAAUGACCACCAUCCCCAAAAGGAUCGAACCUAGAAUAGCAGUUGGAGACUUCAUUAAAAAAAGAAAGAUUUAUGUACUUGUUUCAGUCUUUACACUGAAACAUUACUUGUUUCAAUUCAUACGCUUAUACUUUAUAAGGCCAUACAAUUGUUGACAUCCUAAACUGUUGGAAUAAGGAAUUGAACUAUAUUAAAAAGCGAAUGUGUAAGAGUCUCUGAUGUUACCUGUAGAAGCAAAAAUAAAAGAUUUAGGAACGUGAAUUCUCUUCGGUUUGCAUUUAAAACAAUCGAUGUCUCCUGUAGAGUUGUUGGUCUUCCAUGUACAUCUCUUGCCUUUUCUUUUGCACUCAGCACAAUUUGGUUUGGACCAUCUCAAAAUCAAGUUAUAACAGCAAUAGCGUCAUCAGUGCAGAAUCAUGUUGGAGGAGCAACACACUUGCCAUUUUGAUUUCUUACGGGAAACAGCUGUUAACCGAGCUUCCUCUUUUAGUUUAUGCUAACACUUCUAAUCUGUAUUUGUUUUUUACAUUUGCAAUCAGUUGCAGAAACCACAGAAAAGAUAAAAAAGAAGACCUGCGAUUUCUCAUUAGUCAAAGUCUUGCUGAUAAAAAAUAAAUAAAAAAAUUAGUCAAAGUCUGCGUUUUAAAAUAGUUCUUUUAAUGGAAAAGUGAAGUCCCUUAAUUUGGUCCGUACGUGUCACAUUUAAUUCUAUGAAUGUCAAGGUAGGUGCAUAUUAAGUGCCAAGAAUUGACUCCGCCAAACAACAAUAAUGCAGUGAGAGUCACUCUCGUAUACAAGACCACCUUUUCAAAUUCUUGGAAAUUCACUGCCACAAAAGUCCUAUAUCUUCAAUGCGUAAUAAUGCAGAAAAGUCAAGCCAAAGACUAAUGAGCAGUGCAUGUGACAACAACAAAAGUUUGUUCCAAGAAACUCUCUCUUUACUUUCAAUUUAAAAAAAAAAAACUAAUGAAGUUAAAUAUAAGCAAAUUUCAACAUCGUAAACCAUACUUAUCUUUAAACAUAAGCGCAUCUUCCAAUAAAUAUAUUUGGGAUGUUUUAGUAAAAGUAUCUCUAUGGUUGAAAAUGAAACUAUUAAAUAAACUUAACUUAGAAGUGACAUUAAUGUGAAAAAAAAAACUUUGUGGUUCAUUCAUAAAAAAAUUAGUUGUUAAAAUUUCGAAUUUAAAGAAAAAAAAUAGUCAAGAAACUCGAUACAUCGAAAAGGAAUGGGUAAAGAGUUAUGAGUCUGAGGAAAAUCAUAAAAGAAUAGAAGAAAAUGUUUUUCUUUCACAAAAUUACUCAAUGGACAUGUAUUUUUUGCUUGUAAGAUAAGUGGGACAUUAACAACAUUAUUCUAGGUGUGUAAUUAGUAGUGUAAAACAUAUUUGUUGAAUAAAGGUCUUUAAAUAGGAUAUUUUUUAAAUUUGUGACACUUAUCGUUAUAUUUUGGUAACUUUCAUUUUAGUUUCUUGAAGUUUUUUUUUCCAAUUUCUUAGAGUUUCAUUCUUGCAAACAUACUCUCCUGUGAAUACUUAACGCGUUAGCUACAACAUUGUACGAGUUGAUACGCACAACGUUUAGUAUCCAUCGUCUACUACUAGGACUAUUGGGACAUCUAAUCUCAUUCGUUCCCCUAACUUUCGUCUCUCUCAAUGUUAAUGUCGGUCUAGCAAAGUGUUUUCGUCAUUGAUGUUUAAUUUUGUACCUUUAUUUUCAUCAAAUACUUCUAAUCUGUCUAAACUUUUUUAUUUAUUUUAUUUUAUAUAAAAUAACAUGUCUUCACUAUGAAUGUUAUAUUCUCACUAAGUUCCCACAUCAACACUCACCAAUCGUUGAGAGCAUGUUAAACCAAGAAAAGAAAAAAGAAAGCAAAUAUAAGGAGACUAUAUAGGUUAAAGUCAUGAAACAAAUCACUAAAUAAUAUUCUAGAAAGUAAAAUCUAUUUCAUAAAAAUAUGAAUACAUAAAGAAUUUCAUCAAAGAAAAUCAGAUUUGAUAUUAACAACCAAAUUAACUAAAGUAUCAACAUAUUUAUUUUCUUCCUGAAAAUAUGAGAAAUUUUAAAAUCCAAAAAAUUACUUAUGAACUGACAUUUAUUUGAUCUACUUCUAAUUGUCUAAGGGACCUUAACAUUGGUAUAAAAAGCUUGAACCACAUAUGAGUGAAAUUCCAACAAUAAUGAAUUACAUCCUUUCAAAUGGGUAAGUUCAAUAGCGAUCAUUAGCAAAAACUACAUUAACAACAUUGUUAAAAAUAUUAAAAGUGUAAUAUCCAAAAAUUUAUAAUAUUUUUAAAUACAGUAAUAUAACUGUUCUAGCCAACUUAAGGUCGGUCGGAAUCUGGAUGAGCUCCUUGUGGUCUCCCUGCAAAUGCCUUCUGGAAACGAGAGGGGACUAUUCCUGCGAUGACACUCUGACGCUCAAGUCAGUAAAAGCAUAAAUAUAAUGAGUAUAAUAUGAAAUAGGAGUUGAGAGUACUCCCUGUGUUGUUUAUUAUAUGUUUAGAUGAUGUCCCUUUCUGUAGAGCAUAAUCAGGUAUAUAUAGACUGAAUUGUAACCUCUCCACCUUUAGUCAUGACUAUGUCUUAGUUGAGUCAUGAAGGAUGAUUAAGUCUAAUUAUCGAGAUCUUUUGGCCUGUGAUCUCUCAUAAUGAUAGAUACACAGGUGGGGAAACGACGACCCAUAAAUGAUCAAACAUCGGGCCAAAUCCAUGAUCCAACAAUAACGUUUAACAAUAAGGUCUUUGUAAGAUCGUCUAAUAAUAAUAAUGAGACUAUCUAAUGAGGAAUCUAAUAAUUUGUUAGACGCUUAGCCUGUACAAAUCAUUAUUUGAAUAAAAAAAUAUUUUAUUUGAUUUUAUUAUUUUUAAAACAUAAAAUCAUAUAGUUUUAAAUCAAGAGAUCAUCUAAUCUCCUGAGAUUGAGAACUCUAAAAAAAAAUAAAAGAAUAACAUUCUCACAGAUAUCACAAUAAAAACUCACUCACUACAAUGAUUAAACACUUAAUAUAUAUAUAUAUAUAUAUAUAUAUAUAUAUAUAUAUAUCCAUUUUAUUUGGCUUGUUUUACCCUCUUCUACUAUUUCAAAUUCUUUAAAUAAGUGUUGUACUUAUUCUAUACUUUUCGAAACUAUUAAUUUUUAUUUUCUAUGAUAUUUCCAAAACUUUCAUCUUCUUAGCACUAGAUACUCAGAUUCAUCACGGUAAAACAUGAUUUGAAAAACAUAUAUGAAAUAUUUAAAUUCUUUAAAUUUAGAUGUUUAAAAUCAAUAAGAGAUACUCACAAUAUAUUAGAAAGACGUUACAAAACUUAAUUUGACAAAUUUACUAAAGAAAAAACAUAAUUCAUAACCGCACCAAAAAUAUGGGCUAACAGAGUAUGUUUGAACUGCAAUUAUUUCAAUAAUAUUUGCAAUCUAUCCCAGUAAGUUAAAAUUGGUUCAAAACAAUUUUUUUGGAAAAUAUACUAGAAAAACCUUUUGCUUCCUAAAAAUAUUCAUUGUUACUAUUUUCCUAUUUAAAUCACUUAAAGUUAUAUACAUUCAUAUUAUACAAAGAACAUAUUAGACGCUUUAAAACGGUCUAAUGCUCUUUAAUUAUCUAGUAGGUUACCUAGAAUCUCAACAAAAUAUAUACAUAUAUAAUAAUUAUAAAGAGGAUUUAUCUUAUCAAAUAAGAGAUAAGUAUAAUAAGAGUAAAAAUUUGUGAUGAUAAAUACUGUAGAUAAAACAAAAUUGACUAAGACUUAAGUUUAUACAUCAAUUAUCUUCUUAUAUCUUACCAAGUCAUCUUAACAUUUGUCAUGACACCUCAUCUAUUCCAAAACUAAAGAGUUCACAAAAGAAAAAUGUAAAUACCAAUAAUUUUUUUAUUACAAACAUAUCUUUCCAGUUAGUACUAUUCUAUUUUCUUAUAAUGAUUACUUUAUUGUAACUAUAAAAUUGUGUAUUAUUGGUUGCACUUCCUUAUAAAUAAUAUAAGUUUUACACACGAAAAUAUGUAAGAAUAUUUGAGUGUGACCAACUCAACAUCGGUUAAUGUACAACUUAAAGAAUAACUAUCUCGCGUUAAAAGGAGUAAAGGAAAAAAUAAAGAAAUUCACACAUAAACCUAUAAAUCUUAUGAAGACGGAUAUUAAUGAAAGUCGUAUAUUUGCCAUAAGUCUAGACGUGUGAGAUGGACUUUUGGUUACAUUCUAAAAAUGAACUUGUAAUAUAAAUUGUCUUCUUCGUUGUGGAAAAAAUAAUACAUAAAGGUAAACUCGAAAACUAAAAAAUAGACAUCAUAAUAUUAACUAAAUUUUUGUACCCGAACACAAAUAUUGCGUUCUUCAUGAAAAAAAGUAUCUUGAGAUGGAAGGAAGUAGUUUCUCUUCCCAACGAGUUUGUCGCAUGAUGAGAAAUUUAUUUGUAAAAAUGAUCUUAGGAUCAAAUUAAUUAGAAUCUAGAAAAUUAUUAUAAGCAUAUAAGUAAGUAUGAUAAUUAAAUAAAUAUUUCUUAUAAAUUUAAUUUUUAUUUAUAAGUAUUUUAACUUAAAUUGUGGUAUUCGAAAGAUAUAAGUUACAGAUAGUAUUACUCCUAACAUUAUGGUUUUUUUUAAUUUAGAAAACUUUUUAUAUUUAUAUAUGUUGAUUUAAUAUGCUUAUGUGGGCCGCAGCUCCAUUUCAAAAUUUAAAGUAUACACAUAUUUUAAAUUUUAUAGUUUAAAUGAAGUGAACAAAAUUAUUAAGUGUCCAUUGAUUUUUAAUUUAUAUAUGCGUACAUGCCUACAUAUAUACCCACUUAAUUUUUAGAAAAAAAAAAUACCCUAACAAUUUAUGUUUUAAGAAAGUUGUAAUUAUAACUCAUUUAAAUACACGUCUGCUAAAAUAAAAUAAGUAUAAAUUAUUACAAUUAAUAUUUAUAUAUUUUAAUCUUCUUGUCACAUCAUUUCUUUUUUUUUUUCACUUUUUUUUUUUAUAAUUGUGUUUGGUACGUAAGACUAAUAAGUUAACUAGUAGCUUCUUUGACUAGUUUAUAAACUACUUUGACCAACACAAAAGUAUUUGGUAAGAUAUAUAAAAGUUGUAAUUAUAACCCAUUUAAAUACACGUCUGCUAAAAUAAAAUAAGUAUAAAUUAUUACAAUCAAUAUUUAUAUUCUUGUCAUAUCAUUUAUUUCUUUUCACUUUUUUUUUUAUAAUUGUGUUUGGUAAGACUGGUUGCUUCUUUGACUAGUUUAUAAACUAACUUUGACCAACACAAAAGUAUUUGGUAAGAUAUAUACAUAUAUUUUACUUUGUGAGAUUAUAACUUAUUACUUAUAAAUUACUUCAAGUAUUUUGUAUCUUUUUAGCUUAUUUAAUUUUUUUUCAUUAUUCUAUUUUAUAUUUUGAUAUAUUUUUAUUAUCAUCUUUAUAUUUUUUUUUAUCUAUUUUUACUUUUUUUUUUAAUUUUACGAGGACAAAGUUUUUACUUCUCCAUCUUCAAUCACACUUUCAGUAUCUCUUCAUGCUCCAUCAAUUUUAAUGAUGUACUCCAAAUUUUUAAGUGUCUGAAAGACUUGAAUAGAACAAGUUUAGGAUAGAUAAAUGCAUUGUUAAAUUAUUUAUAUAAGAGAUGUAUUUGAUGAAACUCGUUAAACGCAACUUCAAGAGGACAUAUAUAUUGUUUAAAAAAAUUUCAAAACAUAUUUUUGUAAAACUAUCCUUUUUAAGUUAGGUGCACAUAAAUAACGUACAAUAUAAAUAGAUAAGAUAUUAGAGAGAUUUGCACACAAUAUUAUAUACUAGUUGAUUUGAAAUACUUAAAUUACGAUAAGGGUUUUGACUCACUAAAAGGGAAUAAUGUCCUAAUAUAAAUUAUAAAUUGAGUACUUUUUUCUAGGUUGCUAUGAAUACAAACAAUGUUCUUCCUCACAAAACAAAAGGUUAAUGAUUCCUUCAAAAUUGGAGAGCAUUAAGUGUUUUUCAAAGUACCAUCGUUGUCAACCUUUCUUCUUCGUAUAUAUAUCUUCUUUAUAAAGAGCUGAGAAGAAAAGAGUCAUUACAAAUAUUUUUUGGAGUUGUUAUGAGAAUUUGCAUCCUUAGUUUUCUUAGUCUUAUGUUUGACAAUGUUCAGCACGUAGACGCAUUGAAUGCUUUCCAUGAAACGUUUAAAACAUGUGUCUUCUUUACGCAAAUUCUCUUACACACGAUAUGACUUAUCUAGCUUAGGCAGAUUGUGUUACGUAUAUGACCUGAGAUAACUUGCUGACUUCAUAGGACUUUCAUUUCAUCUUUUCAGAAAGUUGUUUGCGUGGAGUAGCUUUACACAUGUUUUUUAAGAGAUUUUGAUUUUAACACUUUAAAACAAGAUAUAUUUGAGAGAAAUGAAGAAACAAACAUUACUUGUACACAAAGAAUAAGCUUUAUAAGUCUUCAAUAUGUACUAUGAAUGCUUAGGCUUUCAUAUCAACUUUAUUUGUUCAAAUAAAAACUUAUAAGACGAAGUAAUAGAGGACCACAUUAGCUAAAGCCACUUUUUCUUUCAACUAAGAGUAAAUGAUCAUUUUGAAAGAAUACAAAAAGUAAUAUCUACCUUAGUCUUGUAUAAAUUUGUAAAUAAUAGAAUAGUAUUUUUCUAGCUUUGUAUUUCUAAGCCAAUUAUAGAAUAGGAAUAUCCUUCUCUCCAAACAAGACUAGUCACCUCCAAUCAAUCCUUGCCAUGUGUCAACGCAAGAGUUUAGAGUUCCUUAUGUUUAGGAUUGUAACAUGGCAAACUAGGAAUUGAGAGUAUUGAUAAGUGCCUAAUUUCAGUAAUAUUUCAUAUUAAAAUAUAGGCACUUAUGAGGAUUUAUUGUUAAUUUAUAUAUAAAAUCAUCCCUAAUUUAUGAAUUUAUACCUUUUUAUAUUUUUUAUGAUCUUUAUUUGAAUAAGAGUAUUUUAUUGCCGAAUUUGGUGUUAAUUGCAGAUUUUUAAGGAAGAUUGAAGAUUUGGAUUUAAGAUGAAUGAUUUGAGCUAAAAAGAUAAAGAUAGAAGGUCCCAGAAUGGAAAAAGAUGCAAAGAAAGAUUGGGCUUUUUUUUAUGUUUUAUCAUUUAGCCCAUUAGCGCGACAUAGGAAGCAACCUAACCCUAUAAAACUAGGAUAAAUAGAGGGCUAGAAGCUCAACUGUAGUGUGCCAAAUUGAGAGUAAAACACCAUAGAGUGAAUUGUAACCCAAUUGGGAGAAUGGAAGGUGCUAGAAGUAUGCGUGGCUAAUUCUACCCUNNNNNNNNNNNNNNNNNNNNNNNNNNNNNNNNNNNNNNNNNNNNNNNNNNNNNNNNNNNNNNNNNNNNNNNNNNNNNNNNNNNNNNNNNNNNNNNNNNNNUUGAGAGUAAUAUGCUCAAUCUCUUAUGUAUUGAGGUGAUAUCUUAUAUAUUAAUAUUCAGUUCUUGAUUGAUUAUUGGUAUUGUUGUUUUACUUUUAACUUUCCGUGACAAAUUGAGAAUCUUAAAUUUGACCGAGAGGUAUUUUUAGGGUUUGGACCUAAACAUCAAUACUUAACAUAUUUGAGUGCUAGGGAUAAACUUGAAAUGUUAAUUGCCAUUAACGUCUGAGUGUGAUUCUAAGUUGUUUUUAUAAAUAUGUGAGGGAUCGAUAUUUAGGAAACAUUCUUAAGGAUUUUAUAUGCGAGAGAUCGAUAUAAAUGAAUUUUCUACGGGCAUCAAUUUCAAUAAAAGAACUCAAUAUUAACAUGCUAAUCAAAAUACAUGAGAGUGGGAGAGAUGAAACUUAAUCCCUAUUUUUCCAAUUGAAGCAACUAACUCUUUGUUUGUUUUCUUAUUGAUCAGUGCCAACACAAUCACUUCUAAACUCUUUUUAUUCUUAUUCUUAUGUUGUUAUAUUUAGCGAAUAUUGUAUUCGAUAAUUCACUGUUCCUUGUGGGAUCGAUAUCCGUCCUUAGGGACAAUUAUUACUUUUGACAAACGCGGUACACUUGCCGUAAAAAGUCAUCAAGUAUUUUGAGAACUCAAUAGUCUUUUUAGGAGUCUCCUUAGGCUAUAAAUAAGAGACUCCUCUCUUAUAAUUUUCAAACUUGAUUGAUAUAUGAAAUUGUGUUUAUGAAAUUCUUAGUGCAUUCUAUCUAAGUCUCUAUCUAUGAUGUUUCUUGCAUUAUUAAAAACUCAAGGAAGUUGGUCUAACCUCUUCCUUGACCCUUGCACCUUCUAAACUCACACCCAAACCCAUAAACCUCCAUAGUCAUUCGAUGUUUCUUCUACAAAUCUACAAGUCUUUCGCCGCUUUCCAUCAAUUACAUCCAAUACACAAGAAGAAUUGUAUCAUGAAGUGUACAAUGAAAGUGUUUGUGUGUUCAAUCAGAUGAAGUAAGAAUAAUUGCAUCUUUUCAACGAGACAAAAGACAUAAAAAAAAUGUUUAUGUAUGUCGAAAACUGAUACUAGUAAACUAUUAUGCUUUAUACUAUGUUGUUUAAGUACAAAAUAAAAAACUCAUUUAAAGAAUUCGUUGAGUAGGUAUCAAAUAUUUAUUGUAAUAUUUUUUUAUUGAGUUACUUCUUUAUUUGCUAUGUAGUUCAAAUUAAAGAAAAAAAAUCAACAAUGAAAUAACUAAUAUUUUAUUACAUAAUUUAUUACACAUAACUAAGAUUUUAAUACACAGAAUAAAAGUUGUAAAAAAAAUAGACGUAACCCUUAAAAUUGAGAAAUAAAAAAUUCUAAAACAAAUAAAAUUUAAAUGUAAUUAAUCAACUAGCUUAAAUAAAAUGACUUGACUAAAUAAAGAAAACAUAUCUAAUUUUAAAAUAAUAAAAAUGAUAAAUUUUUUGAUAAAAAUAUUAAAGACUUUUUAAAAUUUUAAAAUUAUAAUUAUAUAAAAUAUACUUUUACUGUAAAUAUAUAAAUUUUCUUUUACUGGUUUAUACACUGUUCGUGUGUUCGUGAAAUCUGUCUUUAAAUGUCAGCUUGGAUUGUGUUGGCAGUAGAAGUUUAAACAGAAAAGAGUUUGGGAGUAACCAUGUGGAGAGAGAGAGCUUUGAUAAUCUUGGUGUUUCUGCUCCACCUAAUUCAUGGAGAAGAUGCUUGCCCCCCCUCUUCCUGUGGGAAAAUCAGCAACAUAUCUUAUCCAUUCCGAUUGAAAGGAGACGCAAAAGGGUGCGGUCUCACCGGCUAUGAGCUAUCUUGUAAAAACAAUAUAGCGCUCUUCUCUUUGUACUCGGGAACAUUUCAUGUGCAGGCCUUCAACUACAAUAAUUUCACAAUCCGAGUGGUGGAUCCUGGACUUCAACAAACAAACUGCUCUUCUCUUCCUCGCUAUUUCUUCUCUCCAUCCAAUUUCACUCCUUCUUACCAACCAAUUCCUCCGUAUCUCCAUUAUUAUAGUCCCAAGAAUACUUCUUCUUACCAAACAAUUCCUUCGGUUUACCGGUAUUAUUAUACCGAGCCGCUUGUUUAUGAGCAUAUAGUGUUUUUGAAUUGUAGCCAUGGAGUGACUGAGAUCCCUAAGUAUGUGGAUACUGGUGGAUGCGUGACUUGGGAGUCGACCGGCUACAUAUACACUGUGGCUGGUGACCUAAUUGCAGAGGACAUUGAAGUUGGUUGUGAUGUGAAGCUGGUUGCUCCCACAUCUUGGUGGGGUUUGGACACAAAUACAUAUUCAUAUGCCAUGAUGCAUACUGCGCUAGUCUAUGGAUUUGAGCUUUCAUGGAUUCCUCUCGUCUGUCAUGAUCGUUGUGCAGAUACUGACUGCUAUUUCAGUUCUUCUAGCCAGACCCUUGAAUGCUACAAAGAAGGUAAGGCAGUUCAGACUCUGUUUUUAAUGUUUCUUUUUACAAGUAAAACUAAACCCAAUUGUUCGGUUAAAUUUGAGUUUGUUUAUUUUUUAUUUUUUAUAUUUACGAGCUAAACACUCUAUCUGUACAUUUUUUUAUUAUAAAUUUUUAUAAACACGUGUAUAUUAUUUUGUAUAUUAUGUGAGUUUUUUAUUAUAUCAAAAUAAAAUAAUAAAAUAUAUUAUAUAUAUUAUAUUGAAUUUACAUUAUAAAAAAAUUAAUUAUAAGGAAUCAAAUAUUUUAAAUAUUUAUAAUUUAAUUAAAUGUAAAAUGUGAAUAGUUAUUUUUUUAUAAUUAGUUCUUUUCCCUGUAUUUUAUAUUUAUUUUGUAAAUUUGUAUUGUAAUUUAAACAUAUCAUUAAAGAUAACAUAGAAAAAAUUGUAUAAUAAUAAAAUAUUAUUAAAUAUUAUUAUAAAGUAUAGAUAAAUAUAUCUAUAUAUUUAAAAAAAUCAAACCUUAUUAAAUCAUUUUAUAAAAAUAGUUGGCUUUCAAUUCACCUAUUUCCAUAAAAUGCUUCAAAGCCGUCUGAAACCGUUUAAUUUAGUUUGUUUUUCUUAUAGUAAAUAAAUAAAGUAAAAAUUAUUAAACAAUUUCUGUAAUAAUAACAAUAGUAAUGAUAUAAUCUUUAAUAAUCAAUAAAGGAUUCUCUUGUACUUAACUUUUUUUUAUAUAUUUUAUUAUAAUUUUUCUUUGAUGUUUUGGAGGCUGCUCUUUAUUAUGAAUUAUCAUAAUAACUAAAUUUUUAAUUCUCUAAGUUUUGAAUUUACGUUUAUGUAAUUGAUUUUGGUAUUCCCCUGAUAUAAUAACGUUUUGAUAACUAUUUCUUCGUUAUUCUGAUUAAGGUUAAGUGUUUUGCAUAGUUAUUGUAAACUUGUUUUUAGCAAGAUUUAAAGAUUUACUAAAUUCUUUUUCAGAUGUCAAUGCUUAUUGUAUUUAUUGCUAUAGUCAUAGUGAUUUCAUUCUUUUGAUUCAAAACUUCACACUUUAAAACAAUAAUCUUUGUCCACUCUAUAAUUUGCAAAUCUUUCUAAUUAAUUUUUUUUAUGUUAAGAGAAAUUGAUAUUUUUUCUUUCAUUAAUCACUGACUAAAGGUAAUUUGUAUUUAUCUCCAUUAUCUUCUUUAAUAAAUACCUAUAUUUAUUCAAUUAACUCCCCAUAUAAAUAAGAGAUAUUUAUCCAUUAUCACUAAAACCGUCUUUUACCUAUUCAAAAAACUAUAUUUUAACAUCUUAGAUUUCAGUUCCGUAUUAUCGAUAAAACAUCACUUCAUUAAUUAAAUAUUUUUUAAGAAAAGUUAAUUUAUGAUAUGCAUGAACUCAUGUAUAACAUUUUUUGGUUUCAAAAAGAAAUAAAAGCAUUUAGAUAGAUUAUGAACAUAACCUUUGUGAAAUUAUGUAAAUAGUCUUGCUUGUUGCGUUGUGCUUCUCUGAUAUUGAUACUCUGUUCUUUUUGUAUGAAUAGCUUGGUGGCUGCACUAUGUUUCAGGUCAGAAUUCUACCUCUUUGGAUUACCUAUGUUUGAAUUGGUACGUAAUACCAAAAACUAAUUUUGAUUCUACAUAAUUAUCAUGUUACCUAUUACACAUUUUUUCAUGCUUAAAUAUAGUUUUAAUCUUUUAAUUUAAAUUUGAAAUUUUUAUAUUGUUCUUUCAAAUUAAAAUUGUUUUCCCUUCCAUUUUAAAAUGAUUUUUUUUCCUAUUCUCGGUUUAAGCAUUCAAAUACUAAUUGUAAUUGAGAACAAAAGAUAACGACUUAUAUAUAUAUAUAGAGAACCCUUGUGAUAGGUUAAUACUGCAUCAGGUUUGCAGUUUUAGCUAUAGACCAUUCUCAAAUCUAUAUUGGAUAAGUAUAACUUCAACACUAGAAUCUUUUUACAUUCCUAAUCUAGUAAUUGUAUGUCACAUCCUUAAUCUAGUAAUUGUAUGUGAUGUGGUGCUUAGGCCUACUCUAUUUCUAUUCAUAUCCUUGAUAGAGUUGUAAGUAUUGUUGCUCAAAGCUAUGUCGAGCCUCCACUGCAAUAGAGAAGUAAUUCACUUUUUUUUUUUUUUUAUAUCCAUGCUCAUGUACACACACCUUUCCAACCUUUGGUUACCAAUCAUGACAUAGAGUUAUUCUCAGAUAUUAUAACAUGAAAAAAAAAAAACACUCAUCAUCCUCAAAGAUCCUCAAAGAGGUGACUUUAACUACACUAAAAGUUUUACCAAUUUUUCUAAGGAUAAUCAUUACAAUUAUGCAAAACAACAAACAUAUAUUCCAAACAAGAACCAUCACAGAUAUUCAACAAUUCAACUACUUCUUCCUUCGUAUUCCAGUAGGUUUUUUUUUUUUUACAUUUUUUACAACUUGGAACUAAACAACAUUUGAGAUAAAAAAACAUAACCAUUUUCCCUUUUCAGUUCCUUCACUCUGCAUCGACAACAAAUAUAGCCAGUAACAAGGUCACUCUGCACUUUCAAGCCCUUCCCUACAUUUUUGUUACAACUUAUAGCGACAAACUCUACAAUAUUUUCACACCCCUCUACCACUUCAUUUUAUUCACUAGUCACAAGUUUUUUUAUAUAUAACACCCAAUCCGAAUAGGAGAAAUUAGUUGUAGGCACGUUAUGGGUCAGCCAUACCCACACAUUCAGUUGUGUCAUACAAAAUAUUUCAUGUAUACUUUCCCUUCCUUAAAGAUAAUCUUGUUUCAAUGGUUCCAAAUUGUCCACACAAUAACUAUCCAUACUUCCUUCCAUAUUAUUUUUAUCUAUCAUUUAAAUUCACAUAGUUUAAAGUUUGGAAAUGUUCCAUUAUGUCCCAGUUGUGUACAAAUUAGAUCCUAACCAAUUUAUCACACAUAACCUAGACAAUAUAAGAUUUAUUACAGUGUAGUAGAAUAUGAUUAAGUUACUCAUUUUCCAUUUUACAACCACAACUAGAAAUAUCACCAAUUUGUAACUUGCCUAAAACUCUAGUUACUAAGUAAUUUAACCCAGAAAAAUAAACAUGUCCAAUAUAUAAAGAUGACAGAGAUGAUAAAUCAAUAGUGGAGGUUGUCACAACUAGAUUCUUUAACUCAUCCAAUAUAUAAAGUCCCCUUAUCUACAACUUUCCUAUUCAGCCUUCCAGAUUGAGGAUCUUACACAUAACAAUUAGUAGAAGAAAAGGGAAACAAGUUAAAGGUACAGUUGAUUCCAUAAGGGAGGUUGAAUGGAGCCUAAACUGAAAUCUCAAACCUAAAAAACAAAGCAAAUGCAAAAUCUAACAAGUAAUAAAUAAACAGAGAGAAAUGCACACAAAAUUUAUAUUGGUUCACCCAAUAAUAAGGGUUAUGUCCAGACCGUUUGAGUAGGCUAGUCAAGAGCCUUUUAAUAUCACAAGUAUUAUACGUCUCUUCAGGUUAUACAAAUAUUGUCCACCUCUUAAGGUACACCAGUAUUCUUAUAGUUUUACAGGUCACCAGUCCCAAUCUCUCCCUUAGAUCAAGACCUUUCAAUAUAAUUAGAAAACACUUUCAUUUUAAGAGAAAAAUAAAAAGUCAUAGGGUAUACUUCAUAGUUUGAAGAAUUUACAAUGGUUAAGUUCACAACCCAAUUCUCACAAAUCACUCUACAAUAGCUUAUAUGAAUGUGUAUGCACAAAUCUAAAGCACAACUUUAAAAUCAUUUAUGUACUUUUUGAAUGUUCAUCAUCUUCAAGGUCUUUAUAUAACUUUUUGAAUAUGAUCGUUGAGACAUUAAGGUUCUUCACUCUUCAUAAUAGCUAUUAGACGCUCGAUUUUUAGAAAUAAUUACUCUUGAUUGAUCUUUGCAUGUUUUGAGCAUGUGAGGCAUUUCAAAUUGUGUCUUUUUGUUCUUCCUAAUCGAAAAAAAUGCACGCGGAAGCAACACACAUAAUCAAAAAUCAACUGCAGAAAAUAAACAACACAGGAUUUAACGUUGUUCGGUCGCCAACUGCAACCUACAUCCACACGGACAACUAUUAGGUUUUCAUUUCUGUCCUAUUGCACACCAAUUACAAGUACAAUGAUCUCUUUAAAUAGAAAUUAUAAAGGGGACACAAUGAUUAAGUCCAUUCACUAAACAUGGUGUCUAAUCGGCCCAACCCAAUUGGUCCUGACUUCAUACCCAACAAUCUCCCACUUGAAGCCACAUAACAAUGUUCACCUGCAUUUCAACUGUGUACAUGUACUUCUGUAAUCUGUCGACGAAACUCAAUGUUCCACCACUAGUUGCCACCAGCCUUCUUAAUCAUUUUGAAGACUUCGUUAAAACUCCCCUGAGUUUCAACACGUCAGUCAUGAUUGAAACUGUCACUGACCCGUUCUCUGUUCCUACCGGCUCCCACUUGCAAGAACUGACGGAUCCUGGAACAACCUGAGAACAAACACUUUCCAUAUUCAACAAGAAAUUUUCUGGAAAAGUUUCAACAGCUAGAAUACUGGUUCUCCUAACCCACUACCGUCUAAGAACCUCAGCUGAAGCAGGACUCGUGCUCCCACUGCCAUAAGUACCUCUAACUGGUCUACCUGAACCUUUCCAUGCUCGUUCAUCCUGAAUCUGACUUGUGGCUCUAGGUUUCUCUCUUGUAAAGACAACCCUCUUCUGCCCACGAGAUUCUGUGAACCGGACUUUGUUUAUCUUCUGAACUGGGACGGUCACUCCCUCAGACGGUAAUCCGACCAUAUACAGUGAACCUCCCUUUCUUCCGCAGGCCAUGACAAGAUUUCCCUUGACGACCUUCCACUGCUGAUUUCCGAACUUCACAUAAUGUUCCUGUUCGUCCAACUACCUAACAAAAAUCAAACUUUAAGUCAAGCUUGGAACAACUCUGACAUCCUUCAAAGUCCAAAAACUGACUGACGUCUUCAACACUAUGUCACCCAUGCCCGUAACAUCAAUAGUUUUGUUGUCUGCUAGUCUUACCUUUCCAAAGUCUCCAAUAACUAGAUUAUGCAAUGCUUCAGAACUCAUGACCCAGGAAUUCACACUGCUAUCCGCGCAACAGACUAAAAGGUCCUCGUCCGCGAAGUCUUCUGCAAUGUUGACUUAUUUAUCAUUUGGGCAUUGAUUCCUGAAAUGCCCCACCUCCUUGCAGAUCCAACAUGUUACACUUGAGCAAUUCCGAGUCUUUCACUAACUCCUUCUUUUGUUCUUGCUUCCACUAUCCCUAAUAUUUUUCUUACCUCUAAUGACAUAUAGUGAUUCACUACAUAAUUCCCCAUAACUCCUUCUUCGAACAUCCUUACCAAGAAUGAGAUCACGAAUCUUCUCAAAAGUGAAUCCAUCGGAUCCUGCUGAAGUGGUAACUGUUGUAACCGUUCCAGACCAACUGUUAGGCAAAGACAAUAGCAGUAGUAAAGCUUGAACUUCAUCAUUGAACUUAAUGCCCACUGACAUAAGUCUGGCUAAGAUCAAAUUCAUUUUAUUAAUGUGCUCAGCAACUGAACUGUCUUAAAUUCGUGUCGCAACGAAAAGCAGCCACACCCUGCACCUAGCACCGCACCGUCACUACUGCACUAGCAGAUUAAAGCACGCGCCACUCUGCGUCUUCCGUUACUGUUAUCACACUGCACCUCUAUGUCGUCUCGCUCACCGCAAGAACCUGCACGUGUUAGCCGCGAAACACGAUCCGUCGUCGCACUGCCUGGACAUGACCCUACUACGAGCAACCCACACCGCUACACGUCGCACCGCCUACUGUGUGCACCUACCGCGAGUCGGAGGUCUGGGCUGUCGCGAAUCUUGGGCCACUGUGAAACCCUAACUUUGGGACGCCGCUGCAACCCCUACGAAACCCUAGCUUUGUGACACUGCUGCCGCCUCUAUGAAACCCUAACUCUGGGAUGCUAUUGCAACCCCUGUGAAACCCUAGCUUUAAGACGUUGUUGUCGCCUCUGCGAAACCCUAGCUUUGGGACGCUAUUGCAGCCCCUACGAAACCCUAGCGUUGGGACGUUGAUGUCGCUUUGCGAAACCUUAGCUUUGGGACGCUGUUGCUGCCUCUGCGAAACCCUAGCUUUGGGACGCUACUGCAACCUCAAUUUUCAUGUCUUGUCAUCGAUUAAUUCUGCUGAUUAGAUCUCUAGUGUCUAAACGAACCAAGCUCUGAUGCCACUUUAUGGGAAAAGACGCACGCGGAAGCAACACACAUAAUCACGAAUCAACUGCAGAAAAUAAACAACACAGGAUUUAACGUGGUUCGGUCGCCAACUACAACCUACAUCCACACGGGCAACUAUUAGGUUUUCAUUUCUAUCCUGUUGCACACCAAUUAAGUACAAUGAUCUCUUUAAAUAUAAAUUAUAAAGGGGACACAAUGAUUAAACCCACUCACUAAACAUGGUGUCUAGUCAGCUCAACCCAAUUGGUCCUGGCUUCAUACCCAACACUUCCAAUAUGAAUGCUAAGGCUUUAAUACUCUUUAUUGAGAUAUCCUCUUGAAUCUUCCACGUUGUUCUUCUCCUUGAAUGCACUAGACGCUUGAAAUGAAAACUUCUUCUCUAGUGCAAUCUGCGCUUUCUUGAGUCAUUGUAAACAUUUCAAAAUUCUUCUUUAACUAUAUUCAAUCUAAACAUUGAAGCUUGAAUCAUUUCUUCACUUGAAUAUUCUUUUCUUUGUAUUGUUCAUCAUCUUCCACGUAUUAGACUCUAAAUAUGGAAAUAUUGGCUUUGAUGAGAUUGAUGAGUCUUUAACAUAUAUUUGUUCUUCAAAUACUUUCUUUAUAUGUAUGAACUUUGUCCCUUGAGAUUUGAACCUCCAUUGACUUGAUUCUUUCCUAUUAUGCAUUAUUCAUCUUCUUCUUCAUGGUACACACUCAAAUAGGAAAGUUUUUAUAUGAGCCUAGAUGUCUGCCCAACCUGGCGACCUGGCAACCCUACUAGUAGUGCUAAAUGAGUUAUAGACUUUAGUUCCAUGAAAUAAAAAAAUAUAAAAAUUCAUAAAAGGUGGGAGAGAAGAGAAGUUGUAGGGAUAUCGUGUGCGGAAGCGUAAUAAUUUCAACCAAAGAUUAUGAGAAAUUAAAGUAACAAAGAAAAUGAGAAUGAUACCAGAAAUUUUUAGGUGGCAAACCCCUUUAAAUAGAGGUAAAAAACCACCGGCGAGAGAGCCAAAACUUCCACUAUAAUGGUACUGGGAGUACAAUGAAUUCCUCCCAGACUAAUAGAUAAAUAGCCCUAAAACAAAUCCUCUCUAUAUGGGUUAAACACUUACACCUAAGAGCAGAAAUAGAGAGUAUAGGAGAAGAGAGAGGAAGCAAGUGUGUGUUGUUGUUUGUUGUGUGUUACAUUGCUUGAAGGAAGCCACUAUAUAUAGUGGUUCUAGGAGACAACAAUAAUAAAUACAAUUAAUGGUAAUUAACCUCCCUUUUGAUGACAAUUAAUUGUAGUAAGAAACCUCCAUUUGAUGACAAUUAAUUGUGGCAAGUAACCUCCAAAUUAUAUCAAGAAAAUGGAAAAGUGAGUCAUAACCCACAAAUCUCCACCUUGACUUGCCUUUGACCGGAACAAUCUCUCGCCAAGAAGCCUUGAUUAAGUAUGGAUAAUACCAGCUAAGUUCAGGCAAUGAUCGAACUUAGCCGAUGGAAGUGGCUUGGUCAACAUGUCUGCAGGAUUUUCGGCUGUAUGAAUUUUUUCAACAAUUAUAUCUCCUGUAUCAACAAUGUCUCGGAUAAAAUGGUGUUUAAUUUCAAUGUGCUUGGUCCUUGAGUGAUACUUACUGUUCCUGGUUAAGUGGACAACACUCUUGACUAUCACAAAAUAUAACAAGAACAUCUUGUUGAGGACCAAGUUCACUUACCAAGCCUCGAAGCCAUAUAGCCUCUUUCAUACCUUCUGUAGCAGCAAUAUAUUCUGCUUCAGUGGUGGACAAAGCCGCAAUGGCUUGAAGUGAAGAAUACCAGCUAAUAGUAGACCCACAUAGGGUAAAAAUGUAGGCUGAAAGUGAACUUCUCCGAUCUAAAUCACCAUCAUAGUCAGCAUCAACAUAGCCAACUGCUCCUCCGGUAUCGGCUCUAUGUUGAUCAAAUACCAAACCAAGAUCUGGAGAACCUUUCAGAUAACGAUGUAUCCAUUUAAUGGCUUCCCAGUGUGCCUUGCCUGGAUUAUGCAUGAACUUGCUAACAAUGCUAACAACAUAAGCUAAAUCAGGUCUAGUACAUACCAUAGCAUACAUGAGACUUCCAAUUGCAUUUGAAUACGGGACAUGUGACAUGCGAUUUUUGUCCUCGUCUAAUUUUGGACACUGAUAUGAUGACAACUUGAAGUGGGAGGCAAUUGGAGUAUUAACAGCUUUGCAAUCUCGCAUUCCAAAUUUGUCAAGCAUCUUAAGAACAUACUUCUUUUGUGAUAGAAAAAGUUUUCCAGCUUGACGAACUAUGUUGAUCUCAAUUCCUAAAAUUUUCUUGGUAGGACCUAAGUCCUUCAUAUCAAAUUCACUACUAAGCUGAGCCUUUAACUUGUUAACUAAAGAUUUAUCUCUUGCGACAAUCAACAUGUCAUCAACAUAUAACAACAAGUAUAUAAAUGACCCAUCAGAUGUCUUUUGAAAAUAAACACAAUUAUCAUAGCUACUUCUUAGCACGAGGUUCUAAUUUUCCCUCGUUUACAUGAGAAUAAGCAGGGCAACCAAAUAUUUUAAGAUUAGAAUAAUCAACAGAGUUACCUGACCAAACUUCUUCUGGAAUGUUGCAAUCAAUUGAUUUGUUAGGAGAGCGGUUUAUCAGAUAACAUGUCGUUGAAGCCGCUUCAACCCAAAAACAUUUGCUCAAACCAGAAUGGGAGAACAUGCAACGAACUCUCUCCAGGAUAGUUCUAUUCAUUCUUUCUGCAACCCCGUUCUGUUGUGGAGUCCCUGGAUGGUGAGGUGUCUGGAAAUGCCUUCUUUCUUGCAGAAGUCAUUGAAUUCAUUCGAACAGAACUCAAGGCCAUUGUUUGUCCUUAGCCUCUUUAUCUUCUUGCCAAUCUGAUUCUCAAUCAAUAAUUUCCACUCUUUAAAAGUGGAAAAUGUUUCAUUCUUAUGUUUAAGGAAAUACACUCAUAGUUUUCGUGAGAAAUCAUCAAUAAUUGUCAUCAUAUAACGACAUUUACCUCUGGAGGGAACUUUUGACGGACCCCAAAGAUCCGAAUGAAUAUAAUCCAAAGUACCUUUGGUUUUGUGUAUGGCUUUAGAAAAACUAACCUUUUUCUGCUUACCAAAAUGCAAUGUUCACAGNNNNNNNNNNNNNNNNNNNNNNNNNNNNNNNNNNNNNNNNNNNNNNNNNNNNNNNNNNNNNNNNNNNNNNNNNNNNNNNNNNNNNNNNNNNNNNNNNNNNAUUCCCUUCUCACUCAUGUGGCCUAAUCUCAUAUGCCACAACUUGGUGUUAUCUUUGUUGGGUGAGGCAACAGCUGCAGAACCUGUAACGGUUGAAUCCUGCAGCACAUACAAACUAUCACAUCGAAUUGCCUUUAGUAACACAAGAGCUCAUUUAGACACUUUUAAAACUCCACCUUCAGCUGAGUAUCAGCACCCAUGAGAUUCAAGGGUGCCUAAGGAAAUGAGAUUGCGUUUCAACUUAGGGACAUAUCUGACACCUGUUAAAGUUCUAACAAUUCCAUCAUGUGUCUUGAUUUUGAUUGUUCCUUCACCAGCAACUUUGCAUUGAGCAUCAUUUCCCAUCAAAACAAGACCAUUAUAAAGUGGUUCAUAUGUGGUAAACCAAUCUCUAUUGUGAGACAUGUGAAAAGUACAACCAGAAUCAAGAAUCCAUUCAUUUUUAGACUUUUGUUCAGUGUUGGAAGCUACAAAACAAUCCCCAUCAGAUUCAGUUUCAACAAUACUAGCUUCGGCAAAUUUUUCUGGUUGUUUACCAUUUCCCUUAUCUUCUCUAUCUUGCUUAUUUUUCAAUUUAUAACAUUCAGAGAUCUCGUGUCCCUUUUUCUUGCAAUAACGACAAUAUUUGGAGUUCUUGCCUCUAGAUUUUGACCUAGAUUUAUGUUUAGUGUUCCUACCUUUCUCUUGGUUUCUCCUUCUAACUACUAAUCCUUCACCAGAACUUUCAGAAUGAAUUUGAGUAUCAAAAUUUUCUUUGGCUAGUAAAUUAGUCUUGACAUCAUCAAAGCUUAAGGUAAGAUAAUUACCGUAUAACAUAAUUUCUUUGAAUUGUCGAUGCGAGGGUGUUAGAGAAACAAUAAGUAGAACAACUUUAUCCUCAUCAUCAAUUUUAACAUCCAAAUUUUCCAAAUCAAUUAUGAUGGAAUUAAAUUCAUCAAGGUGAGAUUGGAUGGGAGUACCUUCAAACAUUCAGAGUGUAAAGAGUCGCUCCUUUAACCAGAGUUUGUUUGCAAGACUUUUGGUCAUGUAUAGAGACUCCAAUUUAAUCCAUAUGCCUGUUGUAGUUUUCUCAUUGAUGACCUCACGCAACACCUCACGGGACAAGCAUAACUGGAUUGCAGACAAUGCCUUUUCAUCCAUCUCAUCCCACUGCUCCUCCGUCAUAGUGGUUGGUCUCAUCAUUUUACCUGUCAAAACUUUCUUUAAACCAUUCUGGGUGAGAACAGCUAGCAUCUGGACUCGCCAGAUAGCAAAACUGAUUUUACCACCAAAUUUCUCAAUAUCCAAUUUUGACAUUAUUGAACAACAGAUCCUGGUUGAAGUAUAAUGGUACUGGGAGUACAAUAUGAAUUUCUCUAAGACUAAUAGAUAAAUAGCCCUAAAACAAAUCCUCUCUAUAUGGGUUAAAAACACUUACACCUAAGAGCAGAAAUAGUAUAGGAGAAGAGAGAGGAAGCAAGUGUGUGUUACAUUGCUUGAAGGAAGCCACUAUAUAUAGUGGUUUUAGGAGACAACAAUAAUAAAUACAAUUAAUGGUAAUUAACCUCCCUUUGAUGACAAUUAAUUAUAGUAAGAAACUUUCAUUUGAUGACAAUUAAUUAUGGCAAAUAACCUCCCAAAAUCAUGUUUUAUUUCUUUUCUAGUUUAAAAUGUUGAAAACCGUCUUUAAAAUUUAAAUUUAGACAAUUAAAAAUCGCAGUAAAUUGGAAAUCCAAAAUUACCUUCCGCGUCUAUGAAGGAUAAAAUAACAUUUUGUAAAUUACGUAAACAAAGAUUUCACAAUAAGAUAUAACAAUGGAAAGUUAUAACAAUGGAAAAAACGAGUAAAACACCAAAUCGUUCCCUAGAUUUUAAAUUACUUUUUAUUUUGACCUUUUAUGUAAAAGAAUAUUUUAUUUUAAUUUUGUCAAACUAUUUAUUAACUCAAAAGAUUUUUUUUAUUUUUUAUUUUUUGCAGAGACUAUUGGUGAUAUCAUAUACGGUGAGUUCCUCUAUUUCUAUAUAUAUUUUUUAAGUAAAAAGGGAAAGAAUAGUUUACUUUGUCUCUAUCCCACGGUUUUAUUCCUCUAUUUCUAUAAAUAAUAAGUAUGAUGUAACAAGUUUUUUUAUAAAUAUAUUUAUUUGCAUAAAAAAUAAAUAAAUUCUUUUAAAUUUAAAACUAAUUUAUAUGUAAACUAUUUUUUAGACAUUCUUUUAUAUAACCUUUUUAAAUUUUAAUUUCUAAUUUAUAAAUAAUUUUAUUUCAUUUUUAUUUUUUUUAUUUUCUUUUAUAAAAAUAUUUGUAAAACAAUUUUCCAAAUAUAACUAAUAUUAUUUGUACAUACUAUUUUUGGAAAAAUAGUUCUAUAAUAAUUUCACUUUAUUAUUAAUUUUUUAUUGAUGAAAUCUAUCACUUUGAUUCUUGGACUCUUCCAAUAUACUUUUAAUAAUAACAAUUUGUGUACAGGUGCUAAAAGAGUAACUUUUUUCCAUUCUAUAUGUUAACAACUUUUUUUGGGAAAACUCAUCCACAUUUUUAUUACAUUAAAAAAAUAUAAUUUUAAAAAUAAAUAAUUUUCUAAACAAGAUAUUGAAAAAGAAUAAAAUUAUAAAAUUUAAAAUGUAUAUAAUUUUGUUAAAAUAAUACUAAAAUAACAUAUGGUGGCUAUCUAUACACUAUAUAAAGGGCACAGAGUUUUUAACCACCCUUAGUGUUUUCUUUGUUUUAUUUGAAUAAAAAAAAUUGGAUACAUAGGCGCGCAUGUACUAAAAAAGUUUUUAACCACCGCUUUUUAAGUAAAAAAGUUAUUUACAUAUUUUUUUUAAUAGAGAUAAAUUAUUUAAUUAAAUAAAGAAGUAUUUUUUUUAUAAAAUUCAUGUUAUUUAUUUAUUAAAAGGUAAAAUUAUAUAAUUAUAAAUAACGUCAAAGAUAGUUAUCAAAUGUUUUUUUUUAUAAUGAUAUAUUAUUUUUAAUAGAAAUAAGUUAUUUAAUUACUCAUUUUAUAAAAUAAAAAAUUAUGUUUUAUUUAUUAAAGUAUAUAAUAUUUUAAUUAAAAUAUAACAUAAAAAUAAUUAUUUAUAUUCGCACUAUACAAUAGUAUAGAUAAUAAUAAUAAUAAAUAUAAAUAAAUUUAAAAGUUUAAAGAUUUAUUAUUAUUUUAUUAAUAAAAAAAGUUUACAAGUGAUUUUUUUAUUUAUUUUAAGGAAGGUGUGAAUUUCUUUUUUCUUUCUUCAUUACAGUAUGAUGACAUUUGUCAUAUUAAUUCACAGGAUUAAUUUUAGUAAUAUAUGGGCCAAACCAAAAUCUUAAACGUUACGGUGCAUAUGGCUCAGUAACGAUUACAUUGGGACACUAUGUUAUACCAUACUUCAUAGUUAGAUAUGUUGUAGGCACGAUAUUGCUUAUUGUUCUUUUGAUAUACAAGUGGAGAAGAAGACAUUCUUCAGAAUAUGAAAAUAUUGAAAGUUAUUUAGAGCAAAAUAGCUUGAUGCCUAUUCGAUACACAUACAAGGAAAUUAAGAAGAUGGCCAAAGGUUUUGGUGAAAAAUUGGAUGAAGGAGGUUAUGGCUCUGUAUUUAAAGGAAAGUUGCGUAGUGGAUCUUGUGUCGCUAUAAAAGUGUUACAAAACUCAAAAGGUAAUGGACAAGACUUUAUCAAUGAAGUUGCAACAAUUGGAACAAUACAUCAUCAAAAUGUAGUGCACUUAAUUGGAUAUUGUGCUGAGAGCUCAAAAAGAGCCAUUGUUUAUGAGUUCAUGCCCAAUGGAUCUCUAGAUAAAUUUAUAUUUUCGAGAGAAGAAAAUCCACAUUUAACCUAUGACACAAUAUAUAAUAUAGCAAUUGGAGUAGCACGUGGGAUUUCAUAUCUACACCAUGGGUGUGAGAUGCAGAUUUUGCAUUUUGACAUUAAACCCCACAACAUCCUGCUUGAUGAAAAAUUCACCCCAAAAGUCUCUGACUUCGGAUUGGCAAAACUAUAUCCAACAAACAAAAGUGUUGUGACUAUGACAGCAGCAAGAGGGACAAUUGGAUACAUGGCUCCAGAAUUGUUUUAUACAAAUAUAGGAAGAAUAUCAUAUAAGUCUGAUGUUUAUAGUUUUGGAAUGCUUCUGAUGGAGAUAGCAAGCAAGAGGAAAAACUUAAACCCCCAUGCCGAGCAUUCAAGCCAACUUUACUUUCCCUUUUGGAUUUAUGAUCAACUUGACAAAGAGAGAGAUAUAGAAAUCCAAGAUGUCAUAGAGGAUGAGAAGAAAAUUACAAAAAAGAUGAUGAUAGUUUCACUUUGGUGCAUACAAUUAAAACCAAAUGAUCGUCCUUCCAUUAAUAAGGUAGUCGAAAUGCUUGAAGGAGACAUUGAGAACCUUGAAAUACCUCCAAAGCCUUCUCUGUAUCCAUAUGAAACAUUGAAAAGAAUCUUCUCUGACCAAACAACAUUGCCUGACUUCAUUAGUUCUUCAAGUUAUUCCAUGGAGAUUGCCACUAAUGCUCCACUAGAUGCAAGUAUUUGAUAUUGCAUAUUAGUUAUUUAUUUGCAUGGAACUUAUUAAACAUUGUUCAUCUAUAAUAUUUACAAUAUUUACAUUGCCUGAGUUAUUUCCUAUUGAAAGUUUAAAAAUAAUUGUUACCAAAUUUAAAAAUGUGUUCAAAGUUUUCCCAUAUGUUCAUUAUACUAUGGUAUUUGUAGCAACCUAGUUCUUUUAAUUGUAAUUUAAAACUUGAUCAAAUAUAAUAAUAACUGAGAAACUAAAUUUGGUUAAAAAUAACAAAUUAAAUAGGUAUAUUUUUUGGUAAGUGUCUCUUCAAAAUUCUACAAUAGAGAUUGUGUAGUAAGCUAGAUAACAGAAAAGGAUAUAUGAAAGUAAUCAAACAAUCAAGAAAUCGUCAAAUCAAACAUAAUUGGUUACUUUAAUUAAUUUUAUUUCAAUUUGAUUCUAAACACGUAUUUUAAGAAAAGUUUUGAUGAGUGUGAAAUUUUUUUUUUAUCAGCAAAGAAUUAAUUUAAUUAAAACUGGGACACUUAAGGGGUGUCCCAACCCGUAUACAAAAAGUACUUAUAGCUACUUACACGUGUGAACCUGUAGAAACCUUAUAGAUAUAGCUACAAGUGACUUCUACCAUCCAAAACCAUUUGCUGCAUAAAAUCCUUUAAGCUUCGGCAGUAUGGGAAAGCACAAUCCCACUCUUCCAUUCAUUCCUAUUACUAAAUCACCCAUAAGCAUGGCCUAUCCAAGAUAGCAAAAUAUCGGGAACCCCAAUCUGCACACAGUUUCAUUCCUUCGUAACCAGAAACCUUCCACAGAAAAUCUAUUUUCCAUCCACAGAGAAUGCAUCUGUUAUCUUUCCCUGUUAUGGUAUAUAUCAGUGGAUGAGUGUGGCGCACCUACUAACCUUUCACCAUUCCAUUCCUUAUCUGCACUAUACCAAUCCAAACCUACACCUGGGAACUCCUCUAUUCCAUCUUGCACCGAACUCAGCCAUUGCAGCGCCCUCAUCCAAACUGGCCAAGUCCAUUUCACCUUAGCACCUAUAAGCAGCAGCUCCAAUCUUCACAGUACCUGCCAACAACCAAUGCACCCAUUUGCUGCAUAUCCUCACGCCUUUCUCAGCCCUUUUGGUUAAUGGUCCACGCCUUAUAGCAGUUUACAGCAGGCAUAUACUCAAUGUUCUGUUGGACCGUGCCUUCCUGCUUCCCUCUUAUGUAGUUAGACCCCUGUCCAUCGCUAGCAAGUAAAACUCUCCUCUGCCCCGAGCUAGCCUUGUCAUCCUAACCGCCUUACACCAGCUGUUCUUCACCCUCAUUACUGCAAUUCCUUGCCACUCCAGUACUGGUCCAAGAUAUUCUUCUACACCAUAGCCGCCCUUCCAGUUCUGCUACAUAUUACUACCUGCACUUUGGAGCUCCCCUAGUUACGUCCCAAUUCACUCAGGGCCAACCUAACCCCCUUGACCCCUCUGCUGGACAUGAAAAUCUAUUUAACACUCUUUAUACAACUACCCGGGUUAAUUGUCCAAUCUGAGAAAGAGUAAUUAAAAGACUUGGUUCUAUGUUUUAGCCAAGACCAGGAUUUUAGCUGCGCCAUCUGAAUCAUCUCCUCUACAUCCACAACUCCUUGUUUGAACAGAAUGGAAUUUCUCUGGUCCCAAAUACCUCUUAUAAUCGCUGCCCAAAUACCUUUCCACACCAAGAUUUGUUUUCCACUGGCCUGAGUACAAAGAAAACUCUCAAAAUGGGAUUGAAUCUCAUUAUUUUGUACUAACACAAUUCCCAGCCACUUUUGGCAAAGGGACCAAACAUGCUGCGCAAACACACAUUCAAUGAAUAGAUGCUGUGAUGAUUCCUCCAUAUUCCGACACAGAACACAAACUGUGGAUUCCAUCUGCACACCUCUUCUCACCAGGGCCUCCCGUGUUGGAAUUCUGUCUAUGAGCACUCUCCACGCUGUUACUAGCACAUUAGGGAAUGCUGUGGCUUUCCAGAGGAGAUAAAAAAUCACGUGUUGUGUCCCUCUUAAAUGCUUGCCUAGGCAAAUGUAGGCUAAGCUCACCGUGUACCUCUCUAGCUCAUCCUUCCCCCACACUUGGGUGUCGUUUACAUAUCUCUUCACAUCAGAACCUGAAAUUCUUUCACUAAGAUUUCUCUCCAUCUCAGAUUCCCACUCAAAUCUCUCCCUCCUCCAUUGUAUCCUCCAAUGCCAUUCAGAUCCCUCCCACUCUCCAGCUUCCUUAAUUUUUUCCUCCUGAUUCGCCGCUAAGGAAUACAAUCUUGGAAAACCAGUUUUAAGACUUGUAUUACCAUUCCACACAUCCUCCCAAAAACUAAUCUUAUCCCCCUUUCCUAAUUUCCAUCGUAGCUCUUCUUUGAACCAACCUUCUCCUUCUCCCUCCCUACAGAUCUUCUUUAAAUCUCUCCACCACCAUGAUUGAUAUUUCACUGGAAUCCGUGUCUCCUCUAGUUGCAAACCAUAUUUUGAUAGAAAUACCUCCUUCCACUUCCCUGGCUCUUGUGAGAUGAGCCGCCAUCUCCAUUUUGCUACAAGGGCAAAAUUCAGCUUUCUAAUAUCCUUAAUUCCCAGUCCUCCAUCUUCUUUCUGCUUGCACACCUCUCCCCAACUUACCCAUGAAAUCGGCCUGUUUUCUUUUCCCCACCCCUAGAGAAAUUUUCUCCGAAUACUAAUUAUGCUUUUGUAGACCGAUUCUGGUGUUUUAAACACGGACAGAUAAAAGAGAGGUAUUGCAGUGAGCACAGACUUAAUUACACAGGUCCUUCCUGCCAAGGACAGAUACCUCCCCUUCCACACACUUAAUCUGGCCUUCAAUUUUUCCAAAACAGGUUUCCAGAACGUUUCUUUCCUUGGAUUUCCUCCUACUUCUAUUCCCAAGUACUUAAACGGGUAUCCCAUCUGACCACAAUUUAAGAGUUUUGAAUAGCAUCUAAGAUUCGAAUUGUCAACAUUUAUACCUACUAGACUUGAUUUGUGGAAGUUAAUUUUCAGCCCAGAUGCUAUCUCAAAACCCCUUAAAAUUGCUUUCAUACUCACUACAUUGCUCCAUGAGUCUUCGCAGAAAAAAAGGGUGUCAUCCGCAUACUGCAGGAAGCUCACAACUACCUCCUUACUUCCAAUCUUUAUUCCCGCCAAAAGGUUGGCUUUUAUCGCCUGCCUGACUAGUCCAGCAAGACCUUCAGCCACAACUGUGAAGAGGAACGGUGCUAAGGGAUCUCCCUGUCUCAAACCUCUUGUCGGUCUGAAUUCUUCAGUUGGACUCCCGUUGACUAGGACAGACACUGUGGCUGACUCCAUACAUCCUCUGAUCCAUUGAAUCCAGGUAUUAUGAAAACCCAUCCUAUCAAGCAUAUCAUACAUGAAAACCCAUCCUAUCAAGCAUAUCAUACAUGAAAACCCAUCCUAUCAAGCAUAUCUUACCGAAUCAUACGCUUUUUCAAAAUCAACUUUCAAGCACAACCCGCUUCUCCCCUUCCUUCUAAGAUCCUCAAUCACCUCGUUUACCAAUAUCACACUAUCCGUGAGACCCCUAUCCUUAAUAAAAGCAGACUGGCUCUCAUCUAUUAUUGCCGGUAACACUUUCUUUAACCUUCCUGCUAAUACCUUAGCAAUGACUUUAUAAAUCGCACCCACUAAGGAUAUGGGUCUGAACUGAUCGAGCUUGCAAGGAUCCUUAACUUUUGGAACAAGUGCUAUGAACGAAGCGUUGCACCCUUUGGGAAUACACCCUGUUUUAUAAAAUUCCGCUAUUGCAGCUACAAAAUCAGCCUUUAAGUACUUUCAGCUUUUCUUGAUGAACUUAAAAUUGAAUCCAUCCGGGCCUGGACUUUUUGAGCCUUCACAUUGCCACACCGCCUCCUUAAUUUCUUCCUCAGAGAAGAUCUCUAUCAUUCGCAAGUUGUCUCCAGAAGACUUUUAGCUUCUCUUCGAACAGUACUAGGCUCCUCACACCAUAGGCCUGCUACCUCUACCCCUUUCACUUCAUUCCUUAGUCUCCUCCACCUAAGAGUUGAGUGGAAAAACCUAGAGCAAGAGUCACCAAAUCUGAACCAGUUUGUCCUAGCCUUUUGACGGAUAAGAGACUCUAGCUUAUUAUCCGUCUCCCAAAGCCUUCUAAUCAGAUUUGUUCUAGCUUGCUUCUGACUUUCCCCCAUUUGGCCGUUACAAUUUUGACCAUCAAAGGUCUCAAUUUCCUGCAUUAUAGAGCUCUUGAUCAAGUUCAAAUUCCCAAAAACGUCCCUAUUCCAAACUUUCAGAUCCACCUUCAGGAGUUUAAGCUUUUCCUUAAGCCCUUUAACUGCACCUCCUUCGGUUGAAUAUGACUUCCACUUUUCCUCCACCAUUCCAGCAAAGCCUUUUUCCGAGAGCCAUGCAUCUAACGACCUAAAGGGCUUGGGACCCCAAUCCUUGUCCAGGCAUUUAAUCAUCAAAGCACAAUGGUCUGAGACCUCCCUUCUUUGAACAUACUGCUUGCAGGUAGGCCAACACUGUAGCCACUCCUCUGUUACAAGAGCUCUAUCUAUCCUGCUCUUUGCUGUUCCAUUUGCUUUGAACCAAGUAAACUUUUUCCCAACAAUGGGCAAAUCCAUCAGCAGAUUUGUCUCUAUAAACCCAUUAAACUCCUUCAUCUCUUUUAUAAAUUCUCCCCUAUCUACCCCUUGUCUUUCAGCUCGUCUUCUUAUAGCAUUGAAAUCCCCACAGAAGCACCACAUCCCAAUCUGUGAAUUUUCUUUACACUUGGACAAUUCCUCCCAGAGAAUUUUCUUCUCUUUUAGAGUGCAUGCUGCAUAGACAUUAACCACACAACACCUUCGAGAUGAUUUCCCAUGCAGACCCACAACAGCUAUGUACCCUUUCCCCAUUGAAUGACUUUCAUACUUAAACACAUCUUUAUGCCACAAAGAGAGAAGACUUCCUCUGCCACUCUCCCCUCCAUUAUGGAUCCAACCAAUGUUGUUAUCCCCCCAAAUAGAGAAACACCUAGCAUCUGUUAUUUCUGUAGUCUUUGUUUCCUGUAAGCACAUGAAUUCCACUCCCUCCGUCAAAAUACACCUUCUCAAAUAACGCACUUUUGUUCCUCCCCCCAUACCUCUAAUAUUCAGGUUAAAAAUCAGCAUCUAAAUCUCUUUGUCUACCCUACUCUGCAUUAUUCUUCACUUCCUGAUCUCUAUCUUCCAUUAUGAUAAAUUCUUGAACCACCUCAUCUUCCUCUCCUCUGUAGGCUAACCCAAACCGUUUUCCAACUGCCCAAAGGUUAUCUGACUCCUCCCUGCUUUCUGGACUAUGUACUCUAGCAUUACAUAACAAUAUGUCCCCGUCAGAAAUUGAUGCUGAGAACAUACCUUCUCUGUUCACCAAGUCAUUCUUCUUUUGGAAUAUUUUCUCGCUCAACCGAAUAGAACGCCUGGGGAAGGUAUUUGCGUCCCCCAGCUCACGAAGUGCUUUCUGUUUCCGUGGUUGGGUUUUGCUUGCAGUACCUACUUCUGCUACCUCUUCUUCAGACAGGCCAUGCGCGUUCACCCCUUCCUGAUUUUUUCUCUCAACAGUAAGUCGUCCCUCCUGAUUGGAAUUUGGUUCAAUAUGGCGGCUCUCGCUUCCACUUCCCGCUUCCAUUCGACACAGUGCUUCAGGAUUUCCCUCAUGACGUUGUUCAUCAUCUCCCUCUGACUCAUUCGCCCUUCCAGAUGUUUGUUCGGUUUCCUUCUGUGUAAGGUUCAAUCCUUCCUCACUCCCUAUUUCCGUAUGGGCCUUCCCCUCACCCUUCUGGCCCAGAUGCAUAUUGGGCUUUAUAGGCGGGUUUGUGCUUUCUAAUUCCACCACUAACUUAGCCAGCUCAGCAUGCCCAAAAAGGUGACUUUGCAAAAAACAUGCUAUCCUGUGCAGACUGAAAUACUAAAGCUGCUUCCUCCUUUCCCUUAGUUUCCUCUUCAGUGUAUACCUUGGUUACUUUAUUCUGCCCCUUAUUCCCAUUCAUAUCAGAUACUCGAGAUUGGGAGACUUUUGUCGUAUUCGCGUUUAGGUCUUCGUCCUCCUCCUCCUUCUCCUCCGGUUGCCGAACCCUCCGUCCACUUGAGCCCUCCUCCUCACCGUUGAACACCGGGGUAUCAGACUCCUCCACAUAGGUCUUUGAAGAUGAGACGCUAUCCGAAGUAUCUAGAUAGUUCCGAUGACACAUACACUGCCCUUCAAGUCUAAAGGGUUGUUCUUCUUCGACAUAAACGGACACCUCCAGGCCAUUAAUCAGCAUAGUCUUAACCAUUCUGGCGUUAUGGUUUUUGCGUAGGCGAACUUUGAGUCUUGCAUACUCCAAGUUUUCCCACAUGACCGUUGUUGCAUCUAUAGACACUAGAGAUGCUUCCUCUCCAACUAUUUUUGAGAAGCAAGCCUUGGUCCACAGCGGUAGAGGCAGACCAUAACAACGUACCCAUACUACUCUGUGCUCUGCAAUAGACUCCUCCGUCCAUGGCUCGAUUUUUUGGAACACACUCUCAAACCACCCCUUAUUGAGGUCUAUUACCUCCUUCAUGUUCACCCCUUCUCGUGGAGUCAGGAGAGCAAGAUUAUCUCCCAGGGAUCUAACACAAACUAAGCUCAUACCCCCUUUAAUAAAUUCGUCGUCAAGUUCUUCAGAGCUUAGUUCUUCCCUUAACUGCCCUACCAUACUGUACUCCAUCCAUGGUAAGACGUUCUUCUCAGUGGUAAAGGUUGACCCCUCCCAUCUUCUUUGAGCAUCGCCUUUGAUAGCAUCUGCAUAUGACUUGCUCCCUGCCUUCACUCUCCAUACCUCCGUUUUUCUCUUCUGACCGCUGAUAGCUAAUGGCUCCUCCUGCGGUUUCCUGUAACUCUUUCCCUGCUCUUUAUGGUACGCUCUGUUUUCACUCCCCUGACCUUUAGCUUCCAGUUCGCUCCUCCUAUAUUUCGGAACGUUUACAUGCAGCUUUUUGUUGCCUAUGUAGAUCUGAUCAAGAUCCUUCUCCAGCCUCCCCACAUCCCUGACUUCAAAAAAUCGAACAAACUCGAACCUUCUUCCCCAUUUGUUAAGUCUUCUUGAGAUAAACACUUCUUUAACCCUAGCCCACCUUCUAAAAAUCUUGAUCAUAUCCAGCUCCCCAUACCCGUUUGGGAAAUUUGCAAAGAAGAACGUCGUCAAACCAUUUGAGUUUCCGUAAGCGUGUCGAUUACUACCAGAUCCUCCGUGUUCUCCUUGCCUCUGCGUCAUGUUCUCUUUGAUGAGUGUGAAAUAAAAUAGUCGUUCUAAUAUUCCAAAUGAUAUUAAACCAUUAACUUAUAUUUUGGCGAGUUUUUUAACUAAAAUUUCUCCAAUAAGUAAAGCCAUGUGUACAAUGUUACCAACUUCCAUCGUACGACGAAUAUUCACUGCCUAAACUCAUAUUAGUGGAACACUAUUAGUAUCUUUAUAAUUAAGUUGUUACACAACAUCUCAUUGACUUUUUUUAAAGUAAUAAUCUUAAUAAUUUUAUACAUUACAAAAAUUUAUGUUUAGUGUUUUUUUAUUAGCAUUUUAAACCCGUUAAACAUAUUAUUCACAAUCGUAAGAACUGUCGGCAAAACAUUAGUGAUAAACAAUUUACUACCAGGUUUUUAGAAAAUCCUUAUUAAUACCAAAUAUCCCUAGUAUUAUCUGCCAACCAGUAGACAAUGCAAUUUUGUCACCAUAACAUUAUAUGUAGUUUUCUCGUUAAUGUGUGAUAUAACCGACAUUUUUUAAUCAUGUUAAUGCCAUAAAAUUGGAAUCUGUCAUUAGUGAUUCAUUUUUAUCCCCAAUUUCAAUUGUGUUCAUUGUUGCACCCCAUCCAUAACCAUUUUCAUUCAUGUUCAAGCCCCCUCAACAUAGUCAAUCUCAUUUCGCAGCACACUUAUCUCUCUUAUCAAUUUUCACAUUUUUAAUCAUACUUGUACCCAUUAGUGACUCAUCUUUUUUUUCUUGAAAACAUACUUGGUAUACUAGUUCACGAUCUAUCACUAUUGCUCUAGUAGAAAAUAUAAUUGAUAAUAAAAAGUGCAUAAGUUAGUAUAAAGUCAUGUCAGCAAAAUAUGAGAUAGACUGGUGAAUGACAAAUGCUAUUUCAAAUUUGCACAUAGUAAUGAUAAAUGCAAUUUUAUCUAGCAUUGUAGAGAAGACUAUUACUUUGAAGAAGAUUUGGGAGACAUUCAUCAAAUUGUACGAGGUUAAGUCACCUCAUAUAAGAAUGUUCAUGAAGAGAAAAAUCUAUACUUUUCAAUAGAGUGAAUUUCUAAACCUUGAAGAUCAAGUCACAUCUUUAUUUGAUGUUUCCAAAACCUACAUUGUACAUUGGAUGACAUGAAUUGUGUGUGUUUAGGAAGAUUUUGAUGUAUUUUGGUUGUUUCUUCUUAACCAUGCAUUAUGAUCCAAGUUUGCUCCAAGAUUUUUUUUAAACAAUUUGUUUUAAAAGCUUCGUAGUUUUUCAACUCGUUGUCUGAGAUAUUAAUUUGUUAAAAAUCAUCUUUUUGGACUAUAAUAUGUAUUUUUAAUUGAUUGAUUUAUCACAUCAAAAGAUUAAAAUCACUUAAGGUUUUCAACUGUUUUGCUUUUGUUCUCAUCUAGUCUAUUGUAUUUUGUGAAGAUAAACUAUGUCUUAAAAAAAUCAAUCUAUUUCAAGUUGUUGAUUUCUACUGUUAAGUGAAAUCAACUUGUUAUUUUGUGUUAUCAACUUGUUGAAUUUUAACUUUUUAUGUUUAUUAUAUCAUAAUAUUUUUCAACCGUUAAAACUUUUGAUUUUUCAUAAAAUUCUUAUAAAAUAGUUUAUUUUUGAAUUCAAAAAGUUGAAGUUUUUUAAUCAAAAAGAAUAGAGAGACUUUGUUUUGAAAUCUUGGAGAAACUCUUGUGUUUUUGGAUCAUUUUUGUGUUUGUGAAGGAGGUGCAUAUGAGAUUUUACAAUAGUAAUGUUCUUUGUUGUCUCUCAUGUGUUUUCAAUCCCUUUAAAAAAAAAUUUGUAGUGUGUUGGGCAGAUUUAGAUAGUUUUUUUUUUUGCAGUGGUUUGUAUUUUGUUUAUGUGUAAAAGUUCUUGUCGGGUUUAAAAAGUUGUUUCUUGAUAGUAGAUUUUGUAAUCUUGUGCUUUGAUCCUGCCUGUUGACCGGAGCGCGGGAGAAUGCCUCGUCAAAGGAUCGUGCGCGCCGCUUCUCACCUCCGUUCCUCCUCUGGAUCUAUCUCAAGAACCUGCAAAGAAACGAUACGGCGCCGCUGCGGCCGAUCGCACUCUGACGCUCAAGUCAGUGACGGAAUCACCAAAUACUAAGAAUGAGAACCGUGCAAAUCCUCUCUCACUCGCAAGCGUAAAGUGUAUGAACUGAACGUGCGUACCUCAAAAAGUCUGUUAAGAACUCUUAUAUACCUGGUGGUUUUCUCUCUCCUGGCAGUUACAGACUUGGACACGUGGCUCGCAUCCGUCUGUACACGUGCCAUCAUCUGGAGGCUCACUGACUUGGCGCCGCUUCUACUCUUAUUUUGGCUAAGUUACUUAUGCAUGGUACUGCCCAGUGCAUAGCUAACUUAGGAGUGCGAUCUCUACUGAAACUGGCGAGUUAGGGCCUUCAUACACCCUCCCUGUGGUCUCGCCGGCCGCCUUCAUAAUCUGUUUCUCCUUCACCUUCGGCGAUGUGCUUGUUCUGGCGAUCUCCGACUUCUUGGUCGCCUGAGUCUGCAUCUGGCGACUCCAUCUGCAACCAGGCGAUCGCCCAUUCUGAUAAACUGGAAAUCGGAACACGCCAACUUAACAAUCGGCGACCACACGUGCCUCCCGACUUCCUUCCUAUCUGCCAACCUGGCGCCUUGUCAACACGCCUACACUGUAGCAGGAUGCCACGUCAUCACACCCGUCCACCAGGGCGGUACAUGCUUUUUAGUGAAAACUGGUGUGGCUGAGGAUUGGAUGUACCUUUUGUGGUGAGAGUGAACCUGUAUAAAACAUUUGUGUGUUUCUCUAUAUCCUUUUCUUUACAUUUUUAUUUUUGUUGUAUCUGUAGUUCUCAGUUUUUCAAUUGGCUUAAAAAGUACAAAACUAAUUGAUCUUUCGUUUUUUAUUGUUAAGCACUUUUAUAAUUCAUUGAACACAAAAAUCAAUCAAUUGAUAUUAUAGAGAGAGAGAGAGAGAUACUCAACAAUUUAUACUGGUUCACCGACCAACAUGGACUAUGUUCAGUCCCUUUGAAAAACCCACUUAAUUCUAAAUAUUUACAUGAUUUAGAGGAAACUUCUACUUUCUCUUUCUUUUAUUCUAAAUAUUUACAGGAUCCUGGGUUCCAACUCUUUUCAAAGUUGCUUGCUAGUUGUGUUAUCCUUGGUAUUUUCUGAGAAGUUCUUGUUGUAUCUUGAGGGAGUUGUGCGAUACACUACGGAUAACUCCUUACAGACAGUGAUCUAUUGCUGAUAAAAAAAAAAAACAGACAGUGAUCAACCACACCUUAAGAAAUCAACAUUGUUCAUGUUUUAAAAUUUUAGUUUACAACAAUCAUAAGGACUUAUGGCUAACAAUACAGACUACAACAACAACUCUACUUCAAAGACAUCAAACGUUAUUUCCACAACGCAAACCAUUUUUGCGAAUCCAUUUUUGGACGUCUCGAAAAUUGAAGUCUUCACCGAUCAGAAUUUUCAACGUUGGGAAGAACGCGUGUUCAUUCUGUUGGACAUGUACGAAUUCACUUUUGCACUUACAACUUCUAAACCGACUCAAUCAUGCCUAUGAAACAAAUUGAUGUUUGGGCCCAUGCAAGUAACGUAUGUCGUCACACCUUACUCGGUGUGUUAUCUAACGAUUUGUUCAAUGUCUAUUGCUUUUACAAGGAAGCAAAAGAUAUUUGGGAUUCGCUUAUCCUCAAAUACACUGUUGAAUACGUCGUUAAACAAAGGUUCGUGAUUGGAAACUACUAUUGUUGGGAUUUGAUCAAAGACAAGGCCAUAAAAACUUAGAUAAAUGAAUACCACAAGCUGUUUGAAGAUAUCAAAGCAGAGAGAAUAGCCUUGCCUGAUGAAUUUGUGUUCGAACUGCUGAUCGAAAGCUUUCGCAAUCUUGGAAUGAUUAUAAAAACAAUUGUAGCACAAGCACACAAAAAUGUCACUACUACAUCAUCAUAAAAGACACCAACAGAAAGAAGUGUGUUGCUACAAGGGUCAAAGCUUUGUCUGCCAAAACAAACAUUGUAGAAGACAAACCAGCUCCAUAAAGGUACGAGAAAAAACCUUAUCACAAAAAGAAAUAUAAUAAUAAAUUUUCUCGUCCCAAUGAAACUAACUCCACCUUCAAUAAAAAGAGAAAUUGCUUUGUUUGUGGAAAGCCAAGUCAUCAUGCACCUCAAUGCAGACAUAGGGCCAAAAACGAAAAUCCUUCUAAGGCAAAUAUAUUCGAAGGGGAAGAUACCAUUGUUGCAGUCAUUUCACAAGUAAAUCUUGUGACCAAUGUGAGUAAAUGGGUGGUAGAAUCUGGAGCUACCAGAUACAUCUGUGCAAAUAUAAACGUGUUUACCUCCUACACAAGUGUGGGGAUGGAGAAAAACAAGUUUAUCUCGGUGAUUCCAGGACAACUACUGAUGGAAAAACGCUAUUCUUCUAGUAGUGAUCUUUGUAAUUUCUUCUUUGGAUGGAUGAUGAAGGAGUUUUGGGGAGAGGAAGCAUUAAAGAAACUCAAGAGGAGUUUCCAUGGAUUAAAGUGGAGUUAGGAAUUUUUGAGAGUGAGAGGUGAGGCCAAUUCACUAGGAAAAAGUCUAAGCUAAAUCUUGAAGGAGACUAGCCUAGGGAGAACUUAAGAACAAGUAGAAUGGUCAAAAUUAGGCAACAUUUCAUUACUAAUUCCAAGUUGAAAAUACAUGUACAAGAGACUCCUAUUUAUAGAGUCUAUCAAAACCUCUCAAAUGAGAGUGUGACAACACCACCUUAUUGGUGCAAAUCCUCUCCAUCGAGGAGAAGACAUGUGAAGCCUCAUGCCUUCCUUGCUUACAUUUCUAUUUGCACCUCUCUUUUACUAUUUUACACUUUACUUUUAUACAUCAUUCUCUACUUUGGCCCAAAAUACAAGACCCAAAACUUCCUAACUACUUUAUACAAUGUUUACAAGGCUAAGAAGAAGAAAAAUACUCUACAAAAUUUUCAUUAAAGCUCGAUCUCCGUCUAUCUUAUUGGCCGAAAGUUUCGAGGGUGGACGGUUGCCAUCAUCCCUUCCCUCUUGAAAAGGAUCUGUCCUCAUAUCUGAAUGAUGCUCAUUGACAACAACCUCUAUUUAUUUGAUUAAGUAUUUUCCUCCAGGGUCAAAUAUUAACCUACAAUAAACAUCUAAGAAAAAUGAGAUAAGAAAGUUAAGACAACGAUAUUCAAAUAAAAGAGUAAGAAAAUAAGGCUCUUUAUUUUUAUAAAAGUUUUGUUGAAAAGAAAUAGGGUCCUUUUCAAAAAUAUUUUUUGUUUCCUUUGUGUUUUUCAUUGCUCAAGAUAAGCAACAACAUCAGAAAGUGUUGUUUUUGUGAUUUUUUAGAAAAAUAGUAAGCAUCAUGAUUUAAAGGAAAAGGAGAGUUCAAAGUAUUCCAAUCUCUCUUUAAGGAUUAUUUUUCAACUAUGCUUGUAAGAGGUGUUGUAAGAUACUCCUCGUCCUUUCUAGAUUCCUCUUCUUCUUUUUGUCCAGGCACAAAUUUUUAUUCAAGCAUAUUCUCCCAAGGGUUUUCUAUAGAAGAAGAGUUUAUGUCAAUGUCUUGUUCAACUCCAGAAAAAGGAUUUUCCUUUAAUUCUUUUUUGUCUUUCUCUUUUUUCCUGUAUCUUCCUUUCUUUAAGAGCUUGUAAUUUUUCUCUAAAUUCUUUUUCUCUUCUAACAUUUAUUUUCUCCAUUUAUAAAAUUUCUUCCUUUUUCUUCAAACUCUUUCAUUUCUUCUCUAAGCUUAUUCUUUUUCACAUAUGAAGGCGAAACACAUUUUCUUUUCAUACACAUCUUCAAUUCAUCCCAAUUCAGUACUUUUGAUUUUCUGCCAAUUCUAACAUCUGUUUCCCUUUGUGUCCUCCAAGACCUAGCAUAUUCUUGAAAACUUAGGGUAGCCAAGGAAAAUCUACUAAAUUCAUCCAAUUGGUGUUUUUCAAAAAAAUUAUCAACCUUUGUCUCCCAUUUUAAAUAUGCUUCAACAUUUUUAUUUCCAUCAAAAUAGGGAAUGUAUACUUUAGUCUAUGUAGGAAGAGCUAAACCAGUUUGCAUACAAUGAAGUAUGGUCUUUAGUUCCAAGAACAUCUGAGAUGAACAUCAUAGGAACCAAAGGGUGUACAGAUAUAAGAUGGAUGAACAAGGGGCUAUCACCAGAAACAAGGCAAGGUUGGUUGCUAAGGACUAUAACUAAGAAGAUGGACUAUAUUUUGAUGAGACUUAUGCACUAGUGGCACGACUAUAAGCUGUCAGACUUCUCUUAGCAUUUUCAAGCAUAAAAGGAUUUAGGUUAUUCCAAAUGGAUGUAAAGAGUGCAUUCUUAAAUGGAUAUAUCAAUGAAGAAGUGUUUGUUUCUCAGCCUCCAGGAUUUGAAGACUACAAACAUCCAGAACACGUGUAUAAGCUAAAGAAGGCACUCUAUUGACUUAAGCAAGCACCCAAACAAUGGUAUGAGAGGCUAAGUGAAUUUAUGCUUUCUCAAGGUUAUAACCGUGGCACCUAUGAUAGAACCUUGUUCAUAAAGAAGAAAAGAGAAGACAUUAUACUUGUGCAAGUCUGUGUGGAUGACAUCAUCUUUGGAUCCACAAAUAAAAAGAUAUGUGAAACAUUUUUAUAUGCAAUGAAAAGUGAAUUUGAGAUGUCAAUGUUGGGAGAAAUGAAUUACUUCCUUGGAUUGCAAGUUAAACAACUCAAGGAUGGAAUCUUCAUAAAUCAAGCAAAGUACUACAAGGAAUUGCUUAGGAAGUUUGAGAUGGACAAAUGCAAAGCAAUCAGCACUCCAAUCUCAACAAGUUGUCAACUGGAUCAGGAUCAUGCAGGAAAAUCAGUGGAUCAAUCAAAAUAUAGAGGUUUAAUUGGUUCUUUACUGUUUUCUGGUUAUUGACCAACAAGUUUAUGACAUUCGUGUGUGGAAAUCCUAACUGAUUUGAUACAUUUAUUGUGCAACAUAUUUGAUUUGUUAGCAAAAACAUGUUUUCAAUAUAUUCAUGCAUCAUUCAAAACUGCACCCUUCUGUACUACAUAAAAUCAAAUUUGUACUGCAUCUGGUUUCUUGAUUUUGUUUUCAAACCUGUGAGUUAUGAAAUACAAUUUGUUGCUCUACAUAAAUCUGGUUUAAAACAAUUGUAUCUCACACUUUCCUUCUUUGCUACAAGUUAUUCAGGUUCACAUUCUUUACUUUAUUAGGUUUUAUAUUUCAUCAUAUGAACUUUGCACUAACAUUCUUUCUAGCUGGAACUAUAUCUCUUGAGGAACAAGUGUAGAUAAAACAGAUUAGCAAUGACAUCUUCUUCACACAGAAAGAAGAAGAAAUCAAGAGAGAAACAACAACAACCAAGGUAUUCUGGAAAACUGGUUUGCUGGAAUUCUGAAGCUAUGACAAAGUUCAUACAUGAGACAAGCAGAAAGAAAAUCAAUGUACCCAAGGUGUUGGAAUUUUCAUGGCUGAGUAGUGAAAAUCUGAUAGAAGCAAAAACCUUUCUCAAGCAUCAAAAGCUGAAACACUUCCUGGAAAUGACUGGAAAUGUCUAUCCAGACCUAGUGAAGGUGUUCUAUAGCAACCUUGUUCAAGAUGACAAGAAUCUUGUUUCCUAUGUGAAAGGAGUGAAGCUAAAAAUCACAAGAGAGGUCUGGAGCAGCAUUGGUGGAAUUAAGUACUCAGGGUUGAAAGUGAGCAAAGGGAAUAUUGAUGGGAUUCAAAAGUUCAACAUGAUGCAGUUUUAUAGAAGCUGUGUGAGGAAUCCCACUGAACCAGUGGUCAGAUUUCAUGAAGGUAAUUUGACUUUAAUUCCAAGACUCUUAGCUCACAUAAUUGCAUGUCAACUCACUCCUAGAGGUAGCAAUCAUGGUGUUCUUCAUGAGGAAGACUUGAUAUUGCUUUACUGCAUAAUGAAUCAACUCAAGGUAAACUGCGUGAGUACUAUGGUGGAACAUAUGCUCAAAUCAACAAGGCUCCCAUAUUAUCGCUUUCCAUAUGCAAUAUUUGUAUCCAAACUAAUUGACUAUUUUGAAGUGGAUACUACAAAUGAAAGAAAUGAUACUAUCAAAGCAUCAAGUGAGAUAGACAAAUCUACUCUCAUGAAAAUGGAUUUUCAUAAGGAGGAAGACAAUUGGGUUUUUAGAAGGAAUGUUGCUCACGGAGUUGAGCAUGAAGCCUCCAAUCAUGGAGAUGCAGAGGAAGAUAAUGUUGGAGUGCCUAUGGAAGAUGAAACUGUGCAGGCUGCAGAAGCAUCAUGCUAUAUGAUGCAUCAUUCAUCAUCACACAGGGUGGAAUCACCAACUCAACCAUCUAUGCAUCACAUGGAGGAAUCACCAGUCCGUUCAUGAAUGAAUGAAGAUGUUGCUGCCACAAACUACAAUGCACUGGUUGCAAACCAAGCACCUGAGUAUAGAGGUGAACCUUUAUCAAUGUUUGAAAGACAUGUUCUGGACAGGCUUGAUACUCUCACAGAUGAUCAAAAGACCUAUUUUGAAAUUACUCAAGCUAGGUUUCAACACCUAGAUUAUCAAAUUGAAGGAGUCCAGGAGCAGCUAGUUGAAAUUUACUACAAGCACAAGUGAUCCUUUUCAAAUCUUUCACUUUUAUGUCUUGUUGAACAAUUUGCUUUUUAAUUUUCUGCACUGGUUGUGUUUUGAUUUCUGAAUUGUAAUAGCACUUCAUGGGUUUUUAUUUUGAACUGUCAUGUAUGGCUAUGGUGUGUUUUUUUUUUUAUUCUAUGCUUCCAUUCUGUCUGAUGAAUCCAAAGGGGGAGAAGAAUAGCUCAAUACAGGUUGUUUUUAGUUGAAGAAUAGCUCAUGUAAGUUGCUGAUCUUGUUCAGGUAUUAAAUUGCAGGGAGGUAUAACACUUCUCAUAUCUGUUAUGCUAUGUUUUACCUUUAAAAGUUUUCUGUGUAUAUUCUGGAAUCUAGUGCAGUACAGGUAUUGACCAUGACCAUCCUUCAAAGCUAUGCAAAGCAAUAUGGAUUUGUCUCCAUCAAACAGGGGGAGAUUGUUGAAGAUGGAUGAAGUUUCUUCUCUGUCAAGUCUUAGUGUGUGUUUGACGAAGAAAAUAGCUAGUUUGCUUUGAAGGUUGUAAUGUGUAAUUAGGUUAUCUUGUAUAUAGGUUAGAGUGAGUUUAAGGUUGCCUUUUGCUUCAUGACCUACCCUAUAUGCCUAAUCAAGGUGGUAAGAUCAAGCACUAGAAGUCAUUCAAUGUUUUCCAAAAAUCUCUUUAAAGUUUCCUAAAAAAAUCAAGUUACUGCACAAAAAUAAAUCUGUUUAUUUGUAAAAAAAUAGAUUUAUUUUUGAAGUGUAGAAAUGUUUUUCAAAAUUCUGUUAAAGCACCAAAGUUUGUUUAAGCAAUUAUUUCAGUUAAGAUGAGCUAGCAGUCCUUCAGAAAAACAAUUUGUUUGUUUGGGAUUUAACCUGUUCUUUUUAUAACAGCUUUUCAACUGUUUUUUGAAAAGUUGUUAGAAACUGAUUUCUAUAUAAAGAAAGGAAUUUCUCACAUGAAAGUUUGUUGUGCAAUCACGGUUUAAAAAGAGAUCAAACGUUUUUUUUUUUUUGUGAGAAGAAGGAUUUGAAUGAGUUUUUGAAAGGUUUUCAAAAAGAACUUCAAGAGUGCUUGUUCUUAGUGUGCCUUGAUCUUGGUGAAGGUGCUAGUGCAAUUGUGCUGCAAUUUGGGCUAUUGGUUUUUAGUUUUUGCAUCUUCUUUCAGGCGUUAUCCUUCCUUAAUUCAUUCUUGUAUAAAGGUGUUUGUGUAAGUCACUUCUUGAUAUAUGGUUUCUUGAAGUGCAAGUAGUACUGAAAUAGAGCUUUUCAGCUUUGGUUACCUAAUUCUUGUAGGGUUCAAGAACUGCAAGGUGUUGUAUUUGUUUGGAACUGUUUUUAGUGAAUUUCACCUUGGAGUGAGGUGAAACUGGAUGUAGCUCGUUAUGAGUGAACCAAUAUAGAUUGUGCUUGCAUCAUUCUUCUCAUCCCUACACUCUUUUCUGAUUAAUUGGAUAAUUUGUCCGAAAAUAAAUUUGUUCGUUUAAAAUUGAAUCUGUUAUUUCUGGGCUUGCUCAUAUUGUUCUAGAAAAUUCUUUUAAUUACAAAUAAAGCUUUCUGAAUCUGAGUGUUGAUUGAUUUAAGGACAAACAGUUUCUUUAUAAUAUCUUUGUUAAAGAUUCACUUUCUUUAAAAGAAUUGUAUAAAAAAGAACUUGUGCUUGAUCUAUUGGUGUAAAUCUUGUUUUUAUAGCUACUGUAAAAAUAACUCAUUUGUUAUGAAGAUUUCUCUGUUUGAUCACAAUACUAAUCAGAACAAGUUCAGGUUUUGUUAAAGUGUAUUGAAAAAUAAAUUUAUUCUUUUCAAGAUCAUUUUGUUCCUUUUCUUAUGAAAUACUGUAAAUCAGUUUGUGUUUGCAAAAAUUUUAUAACUUCAAUUCACCCCUCCCCUCUUGACUACAAGAUACUAAAAGAUCCAUUUUACAUCCUUUAAGUAAGAGUCUUUUAGAUAUUAUUAGAAUCUUGCACGUAGACAAAUGUUAUGCAUAAUAGCACAUUCCAAAAAGGUUUUGAUUUUGUAAAGCCAUUUCAAAAAAUUAGGAUCUUUGUUUUGAAUAUUUCUCAUAAAAUAGCUCUGAGGCCAAUUGUUAUAAAAAGAUGGAUGACUUGUUUUAACUCAAGAGAGAGUGAAUUGAGUUUCAAAUAUUUUUAAAAAAUAAUCCCCUUUCUUUAAGUUCUUUAAUGUAAUUAUUUUCAAACUAAAAAUAUGAAUGCAAUUAUAAUGGAAGCAAAAUUAGAAGAAAUUGGAUUGUAGCACAAAUAUAAUAUGAAAAGGAAAGAAAGAUUGCAUAAAGAAUUUUAUAUUGGUUCGUAUCAACAAGAUUGUGCAUCCAGUCUAAACAAUUGAACCUAAUAUUGUUGAUUCCACUAGUUUAAAAAAGUUAUUACAAACAAAUCAAACAGUUACAAGAGGAUAUCAACAACAGUCCUUGAUCCAAGAAGAUAUUAGCUUUAUAUCAGAUUUUAUAACCCAAUAGAAUAUAUAGUUUAUUAAUUCUUGAUCACCAAGAACCAGAACAAUGGAACAAUUCAGUUAAAAAAACAAAAGAAAACAGAAAAAGUUAUUACCACGCUUUCCAUGGUAGAAGCACACAAUGAUGAACACUUGUACACCCUUGAUUUUGAAAUCUUAAGAGCUAAAAAUGUAAAAGAAAUUUUAAAAAAGGUGAGAUUAUCUCACUUUAAAUUGUAAAUGUGUUAUAUGAAAUAUUUAUCAUGUACUCUAUUUAUAGUUUCAAAAUCAUAGUUUAAAAACUAAUACUAAGGUUUUUAAUCAAUUAUAUUAGCUUUUAAUCCUCUAUUCGAUUUAAAAAAAGUUAGAACUUUUUUCUGUUUUAAUUGGUUAAAAUACUUGUUCAUUGUUAAAAUAGAUGGAGAAGGAGAGGGUAAAGCUAUGAGUUUAAUGAAAAUCAUAAAAUAAAAUAAAAAAGAGGUUAUUUUUUUAGAAUAUUGCUUAAUGAACAUGUAUAUUUGCUUGUAAGAUAAGUGUUAUUAACAACAUUGUUUUAAGUGACCCGUGUAAUUAAUCGUGUAAAAAAUAUUUAUCGAUAUUUGUGUAUUAUUCUAAAAAAAUUUAUAUUAAUGGAUAUAUGACUAAUGAAGUACAUUUAUCUAUGUCUUUGUUAAAUAACUUCAUUUUGAGGUUGUUCAUGUCUUUUAGUUAUCUAUAGUUCCUUUACUUUAGAUUUACUUGGUUAAAAAUUUGAGUUUAUUUUCAUCAAGUAUACUUUUCUUUAUUCUAUUUUAUAUAAAAAAAAAUGCAUUCACAAUGAAUAUGAUACUCUAACAAAAUGUUACGACAUGUUAAACUAAAAAAAAAAAUAUAAGAGAAUUAGGUUAAAUUUAUGAAAAAAAAUAUAAAUAACAAAAAUUUCAAAAAGUCAAAUCUAUCUAUUCAUUAAGAAAGUUGUCCCUUAGUAACAUAAUACAUAUAUAAUAUGAAAGCUUUUAGAAAAAAAAAAAAACAAUCGAAUAUAAGAGUAAAGAAUUUCACCAUAAGAAAAUCAUACUUGGUAUUAAUAGCCAAAUUAGCUUUAAAAUCUAAAAUUUCACUUAUAGACUUCCAUUUACUCUAUAUACUUCUAAUCUUUCAAGAGACCUCAAAGUUGGUAUAAAAAGCUUGAGCCACAGUAGUGAGUGAUAUUCCAACCUUAAUGAAUUACAUACUUUCAAAUGUACAAAUUCAAUAGCAAUCAUAAUCAUGUAAAACUUAGCAAAAAUUACAUUAGCAAUAGUGUUAAAAAUAGUAAAACUACCAGUAAACCCAUAAGUUAAACCUCUAAAAUUACCAACACUAAUAGAAAAACCUCGACAACCCCUAGAGAAGUAACAAACUAGCUAUAGAAAGGAUUUCAAUUUUAUUAAUUUUUUCUAUUUUAUAUAACUAGCUUCUUGGUUGUCUCAUAAAUUUGAGUUUUUAUUUUGUAAUUAGAUUUGUUCCAUCAUUCUUGAAUCACUUCCAACUGCAAAGGUCGUCUUGUGGAACUGAGUCCCUUAGCUGUAGUGGAAGUUGUUGAGUGAAAUGGAUUAGGAGGCACACCAAGCUGGUUUUCCUCUUCAGUUUGUAGCAUGUGUAUCACAGAUUUUAUGGAUGGACGGUUCACUGGCUCCCACUGAAUGCACCAAAGCCCAAUAAUUGCUAGUUUCUUUGCAAUCUUAACAUCACCUUCAUCCUCAACAUGGAUAUGUACAUCUCCAUCAACCAGGUUAUGGAUCCAAUCCGGGUAUAGAACAUGUAAAUUUUGUGGAGAAGACAUGUCCACAUUCUUUCUCCCACCAACCAUUUCUAACAACAGCAUUCCAUAACUGUAAAUAUCGGACUUGUAAGACACGUUCCCAAAGUUUCUGGAGAAGACUUCAGGUGCAAUGUAUCCCAAAGUUCCUCUAGCAGCUGUCAUGGACACCAAACUGGGAUUCUUGGAACACAAUUUGGCUAAGCCAAAAUCAGAGAUUUUUGGAGUGAAGUUGUCAUCAAGUAACACGUUGUGAGGAUUUAUGUCAAAGUGAAUAAUGGGCUGAUUGCAACCUUGAUGAAGAUACUGAAUCCCUUUAGCUAUACCAAGAGCAACGUGUUGAAGCUUCUCCCAUCCAAGGAAAUGGUCCUUGUCUUCUGGUAGAAAUAUGAAGCUUUGUAAGGAACCAUUUGGAAAGAAAUUGUAGACAAGAGCACGAUGGAGUCCAUCUGCACAGAAGCCAAGCAAACGCACCACGUUGAUGUGAUGGAUUUUGCCCAUAAUUCCCACUUCAUUGAUGAACUCAUUCCCAUCUCCCUCCGUACUGUUGAGGAUCUUCACAGCCACCGGAAUCUCACUCGAAAGUUUUCCUCUGAACACAGCCCCAUGAGCUCCUUCUCCUAGCUUUUCUUUGAAGCCAUUGGUGAUUCUUUUAAGGUCAGCGUAGGUGAAUCUUGCAGGCUUUUCUGCCCUGUAGUCCUCUAAAAACUUGUCCACUCUUGCUUGGUCUUCUUGCUUUUUCCUAAAAUAAAGGAUGCUCUUGAAGACAGCAAUGAC